AGAGAGAUAGAGAGAUAGAGAGAGAGAGAGAGAGAGAGAGAGAGAGAGAGAAUAAAAACAAUAUUAUUUUUCACACAAACUCAAAAUUGCUUAUAAAAUUACAAAUCAAAACAAAUGAAAGCAAAUCCAAAAUUGCCCUAAAUUAAAUCUGAUUAGUUAAAUGUUUGUUGCCCUACAAAUGUCAUUACACCCGACAAAACUUGCUUUGAAGUUGAUAUUUUGGUCAAUCCGGGGGAAAAUGAGCUAUUGCUUUUGGAGCAGUUGUCAUGGAGAUUACCAUCUCCCUGUUGAAUGAUCUAAAAAAGGACUUACAGCUUCUGGUGGCCAUAAUAAUUUAGGAGGUCCUUCGCUCCAGAUUUUCUCAAUAACUUUCCUUUUCGUGGCUGGUAGGAUUGCAACUCCAAGAAUUGCUCUGAAGAGAUAUAUGCAAACAAAAUCAAACUAAAACUAAGCUGUUGGAAGAAAUUUAGAAAACACAAACACCACAACUCAGAGUUAAAGUCAACAGAAACCAAAUGGUAGAAGUUGAAAAAAAUAUAUGGUGAUGAAUCGAGAACUUCAUUAAACUAACAGCAAUAAAAUCUCAUAUAAUCUGUCAAAAACCAAAAAAGAGAGAGGUAAUUUCAAAACCUUGUAACGCUGAGGCGUCGUACAGUUGUAGUAAUAAUAUAUGGUUGAUGCACCUGUUGCUCAAUCAAAUCCUCUGUCUGGCUAAAAAAAUAAAAAUCUAUAAAUACAUUCACGUCCAAUUUAUGAGAAAUCAUGGGAAAGUAAAUGCACUGAUAACGGAAUUAUGAAUAUGAACUUGCCAAAAAGAAAAAGAAAACUUCUUAUAGUGUGCCAAGAACAUCCUCCUACUCCUAGCAAUUUUUAAUGGCAUUGUCCACUUCUCAAUUCAUAAUUCAACCAAUAACUCAAAGUCUAUAGUGUUUGAAAAAGUGAUAUCUUAGUUGAUCACGAUGAUAAUUAAGCAGAUUAAAUGAUGACCCAUAAAGCAUACAAAUUCAGAAAAGAAAAGGUUCAAAACUGUCAUGAGAAAAUACAGAAUAUAUAAACAGGAAAUCAAAAAAAGAGAAGUGAAAAAGGAAGAAACAACCAAACAAAAUUAUUAGGUUUGGGAUAUACCUUUAUCUGAAACGCCACAAUCAUCAAAGUCAAACUUAAACAACAACAACAACAACAACAACAACAAAGCCUUUUCCCACUAAGUGGGAAAGUCAAACUUAAACAAUCCAAAAAUUUGUGGAAAAUACCAAUAAAUGCUCAACUAAAAACGAAAGAAACGUAGAAUAAGUUUACCUGUUCUGCCCCUAAUUAAACUGGAAUACAAUUCACCACUAAUAUUCCUUGGUGUAUGCUUUUCGCAGACGAUAUAGUGUUGAUAGAUGAAACUCAGGAAGGGGUAAAUGCAAAGCUUAACCUUUGGAGAGAAGUGUUGGAAUCUAAAGGUCUUCGCCUAAGCCGAUCAAAGACAGAAUAUAUGGAGUGCAAGUUCAGUGCAAAUGGAGGCCAAAACGAGUUAGGGGUGAGGAUCGGAGAUCAAGAAAUACUAAAGAGCGACCGUUUUCGUUACCUAGGAUCUAUCUUGCAAAAGAACGGAGAAUUAGAUGGAGAUCUCAACCAUAGAAUACAAGCUGGAUGGAUGAAGUGGAAGAGUGCAUCCGGCGUGUUAUGUGACCGCCGUAUGCCACUGAAGCUCAAGGGAAAAUUUUAUAAGGACGGCAAUAAGGCCGGCGAUGCUGUAUGGCACAGAAUGUUGGGCGGUGAAACAUCAAACACGUACACAAAAUGGGUGUAGCGGAGAUGAGGAUGCUUCGUUGGAUGUGUGGGCACACGAGAAAGGAUAAGAUUAGGAAUGAGGAUAUCCGGGGUAAAGUAGGAGUAGCCGAAAUUGAAGGAAAGAUGAGAGAAAAUCGGUUACGGUGGUUUGGACAUGUGCAAAGAAAGGCCUACUGACGCUCCGAUUAGAAGAUGCGACUAUGGGACAGAGGUUCAGGGCCGAAGGGGUAGAGGAAGACCUAGGAAAACUUUGGAAGAGACUCUAAGAAAAGACUUAGAGUACUUGGAUCUAACGAAGGACAUGACACAGGAUCGAGCACAAUGGCGUUCUAAGAUUCAUAUAGCCGAUCCCACUCAGUGACUUGGAUUUUCCAAGUCUCCAACCGAGAAGUUUUCCUCACUCGGAAAAUUAAGGGAACACUACCCCAACCUACAUGCUCCACUCAGAAAGCUUCAACAUACAAGCUUCAACAAAAGAAAAUUCAAAGAACUUAGCGAAGAAGGCUUUGGUGUAUUAACACAAUACGUUGAAAUGAAGGAAAGCUUAUUUAUUGAUAUCCCCGAUAAGCUACAAAUAUGUACAUAUACAUGAGUCAAAAUAAACACACAAGAGGGAGCCUUCACAAAGGUUGCUUAGGAGAAGUCUCAGCAGUCGGUAGAGCCCCAGAAAGAGAAGGCACCGGAGGGGGAUCAUUUGGAGCCUCAGUACUGGACAGAACCCUAGAAGGAGGAGGCAUCAGAGGUUGAUCAUUUGGAGCUUCAUUACGCGGUACAGCCCCAGAAGACGAAGGCAAUAAAUGCCUUUGGAACAAACCCACAAAUCUCUGAUGAUCAAGUAAAACCUGACCAUCAGUUUCCUUCAUCUGGUCAAGCUUCCUCUUCAUGUUUGUAGCAUAGUCAUGUGCGAGCCGGUGCAACUGUUUAUUCUCAUGCUUGAGCCCUCUAAUCUCCUGUUUGAGACUCAUCACUUCAGCCGCCAAUGAUUCAACUUGGCGGGUUCGAGCAAAUAGGCGUUGGGCCAUAUUAGACACAGAACCUGCACACUGAACACUGAGAGCCAGCGAAUCCUUAACAGCUAACUCAUCAGACCGUUUGGAAAGUAGUCUGUUAUCUUUGGGAGUGAGAAGGUUCCUGGCCACCACCGCAGCGGUCAUAUCAUUCUUCAUCACGGAAUCCCCAACGGUAAGAGGACCAGUAGGGGAGACGAAGGAUGGGCGCCAUAUGUUGUCUGGAGAAGGCGGGGCUGCCUCUUCAACAAGGUUCAAGUCAAAACGACGGUCGGAGGGGCCAGACAUUUUCAAAGGUGUUGAAGAGAGAAGAGGUCGGACAAAUCAAGAUCUUAGAAGUGCAAGAAUGAAGCUUCUACUGGUGGAGAUUCAAGUGUGCUUUGGAACUUAAUGCCAGCCCCUAUAAAAAUCUGCACUCGACGGAGCUUCAGAAAAUCGAAGAGGCGCCUGCUCAGAAAUCGAAGAGGCGUUUGCUUUCUCAAAAGCUGGGCUGCUUAGAGAUCACGAGGGUUGAUCUCAGAAAUCGAAGAGGCGUUUGCUUUCUCAAAAGUUGGGCUGCUCAAAGACCACGAAGGCCGAUCUCAGAAAAUCGAAGAGGCGCUCGCUUUCUCAAAAGCUGGGCUCCCCAGAGACCACGAGGGCCGAUCUCAGAAAUCGAAGAGGCACCUACUUUUCCAGCCUUGUCAGCACCUGUCACACGCACACUCAGCUUUGCGGAAAUUAUGGGCAUUCUGUCGAAGACUUCUGGGGAAGUAGAAAACACAUGAAUCUUACUGUUCAAUCACCCACUUCCCACACGCAACAAUAGCUCAUGGGUACCACAGAUAACUUUGCCAAAGUUCUCUGCCAAAGUUGAGCACGUGAAGCUUGCAGCUCCCACUACAUCGCUCUGACCAAGAAGGGUAAAAGAAUAGCAAAGAAACAGCACUAACAAAGUUUAGACCCAUAAAUUUUGAAGGUCUAGCUACCAUAUUAUUACCCACAAGGGUAAAGGAACAGUACCACUGCUGGAUAAUUGGAAAGUCCCUGUGUGUCAACCUCUGUGCUUCGUGGCAAGGUAGACUAGCAAACAUGCCCAACCUUUACUCACAUUCGAGAAAACACUCCCAAUAAGAUUGCUUGCUCCAAAAUCGAAGAGGCACCGUCCUCCGAAUCUCGAGAGCCAGACUCCCAACAUGACUACUUUCUUAAAAAUCGAAGAGAGGGUAAAGGAACAGUACCAUUGCUGGAUAAUUGGAAAGUCCCUGUGUGUCAACCUCUGUGCUUCGUGGCAAGGUAGACUAGCAAACAUGCCCAACCUUUACUCACAUUCGAGAAAACACUCCCAACAAGAUUGCUUGCUCCAAAAUCGAAGAGGCACCCGCCCUCCGAAUCUCGAGAGCCAGACUCCCAACAUGAUUACUUUCUCAAAAAUCGAAGAGACACUGCUCCCCGAAUCUUCGAGAGCCAGACCCCCAGCAUGAUUGCUUUCUCAAAAAUCGAUGAGGCAUCGUUCUCCGAAUCAAUCGAAGAGGCGCUCGCUUUCUCAAAAGCUGGGCUGCUCAGAGACCACGAGGGCCGAUCUCAGAAAUCGAAGAGGCACCUACUUUUCUAGCCUUGUCAGCACCUGUCACACGCACACUCAGCUUUGCAGAAAUUAUGGGCAUUCUGUCGAAGACUUCUGGUGAAGUAGAAAGCACAUGAAUCUUACUGUUCAAUCACCCACUUCCCACACGCAACAAUAGCUCAUGGGUACCACAGAUAACUUUGCCAAAGUUCUCUGCCAAAGUUGAGCACGUGAAGCUUGCAGCUCCCACUACAUCGCUCUGACCAAGAAAGGUAAAAGAAUAGCAAAGAAACAGCACUAACAAAGUUUAGACACAUAAAUUUUUGAAGGUCUAGCUACCAUAUUAUUACCCACAAGGGUAAAGGAACAGUACCACUGCUGGAUAAUUGGAAAGUCCCUGUGUGUCAACCUCUGUGCUUCGUGGCAAGGUAGACUAGCAAACAUGCCCAACCUUUACUCACAUUCGAGAAAACACUCCCAACAAGAUUGCUUGCUCCAAAAUCGAAGAGGCACCGUCCUCCGAAUCUCGAGAGCCAGACUCCCAACAUGACUACUUUCUCAAAAUCGAAGAGAGGGUAAAGGAACAGUACCAUUGCUGGAUAAUUGGAAAGUCCCUGUGUGUCAACCUUUGUGCUUCGUGGCAAGGUAGACUAGCAAACAUGCCCAACCUUUACUCACAUUCGAGACAACACUCCCAACAAGAUUGCUUGCUCCAAAAUCGAAGAGGCACCCGCCCUCCGAAUCUCGAGAGCCAGACUCCCAACAUGAUUACUUUCCUCAAAAAUCGAAGAGACACUGCUCUCCGAAUCUCGAGAGCCAGACCCCCAGCAUGAUUGCUUUCUCAAAAAUCGAAGAGGCAUCGUUCUCCGAAUCUCGAGAGCCAGAUACCACAGACCACUUUUUCAAAGUGCUCUGACAGAGUUAAAACAUGUGAAACUGGCAGCUCCCACUACCGUGCUAUGACCAAGCAGGGUAAAGGAAUAGCAUUACUACUUGUUGUUAGGGAGACUCCUAUAUAUGUCGACCUCCAUCCCCAACGGACAGGCAGACCUGCAAAAAUGCUCAACCCUUCAUCAUAUCUGAGAGGGCACUCCCAACGAAGCCUUUCGAAAUAUUCAGCUUUCUUUCCCCCCGAUAAUACCUCUGCAAACAAGCUAUACUACUAGAGCAAGAAUAUCUCAUAUCAUCAGGGUUAAAAGCAAGAGUAUCCCAUAUCAUGCUUUUUCCCUGUCUUUUCCUUUGGCCUUGUUUUUUACCUGCAAGACAAGGAGAAAGAGAGAGCAAUCAGUCAGCACUUGGAAUCAAGCUUCCAGCCAGGAACUGACUGCCUGGAACCCCUUACCUGAUUACUUACCUGGCAUUGCUCUCGAGUACUCAUCUUCAACAUCUUAUGUUUCCAGGGAAGAUUCCGCAUCUGCUUGAGGAACAGAUAGGGCAAGUGCGAAGGAUACAAGGAAGCAUGUGGAGACAAGCGUAACAGCACACGUGCCGAUACAUCCAUUACUCUGUCAAAAGCAAAAGUAUCCCAUAUCAGCAGGGUGGAACGUACUCUAGAUUUGAUGGACUUGUUUUGACCCUCAAAUUCUUCAGUCGGCCUUAUACUCUGGAGGAAACCAGAAAACCCUCCAGCUCAGUUCAAGAAUAAGCCUGUGGAAAGUUACUUCUUCAAAAGCAAAAGUAUCUCUCAUAUCAUCUCUUCUCAUUUUUUCUUCUCUUUAUCCUUCAUGCUGCUGCAAGAUGGGGAGAAGGUGAACAAUCAGUCGGAGCUCUGAUUGCUUACCUUGUCUGUCACCUCUUUCAGCAGACCCCCUAGCUCGGCGACUUGGGGGACUCCUACUACAUGGUUUGUAUCGCGCUUGACCAAGCCUGAAACUACAAGUAAGCUUCAAGUGAAAUUGAUACAUUACCUUGUGCAUCUCCACCAGUUAAAGAUACCACCCCUGGAUGGAGGAAGAGUACUUCCAGAGAAGAUGCCACAUCUACCUAUGAGACAGAUAAGGCAAGUCAAGACGACACCACACUCCGAUACUUAGAAGUUUCGUGAUUACGAGAUCAUUCUCCCACAAUAUUUCCUAAUGUCAUUUGUACUAAAUCAUUCACUUGUACUCACUAAAGGAGAGCUUGAACCUAUGUACUUGUGUAAACCCUUCACAAUUAAUGAGAACUCUUCUAUUCCGUGGACGUAGCCAAUCUGGGUGAACCACGUACAUCUUGUGUUUGCUUUCCUAUCUCUAUCCAUUUAUAUACUUAUCCACACUAAUGACCGGAGCAAUCUAGCGAAGAUCACAAAAAAGCGACCGUUUUCGCUACCUAGGAUCUAUCUUGCAAGAGAACGGAGAAUUAGAUGGAGAUCUCAACCAUAGAAUACGAGCUGGAUGGAUGAAGUGUAAGAAUGCAUCCGGCGUGUUGUGUGACCGUCGUAGGCCACUGAAGCUCAAGGGAAAAUUUUAUAGGACGGCAAUAAGGCCAGCGAUGUUGUAUGGCACAGAAGAAUGUUGGGUGGUGAAGCAUCAACACGUACACAAAAUGGGUGUAGCGGAGAUGAGGAUGCUUCGUGGGAUGUGUGGGCACACGAGAAAGGAUAAGAUUGGGAAUGAGGAUAUCCGAGGUAAAGUAGGAGUAGCCGAAAUUGUAGGAAAGAUGAGAGAAAAUCGGCUCCGGUGAUUUGGACAUGUGCAAAGAAGGCUGAAUGACGCUCCGGUUCGAAGAUGUGACUACGGGACAGAGGUUCAGGGUUGAAGGGGUAGAGGAAGACCUAGGAAAACUUUGGAAGAGACUAUAAGAAAAGACUUAGAGUACUUGGAUCUAACGGAGGACAUGACACAAAACCGAGCGCAAUGGCGUUCUAGGAUUCAUAUAGCCGACCCCACUUAGUGGGAAAAGGCUUUGUUGUUGUUGUUGUUGUAUUCAAUGAAGAUGCUUAAAGGAGACAGUAAUAUUAGCAAUGAAGGAAUUUAAUUGAUAACUAAAACUGCAAAACAAAAUGACUACAAUAGGUUCAAAACAGAAACUCGUCCGAUAGAUAUCUCAUCUUUAGGCAAUGCCUUGUUCCCUUUUUUUUUUUUUUUUUUUUUUUUUUUUUUUGUUGCAUGUCUUGUGAACUUCAUGUAAAUCAACAAAAUUGAUACCUUAACCAACAAUGGAGAGGUAAAAAGUUAAAAACAGAAGGAAUGUCUUCAGUUUUGUAAUGGAUUUUGCAAGUCAAAUUCUGUUCGAGAAUUUGCAACCCAGAAAGUCCCAGCAAUUAUUAACAAUCACAGAUAAGCACCGAAUGAAGGCCAAUCUAAUAAGCCAAAAUAUGUAGGGCACUAAAGAAAUUAUUGCCCAGUAACAAUGAUAGAUAAGCACAUGUGAAACUAAAGAAAAUUUUCAUUACUAUCAACUCCAAAAAAAAUUACCUAUGCAAUCCAAAAAAUGUUGAUACAGAGUUGGAGUAUCGAUGCCUGAAAUUGGUAUUUGAACCACCAACUACCUCCGUGAAUAUGCUUGUCACUUAAUGGUUUGGGUUGAAGUUGUGAAAGGAAAUGUAAUUUCUUAAAAGGAAGGAGAGAAUGCAGAGAAGAAUACAGAAUGGUUCACGUGGCCACCGCAAAACAGGUUAAUAAUCAAGCUUCACUAUGAAUGGAAAGAUUAAUAGAUGAUAAUUAAGAAGGCCUGAUACCCAAGCCGAAAUCAGAGAUAUCCUUUGUAAACAAAGAGAUUGAACAUUUCCUCUCAAAAAAUAACUUUUUUUUUUGUUUUGGGGGGGAGGUUGGGAAGGCUCAGAAAAAGACAUCCAAUAUAAUACUUAUUGCAUGCAAGGUAUGAAACAGCCUCCCCCCGAGUAAAAUCACAGAAAUAAAAGAAAUCGAAUCAAGAAAAAAGAUAAUUACACAAGAAUUACACCUUCACUAAGAAAAUAAAUUAUAAAAACGAAGACUCUGAGAAUAAUUGCCUGUGAUUUGCUGCCAAAAACAAAAAUAAUGUCGUAUACAUUAAGCCUGCCGAUUACUAAAAACAAAACAUUUUUCCAUGAGAAGAAGUAAGAACAUACCGAAACUUGUUUGCUAAUAGAUGAGAAAAAUUUAUAACUGAAACAUAUAGGAAAUUUAUUAGGAAAAGAUAAACAAAACACCUAAAUUAAGCAAUUAAAUGGAGUAUUACUUGAUAGAGCUGGAAAAUUACCCAGUUCCUCAGAGAGAGGAUCAAGAGUGAAUGAUGAGAGUGCAGAGAAACGAAUGAUUGAGAAAUUCAAGCUCUGAGCUCACAGUUGGGGCUUCCACUUUCCAACUGGGGAAGAAAUAACAGAGAAAACACAAGGCCAAUCCACCAAAAAUAUUAAUCAAAUGGGUUUCUUCUAAUUCAAAAUUUUGACCACCCAAAUUCCGAUGAAGCAAUAAUUGUUCAAAAUUCCAACAGAUUGAAGGAAAAAGUAAUAAAUUUUUUUAAAACAGUAAUAAUGAAGGAAAAAGAAAUUAAAGCUGCGAGCCAUUCUCUAAAUCUCAGGCACCAAUCCAAAUCACCAGUAAUUUGCACAUAAUGAUAAGAAUCUAGCAAUACUUCCAUUGUUUAAAACCCAAAUUCCAGAAAUCAUGAAAAAUGGAAACUUUAUAUGGAAAUUGAAGCUUUACCUGCAGAUCAGCAGCAGCAAACGAAAUUCAAGAAGUCACGAUUAUCGACGCGUGGGUAGCAUUCCACUGUGCCAAGGACGAAAAUGAACGGGGAAUGUAGAGCUGGCUGACGAAGACAGGAUUCGCGAAGCGCUCUGAUUUUUUUUUUCACGAGAAUGCGGAAUGAAGAGAAGCGAGUAGAGGAGGAAUCAUUUUAAGCGAUGAUCGACGCGUGGAAAUUGAGGGCAAAUCUGCCAUUUUGCUGUGAACGAAAGUGAAAAAAGGCACAAUCAAAGAGUAAUUUGAGGGCAUUCUAGCCACUUUAAUAAACAGUAGCUUUGUGUUUGAGAUUUAAUAUAGGUAUAUAUAGAGCCCUACAGAGCAACUCCACCCAUGGAGCCCUCCUCUCUGACAAUCUACUAUUGAAUUCACCUUUUUGAACAGUAACUGCCUUUAAUAAAUAGUAACUACCAUUAAUGAACAAUAAUUGUCAUUUGCAUCUCCACCCUUGGAGCCCUCCCCCCUGGCAAUAGGCAAUAAAAUAUUAAUUUUUUUUGUUUGUUUAAAUAAUACAAAAUAAAAUUAUUUGUAAUUUUGGAUAAGAUUUUUUAAAUCGUUCUCGUUGCGCCACGUGUCAUUUUAUAAAAAAAACAAUUAUUUAGCGAUGGAUUUCGAUAAGAUUUUUAUCCAAUGUCAUCGUGUCACAUGUCGUUAUCUUUUGAUAAUCUUUGACGAUAUCUUUCGAUCAGAUUUUAACUCGUUCAAAAUUGCGUCACGUGUCAUUAUUCGAAAAGAUAAUUAUUGGAGAUCGAUUUCGAUAAGAUUUUUAUCCAAUACGAUCUUGUCACGUUUCAUUAUCUUUCAUAAUAUUUGAGGAUAGAUUUCGAUCAGAUUUUUAACGAAUGACGGCAUGCCACGUGGCCUUAUCUACAAUCCAAUCCUUUCUGAAUCAUCCAUAUAAUCCACCAUCCAUCCUCACAAAUCUCACACCAAAUUUCUCAACAUUUCUAUCUCAUUAUUCAUAGUUUCUGCUUCUUCUUCACCAUCCAUCAUUACAAUGUCUUCUUCUUCAUCAAGGAUGAUGUGGGAAAUCGAUCAGCAAGAGGAAGAAUUGUUUAACCAAUCUGAAGGAAUGUUCAACCUUCAGAUAGCCGAAAAUGAGAUGGAUGAGGAUGAGGAGCGUAGAAGGAGAGACGACGAAACAAGAAUGGCCAGAGCCUCACAUUCCCGUUGAGUCAUCCAGACUGUUGCUCAGAUAUGCAUGCCCAACCGUUCAAGAAACCUUGGUAGAAGCAGGCAACGAUGGGGUGAAGAGCUAUUGGACGAUUACUUUGUCCAUAACAGUGCAUUUCCUGAUACGUACUUCAGACGUCGUUUUAGAAUGGAACGACAUUUGUUCAACAGAAUCAUGACUGAUGUUUACAACCAUGAUUCUUACUUUGUGCAAAAGAAUGAUGCUUGUGGUGUUAUGGGUUUCCUGCCUGAGCAAAAAAUCACUGUUGCGUUGCGGAUGCUUGCGUAUGGAGCAUCUGUAGACCAAGUGGAUGAGAUAACGAGGAUGGGGAAAUCAACCAUUCUUGAGGCCCUUAUGAGGUUUUGCGGAGCAGUCGAAUCUUUGUACACCGCAUAGUACCUCCGAAAACCUACUUGUAGGGACUUGCAAAGGCUUCUGAAGAAGGGCGAGAUGCGAGGUUUUCCUGGGAUGAUAGGAAGCAUCAAUUGUAUGCACUGGACGUGGAAAAAUUGUCCAAGUGCAUGGCAAGGCGCAUAUGGGGACAUAAAAGGAUCAAAAACUAUCAUUUUGGAGGCAGUGGCAUCUUUUGAUACAUGGAUAUGGCACGCCUUUUUCGGGGUUCCGGGGGCUCAAAAUGAUCUCAACGUCCUUGCCCAAUCCCCAGCGUUCAACGACAUCCUGCAAGGAAAGGCACCAAAAGUCACGUACAUCGUCAACGGACGUAGGUACGACGGGCCAUACUAUCUAGCUGACGGCAUUUACCCACGGUGGGAAACAUUUGUCAAAACAGUGCCACGUCCGCGAAGUGCAAAGGAAAAACACUUUGCAAGCUGUCAAAAGGGGUGCAGGAAGGAUGUGGAGCGUUGUUUUGGUAUCCUUCAAGCUCGUUGGGCGAUCGUCAGGGGUGCUGCCAGAAUGUUCGAUGUAGAGUCACUUUGAUCCAUCAUGAUGACAUGCGUCAUUCUUCACAAUAUGAUUGUGGAAGAUGAGUUCGAUUAUGAUGCGGUUGAUGAAUAUGAGCCAGAGCCAGACACGAUGAACAAUUCAAGAACACGGAUAUAUUGUGCGCAUGAUGCCACCAAAGAACCCGUGCAACAUGAGCCAUUAGAAAGGGAUGAACGUUACAAUGAAAUGGUCAUUCAACGAUAUACUGCACUUCAAAUGUCAUCUAUGCACAAUGAUCGGCAAAUUGACUUGAUAGAGCACCAGUGGACAUUAAAACAAGCUGAAGAUACUUAAGUUUAUUUAGUAUGUUUGUUUGUAUUUGGUAUGUUUAUGUAAUUUUAUUUGGUGUGUUUUUUGUAGUGAGUUUUUUAUUAUUUCGUAUGUUUAUGUAAUUUUAUUUGGUGUGUUUAUGUAAUUCCAAUUGGUAAGAAAAUAUGAAAUUGUGGUGUAAGGUAGAUGGAGAAGAAGUGGUAUUUAUAGAAAAGUAAAAACAAUUUUUUACAAAUUUUUUUUUUUAGAUUUUUUACAAUUUUUUCGGAUUUUUUCCAUUUUUUUUAAUUUUUUUUUCAAAUAAUUAAUCUCUGCCGUUGGAUUUAAAAAAAAUUGAAUUCCAACACUCCAGAUUGUGCCACGUGUCACAACGGUAAUUUUUCUUAAUUUUAAAACUAUUUUUUCUUUAUUUAUAAAGCAUAUUAAUAUCGACCGUUGAUCUGAAAUCGAACGGUUGAUAUUAAAUAAGAUUUGUUUUAUUUUUUUUACCGUUGAGAUCCAACAGUCCAAAUGAAAGAGCCGUUGAGAUCGAACGGACCGUGGGAAACCACGUGGCUUCCCAAUGGUAACUGAGACAACUGCAAAAGUGGGCUGCUUUUCUGAAAAGCUGUCAGGCGACGCGCCCCCACGCGCGAGUGGGGUGCACGCGCCUGACAAAAAAAAAAAAAAUGGGUGAAGAGCUCGGGCUCACGGCUGUCACAAAUUGACAGGCCUUCUGCUCGGGCCUUCUCCACGAGCUCGGGCUCUUCAAGACUGGAGCUGAUUGACUAGCCCUCGGGCCUUUCUUUUCCCCUGUCCCCCGGCCUACAUGCAUGGGUGGAGUUGCUCUAAGAGAAGGGAUUUCCAUUCUUGUUUUUUUAAAUGUGGACACCUUUUUUACUGUUAGAUUUGACUUUAACGAAAUUUUGUGGUUGAGAUUAAAUCACAAACCACAGAAUCUCAACCAUAGAAUUUCAUUAAAGCUAUAUUUAACGAUCAAUAGGGUGUUCCCAUUUUUUUUGAAAAAUAGGAAUCCCUUCCCUUAAGGCUUUCAGUAUAUUAUAUACACUAAAACUCAAUUGAUGAACACUGUUCAUUAACAGUGAUUUUACGUUUUAGCCCCUGUUUUGCUGUUUGUUUGCCCUUUUAUUUUUCGAUCUUAACAGUAAAAUGACAGUUUUGCCCGUUCUUUCCACGCGUCAGUCAUCGUUGAGCUCUUCACUUCAAGAGUCUUCUUUUAGGUUUAGCCUUUUCUUUGCACUGGUGAUUCUCUGAUUUCGUCUCUUCGUCUCGCCCUCUGUUUUUUCUCAAAUCCUCCAUUCCUCUCAAAUAUUCCGUUCUUUAUUUCACAAAAUAUUCAGGAGAAAGUUCCUGAUUUUCGUGUUUUAAGGGAUAUAAUGAUUUGGUGUUGUUUAUCUCAAACAGCGGGCUUGCAGGUAAAAUGUUAAGCUUUAUGUCCAAAGCAAUCUUUCUCUGCAUGCUGACUGUGUGUUGAUUUGAAGGGGUGGUUUAGUGAAUGGGUGCUUCUUAUUUUUGGCCUUUCUCUAUUAUCAUAUAUGUUUCUCUAUUCUCAGGUAUCAGAUCAUUCGAAACAAAAACAUUUUAACGUUAUUUUUGCAGGUUAAUGUUGGGUUUGAGUCCAACACGAUAUACACUUGAACAGAGUAGAGUAGAAGACAGUAUGCAAACAUGAUUUAGGACACAGUUUACCUAAUUGUAAACACUCUGUGAAAUAUUAUUAGUUAUGAACAUCCAAUUUGAAUCCCCCACAUGCUAAAUUAGGUACCAUUAAAUUAGUUUUAUGUCUUUUUUUUAUUUGAAAGCUGCUUCUUAUUUCUGUCUCUAUUAAGAUUCUGGGGUGUGCUUUGGAUUUGCUACAUAUGGUCAUAUUUUUUGUCAUUGGCUUUUUGUUCUGCUUAGUUUUUUUUAAUCGAGUGUUUUAUCUGGUAUUUCAUUUUGUUUUGUUUAUUUGUUUCCUUUUUAUGUUUAAAUGUUUUUUGUUCUUUCUAAAUUUGGGCUUCUGGGAAAUUCUUGCUCACUGUUUGGAUUCCGAGAAAAUUUAGGGGAUGUCCAGUAAUAUUCACAUCCUGAAAACUCAGUGAAAAUAGAUACCAAUUUAUGUGCAGCUGAAAAUUUUGUUAUCUGAUUCUGUUCUAAAUAACAUGAUUUAUUUGUUUUUUAAACUUUUAAUUAUUUCGUAUUUAUUUUGUGAUUGCAGAUGUUUAAAUGAUGGAGAGUUUCGCAAAGCUGUUACUCGGAGGAGACAUGUCUAGAUGAGGGAAAGGUGUCUCCACUGCCCUUGCUAUCUCAAAUGCCAUCACCAAUCUCUCUGGUUAGUCACAUUCCUCUUGGAAUAUGCAUAUUCUUAUGUGAUGUUGGCUGAUACCUUGGUGAGUCAACUUAAUAAAAAAUGUGAGAUGGACAAAUUGAAAAGUCUAUUUUCUUCUCAUAUGCAUCCUUUAACAUAUGUCAGUUUUAAUUAUUGAUGAGCAAUUGAAAAUUUAGUUUUUCUUCUCAUGGUACACUUACAUUGGUAGUUCAACAUAUGUUUGUUUAACAUAUCUUAUUAAAUGCAUUUGAGAAUCGAUUGAAGAAACUCAGUUCUUUUAGCAAUUAAGAACAAGGUAAACAUAGUUGUAAAUAUGUGUAAAUAAGAUAGGAAUUUUGAUGAAUUUAUGUUUUUUCCUCCGUUUUUCAGUGUUUUCAGGCAUUGAAGCUAAAUAUGGAGAGGGUUUUGAGACUUUUAGACCUAUUGGACCUCUCAAGGUUUGCGUGGUAAGGAGUUUAUGGAGUUAUACGCAUAGUAGGCAUUAUAUUUUAUGUUCUGUUGAAUUUAAUUUAAUGGUUAUAUUUUAUGCUCCUAUGAGUUAUUACUGUUAUGUUUACUCUGAGUAGGAUUUGUUGAACGACAAACUGCAAGGAGGUUUUCUUAAACGAAUAUGAUAUGCUAUGAAACCGAAUGAAGCUUACUGUCUUCUAUUCUCUUUUGUUAAUUUCGUGGUAAGUUUCUAUAACACUGAUUAGUUAUGUCUUCGAGGUUCUAAUGGCUAGAUAUGCUAAUGUAAUGAACUAUGGAAUAUUGUAAUAGUUUAUGGUCAAUGUGAUCCCAUAUCUGUUUGAUUGAAAUAUUGUUCUAUAACAGGUUUAAACUUUGUUUUUCCAAUACCUUAUCACAAAAUAAUUCCACCUUGGACAAAUUACAAGGUAUGCUGCAACAUGUGCUUUGAUUAAUUGCAUUCAAAUUGAUACUGCUUAAGAAUGCAUUUGAACAUGUUGAAUUUCACGCCCGCAGCAUCGCGCGGGCAAUAUUGCUAGUAUAAUAUAUAAUUGGGUGAUAAAGAGAGUAGGUGAAAGAACACAAUUUGCUCUUAAAAAUGUUGUUUUUAAGAACGAGUGAUUUUUCUUUUCUGACUCUUUCUGUCUAACCCAAAAGCAUACUGGUAAUAGGGUCCAGUAAGAAAAUUAUUUUUAGAAAUUAAACAUGAAAAAAUACAAAAUUUACAAUUUCGAAUUAUACAAAAAAGACAAAAAAAGCGCAAAAUAAAAAGAGCAGGACAGAAAAACAGAAACAAAAGAAAGGAGACACUAAGAAUACAAAUAGCGUGAUUUGAGCCCUCAAUUUUGGCAGGCAACAUGAUUGUUAACGCAUGAUUGUGAACCCAUCCAUUGAAGAAAGAAGCAUCAUAAUACACAAGAGUCAAGACUGGGCUUGGUUUAUAUAAUGAAUAAUGUUAGGGAGAUCAAAUUUUUUAAACUAAAUUUGUAAAUUAAAUGAUGUAGUUAUAGAUGAUUGGGUUAUUACUAAGUGUCGAUUAAUAUGUUUAUUUCUUAUUGGUGACAUAUCAUUUGGUUUAAAAAUUUGGUCUCCCUAGCAUUAUCCUUAUAUAAUUAAUCAAUAAUAUUCCAUAACAAGAGCUAGGUCCAUAUAUUACGAGGUUAUAAAAUAUGCUAGGUGCUAGUCGAGAGGCGGGCGGGGCCUAAGCAGAUUUAAGUAAAUUUAUUAUAUAUUGUAUAAAUAAAUGCCUUUUUAUACUUAAAAUGACACACAAUUGUAUCGAAAUAUAUAAAUUGCAAAAUAAAAUGACAUAUAGAUUAUAAAUUACUAGAACAUAAUGAACAAUCAUAUAAUGAGGGUUUAUCCAAAUAUUUAUUGGAAAACAAAAAACAAAAUGAGUGUUAUCGAUUUUCUGUCUAAAUGAAAGUUGCGGGCUAGGCAGGUUUAAGUGGGUUAGGCGGACGCCUAAGCAAGUCUAGAGCACUUUCUUAAUUUUUAAAUGAUUAGGGACUAAUUAGGGUGGUGGACAACUGCCUAGCGCUAGACAUGGGUUUUUAGAACAGUAAUUACUUGUUCUCAUAGAUCUCUGGGUUCAAGAAAAUUAUGAUCACCUAUUGUUCGAUCUUAAUACCGUCGGUAAGCGGUUAUUUAACCAUUUUUUAUAUUGAGUAAUUUUCCUGGAUCCUGAAAUCUAGAAGAACAAAACUCUUAUGUCACAUGGAUAAACAUAAUCAGGCAUAAGAAAAAGGUUGAAGAAUUCAUAAGUCAUAUAGGGGGCGUUUGUUUGCCCUCACUAAGUAUCACUGGACUAACUAUUAGUCCAGUCCCGUGUUUCUUCUGUAGAGGGAUUAUGUUUCAUGAGACUAAAGGGGAGUCACACGGACAAACUCCUUCACUAGGAGUUCUUAGCGAGAUCCCCCAAUGCCCAUGGGAUUGCUAAGACCUCGUAUACUCCAUCUUUGUAUGCUAUGUCUCAUCCUCUCUAUGCUCUCUAUUAUCUUGAGCACCAUCACACCACAACUCACCAACUCCAGUGAGAUCACACCACCAACCCACCACCACUUUCUCCCUCUCUCUUCACAUGAACCCAAAAUUUCGAACUGAGGAAGAUCCCGUUCUUACAGUAAUUCGUCCAGCUCUAGCUGUCUGCUUCGCUUCGCUGCACUUCAAACUCGACCUUGGACUCGUCUGAUUCGCUUUGAACUCGACCUCGUAUUUGUCGACUUUACGCAAUUGACGAGAUCUUGUGAACUUGAUGAUGGGUGAGCCACCCAGUGCACUUGAAGGAAUAUGGGAGGCCAAGAACGCCAAAGCCUACGACGGCAAUGAAGACGUUGGCUGGAUUGGGAUGACAGCGACGUGUUCCACAUCAAGGGCAGCGGCUUGGGAUUCUUGUUUUCAUUUGGUUUUGAUUUAAAUUAGGUUUUGAUUUCGAAUUGGGUUUGAUGUGAUCUGGUAUUGGCAUUUGAUUUGCUCUGUAAUUGUUUGAAUGUGUGGAAUAAAUUUUGGGGAAAGAGGAAGAAAAUUUAGAAAAAGAAAAAUAGACUAAAUAAUAAAAUAUUAAUAUAUAUUAGAUUAAAUAAUAUCAUAUUAGAAUUUAUUAUUAUCCUACUUCUUGGUCCGACACUGCACCAAACGCUUUACUAAGCUAAUCCAACUUAGUCUAGUCUAAGUCAAUCCAGCUUAGUUCCUGAAGUUAGUCUAGUCCAAGACAAUCCGGUGCAACAAACACAUUCAUAGAGUAAUUAUAGGGAUACUAAAUUUGUAAAUAAAAUUUUGUAAACUAAAUGACAUGGAAGUUGAUCGUUGAAUUAUUACUUAAACGUUAAUAAAUGUACUCAUUAUCACUAAAGACACGUUAUUUAAUUUGUAAAUUUUAUUUAUAAAUCUAAAGCAUUACCCAAACUCAUAAUACAAAUAGCUACUUUGAGAGAAGAAAAGAUGGAGAGUGAUAUGAUUGCAUUCUUUUUUAAAGCAACUUCUGAAGAUUCCAUAAUAAACUAUUAUUAUAUAUGAAGAUGUGCCGUGGUAAAAGAGAGGAAAAAAUGAAUGGAAAGUUUAUCCAAAAGAUUCUUGACCGUGAUUACAACUAUUUAACUUUUGUAAAUUUUCAUGGACCGAGAUCCAAGAAAAGAUGGAGAGUGAGAUUGGCAUUCUUUUUUGUAAAGGGAUUUUUUUUCCGAUCCCUUCCAUCUAAUUCACCUGAGUCAACCAUUUGAGUUCUUGAAAUUUAUUUAAACAACUAAAAUUAUUAUAACUUUUAAUGAAGCCCCUAUUUGUAGUCGUUAAAUCAAAUUUUAAAGAUUCGAAUUAGUGAAUUAGGUGGAUUAGGUGGAAGGGAUCCGAAGAAUAUCAAUUUCCUUCUUUUUCAACACAACUUUUGUUGAGUCCAUAAUAAACUAUUAUAUGAAGAAAGAAUACUAAAAAGACUCUCUCAAAAUCGAAACUUUUUGCGAACUUUUUAGCAUCUCAUGUUUUUGAGAUUAAUAACUAACAUUAUCUGAGAUUUAUUAAGUUUUCACAAAAUUCCCUUACGUAUGAGAUAUUACGCUAACAACACUUUAGUGUAAUGUCUCAAACGUAAUGGGACCUUGUAAAAUUUGAUUAACUUCGACAGUAUUAGUAUAUUUUUAUGUAAAUAUUAUAAAAUAUUAUGUUAAAUACAUUAAAUAACAGAUAGUCUUUAAGAGAGAUUUCUUACAUCUUUCUAAUGGAUACGGACGGUGGAAAAAGAUCAUUCCAUAAUUAAAUAUUGUGCUGUUGAUUACGCGUCUCUCCAUUUGACUAAGUUCCUUUUCACAUUCUUCCCUAAAUAAAAUGGUUCACUUUUCACAUUAUUACAAUAUUUAUAUUUAUAUUUUUACAAAAGGGAUUCGUCUAAAUUAAAUUUUUCGAAAAAUUUCGUAUAGUGAGUGAAAGUGAAACACUCCCUUUGUUAUGAUUAUGACAAUAUUUAUAUUUUUACAAAAGGGAUUUAUCUAAAUUAAAAUUUUCAAAAUUCCGAACAAGAUUUGAACUUUCGUGUAUAUGAAUAUAUGGAGUAAAUUGAUCAUGGCUGAAAAUAUGGCAGUGGUUGUGUUUGUGUUGCCUAACGGAUGAUAUUGAAAUACCUAAACACAAGUCAAGCUCCUUCAGUUAACAAAAACAGAAGUUUAUAAUAUGAUAAUGUUGGCGCACGGACUUGAGAAACAACAUAGGCCGGGAAUGUGCACAAAAAGUAAGAGAGAGGUAAAGAGGAAAGAAACGAACAUGAAAGAACAAAGACUAUCGAAUACAUUAUAAAACAAUGACUUCUUGGUAGUCAUUACAUCUCAACCAUCAAUAAUGCAUUAAUUUUGGUUGAAAUGUAGAAGUAUUUGAGAAGUAGCAUGACAACAACCACAUAAUAAACAAAAGUGGACGCAAAUGUGAAAGGAUAAUUAAAAACAAUUAUUCAAGAUGGGCGGUAGUUGAUUCAGCCAUUUAGAAGAUUCAAACCUAGAAUCAUUAUUGUAUUAACUAUUAACAGGUGCUAUAAUAUAGUUCUUAGGGAUUUCAAGGAGGCAUAUGGGGGACUACAUAAUGUGCAAUAGGAUUAAACUUUUUUUGUUACUAGGCAAAUGAACCAUAUUGAAAAAAGUUGAGGUUUAACCAUAAAAUUAAUUGACGAUAUAAAAAGUAGCUCAACCUCUUAUAAGCGUUUGCAAGAUUUCUCUUUUGACCUAUACAAGACUCUUUUACUUUCACAUCCUCGAACAUAUAAUACACCCAAAUGGAUGCCAAUAUAUAAACAUUGUUUUGAAAGGACAAGGGAGCUAACAGUGUCUUUUUAUAUGACUUGGACUUGGAGUACGGGCUGCAAAUUGCAUGCAAUUGCAACGAGAGCCAAAGAUAAUUGCCUUGUCCUUCAAAUUUGUUGGUAAAUUGGGGAUUGCACGAAGAUUUUCGCACUAAUCUGAAUACAGUGUUUCAAGCUUUUAAAGACCACUGAAGCUUUGAAAACUCUGUUGAUUUUACUUCCCAAGUAAGUGACAUAAAACUAAAUUGGGCAGUUGCAUGACAACAACCACUUAAUAAUCAAAAGUGAUUCGAAAAAGACCGAAAGUGAGAUGACCGCAUUCUUUUUCAGACAACUUUGGUAGAUUCCAGAAUAAACUAUUAUACAUGAAGAUGGGCGGUGGUAAUUGUCCUUUUGAUUAAAGUUUUUUGAGUCGAAAAUCAUUUUUCUAUAAUUAAUUCUUAACUAGAAAUUUGUACCAGUACACCGUUGUGGGACUGAAAAUCUUAUGAAAUAUUUUAUAACUUUAAUUUUCAUAAAUAAUGUGCGAGUGAAAAACAAAAAAUUACGAAUGGUAAUGCAAUUUAUAUGUAACCUUAUCAUGAACGGAACAAAUUUAGAUACUAAAAGAAAAAUUAAAAAUCUAUUUUUUCAAAGUGCGAAGAGAUAAUUGUUUAUUAAAAAAGUUGGACCAAUGAUAACUGCAUAAAUUACAAAUGCAAUAUUAAGAGUAUACCAGUCAAACUAAGCUUGCUACAGGCUAAACAAUGUUGAAAAACAUCAUUAGCUUUUUCAAGUGUUAUAUGCAAUGAAUGUAAUUAGCACGAAACUAGCACGAAACUGCAGAGGCUUUCGAUCCAUUAUAAUAUAAAAUAAAUAAUAAUAUUUACGUAUAAAAUAUGAUAUGAUUAUAUGAAAGUAACGACCCAAAUCUUAUUGGAGCUAAUUAACUAAUGUAUGCUCAUCAGGCAGCUGGAUUCCUUGGCAAGUGUUUAACCCCUACUUUCUUCACGCUCACAGAAUCACCAUUUGCAAAGUCAAUCGGCCUCACACCAAUAAAAACUUAAUCCCCGGCUAGUAAACUGAUCAGCUUAUCGUCCGAUAUAUGUCACUGCAAAGAUAAUCACCUUGUCUUUCAAAUUUGUUGGUAAAUUGGGGAUUGCGAGAAGAUUUUCGCACUAAUCCAAAUAUAUUGUUUCGAGCUUUGAAUGACCACUGAAGCUUUGAAAAGUCUGAUGGUUUUGUUAGGUCAUGUGUAUGACUAACGUUAAUGAUUUUCAACUUCCCAAGCAACUGUUACACAACUAAAUUUAAAAUCCAAGAGGAGGAUAUGAUCAGAGAAGAAAGAAAUGCAAUCCACUAAUAAUCAACAUCGAUAUUGUCUUCAACUUAAUCAUGAAUAAGUUUUAAGGCACAAAAGACCUCAUGCUUUUGUAGUUGAGCCAUUUAAUGUAAGGAGAAUCACAAUGUUAGUUAACCACAUCACAGUACAAAAGCACUAAAAGCGUCCAAGUGAAAGUGAAAGUGCUUUCUUCUCAUGUAGUUUCAUUUAACUUAAUUUUCCACAAUGGUAAUUAUGUUUCAAUGGUUCUGUUUUCACAUGCCAGUCGGUCAGUCACAUACUCAACUCCUUAAUGUUCGGGCUCAAUGGCUCGAAGAGAGCUUCCACUUCACUCUGAUUCACCUCCUCUAACUUUGACGGAUUCCACUUCGGAUUCUGCAUUGACAAGAAACAGAAGCCAGAGAUAAAGAUUCGUUGAUAUACGGAAAGUAAGAUGAUUAUACAACCGUAGGUCUAGUAGAGGCUGUAAUGGUUUAUGUUGCAGCAACUGCGUCAGCAAGUGAUUUUAUAGCAAGGAAUCUUGAGCAUAAUUAACGAACCUGAUCCUUGUCCACCAAAACUGCCGUACACCUUCAGCAAAAUCAUUCCGUAAAGACGAUCUUAUAGCAACGUGAUAUUCAGUUUCAUCACACCAGUUAACUGGUAUUGGUCAAGUAAAGCACAUGUUACUUUCUGAAAAUUUGAAAUACUACAACGCAAAACCUAUCAAAAGGAUGCAACCAUGUGAUGCAAGAAACGAAAAGGUACAAAGUCCAGACUCACUCUGGAUAAUUGAUUGUCAUUUUUCCCAAGCACGGAUGCAACUUUAGCGAAAUAAUUUUGUGUCAAAAAAGUGAAAACAGAGCACCCUUUCCAAGACCUUAAAGAGCUUCGUUAGCCCACUCACCACUGCAAUACAAACAAUUUAUACAAAAUACUUGACAGCGACAUACAAGCUGCUCAAUAGACAAAUGGCAUUAAAAAACUUACCAGUAGCAUCUGAACUCUGAUGCUGCUUUUUAAGUUCAUCAAUUGUCUCAAGAACCAACUUAUCUGCACCAAAUGCUGAAGUUAUUUGAGGUAAAAGAGUCUUGAGUUGCGCUUCAGAAUCUGGGUAGCUGGUGAAUUUCACCACAAUUGUUUCAAUGUCCUGAUGGGGAUCCUGGGAACUGAUUCAACAAUGGAGUUGCUUUUAUCUCAAGAAACGCAUUGGACAAUGUGAUGAUGGCAACUAAAGUUAAACCCACUGAAGCAUUGGAAAUUGCGUCUGAGGAUAGAAAAGGCAUACCUGCAGAUACUCCUCCCAGACUCUUUGCCUCUAUAUGUGAAAACCCAUCUGGGAACAAACCAAUUCCAUUCUCUGGCAUAGCAAGAACAGUCCUCAGAAAUGUAUCCAUACAAAGUUUGACACACAAAAUUAAAAAAGCCAUUGCAAUGUAAUUGACAACAUUGACAAUCUCUGUCUGACCGGGCAAUAAUGCCUCUGUAAUGAUCCGGUAGCGACUGUGACCUGAUAGGCCAAUACCAAAGCCCACUGUUAUGCCAUCCAUGAAGCUUAUAUGGGCUUCUUGUACUCGGAGAUAUUGCAUAUUAGAGAAUACUCAGCAGUGAAUACCUGAAAAACGUGCAGCACAAAUAUCAUAUCGGUAGCCUCUCAAAUCUUAAGAAAACUACAAAUGGUAGCUUAGAAAAGAAAUGAAUCCUCUCCAACCAAUACAAAUCAUAUUACCCAAGUUCAAGCAAAAUCAAGACUAAACAAAUGACCAGAUGUUGUAGGUUGCCAGAGAAUGUCAAACAUGAAAUUACAAAAGAAAAAAAUAAUCGUAUGUAUUGAACAUUAAUAAAUACAUGCUGAAAGCACAAUCUUAGCCGCAAUUUAUGACAUUUAUACAAGAUUAAAUCGCCAAAGAAAUUAAAGAAAUUGCAGAGCUCAUAUAAGUGAUGUUCACUAUGAACUUUUAGGCUUAUCAACAAAUACACCAUAACGAUUCUAAUGCAUGAAUUUUGUUAAAGGGGGCUUGCUUGCUUGUAUUAAGGCUUAAUCAUCAAUGAUUUUGCAAGGGUCAAUCGUAUUGCUAGUUGUAAAUCUAUUCACUAUGAAAAUUACCAAAAUUACAUCUAAUAUGGUAGUGAAGGAAGUCAUCUUACAUUAUCUGGAAUUUAGAAAACUGUGUAAGGUUAUAAUAUAUGGUUACAAGGACACAAUUAGACCUCAAUCAUAUUCGGUGGUUGGUUUUUGGCCGUGAUCUGCUUCACAUCACCGCCUGCAGGUAAACUAAAUCUGGGUUACUACAUAUCAAUGAAUCAACGUGCCAACUUAACGGACACCAUCUAUCUCUAUAUGGCAAAAAAAACAACACAAAAAGGAACAUGAAGUGAAACAAUAAACAACAUGACAUGAAACAGCACGAACAUCAAAGACCAACAAUCUAUCACGUAAGCACCUAAACAAGAAACAACUUUAGUUCAAAGCAAAGCGUAAUGUAGAAACCUUCGGCACAACAGGUGUGUUUUUGUCCUUUCGAGUUUCGGCAACAACCACUUUAAUAUCCUUUCCUGCAUUUACCAUGAUUGGUCACUCUUAAAACCUUAACUCCGCCGUGUAAGUUUAUCUUACAUUGCCGGUCCCAAGCCCGGAUAAAGGAGGAGGGGGAGGGCGUCAGGUAGUCGACAGCCGGCACUCCAUGAUUACGUCGAAUCCUUACGAAAAUGAAUCCAGAACGAAAUCGCGCUAAAGCUAGGGCGUCACCCGUAAGUGGCGCGCUGUGUGGCCCGAGCACAGUGAUAAGUGAGCAAGGGUCGCUAUAUCUCCAUCGGCACCCGGAUGCAGUGUUAAAUGAGCAAGGGGGCUAUAGAAACUUCUUUUCGAACGACUCCACUCAAAGUUGUUUGGGAGCAUAUGCUCCUAUCAACUUUACACGGGACACACAAAAGAAGUACUUUGAUCCUAUUAGACGGGGAAGGGUGAAGAAGCUAGGACAGAAGGGUAGAGUUCAAGAGAGCAAAAUGCGUUUAGGAACGUGGAAUAUAGGAACCUUGACGGGAAAAUCUAUGGAAGUAGUAGCAGUUAUGGUGAGGAGAAGGAUAAAUAUUAUGUGCCUACAAGAAACUAAGUGGGUUGGGCGUAAGGCAAAGGAUCUAGAAAACUCAGGGUUUAAACUAUGGUAUUCGGGCACAAAUAGAACGAGAAACGGUGUUGGCAUCAUCGUGGACAAGACCUUGACACAAGAUGUUGUAGAUGUUAAGAGGGUAGGAGAUAGAAUCAUGUCAAUCAAGAUUGUAAUAGGACAAGAACUUAUCAAUGUGAUUAGUGCGUACGCACCUCAAGUAGGGUUGGAUACGAGUUCGAAGGAGAAAUUUUGGGAAGACCUUGGAGACUUGGUGCAAGGAAUUGCUCAGACGGAGAAGUUAUUUAUAGGAGGAGAUUUAAAUGGACACGUGGGCAGGGAGACAGACAACUAUGGAGGUUUUUAUGGUGGCCAUGGUUUUGGGGAGAGAAAUGAGGAUGGGGAAGCUAUCUUGAAUUUUGCAAUGGCAUAUGAUCUCUUCUUAGCCAACACCUUCUUUAAGAAGAGAGAAGAACAUGUGAUCACCUACAAGAGUGGGUCGUCAAAAACACAAAUAGAUUUUCUCCUAAUGAGGAAAGGGGAUCGUAUAACUUGUAAGGAUUGCAAAGUUAUACCAGGAGAGAGCGUGGCUAAUCAACAUCGCUUGUUGGUGAUGGAUGUAAAUAUCAAAAGAGUGAGAAAAAAGAACAAGACUUGGAAGUGCCCAAGGACUAGAUGGUGGAAUCUAAAAGAAGAAAAACAAGCCAUUUUCAAAGAGAAAGUAAUCACCCAGUGUGUGUGGGAUAGAGAGGGGGAAGCUAACCAAAUGUGGGAUUCCAUGGCUAGUUGUAUCCGAAAAGUAGCAAAAGAGGUAUUAGGAGAGUCCAAGGGCUUUGCCCCACACCAAAAGGAAUCUUGGUGGUGGAAUGAGGAGGUACAAACAAAGGUGAAGGCUAAGAAGGAAUGUUGUAAAGCCUUAUACAAGGAUAGGACCGAUGAAAAUGGUGAAAGGUAUAGAAAAGCGAAGCAAGAGGCGAAGAAAGCUGUGAGAGAAGCUAAGUUAGCGGCUUAUGACGAUAUGUAUAAGCGACUAGAUACCAAAGAAGGAGAGUUGGAUAUCUAUAAACUAGCUAGAGCAAGGGAAAAGAAAGACAAGGGACCUAAACCAAGUGAGGUGCAUCAAGGAUGAGGAUGGAAAGGUUCUUGCUACAGAGAACGCGGUUAAAGACAGAUGGAAAGGUUAUUUUCAUAAUCUUUUCAAUGAAGGACAUGAAAGGAGUGCUUCUUUAGGGGAGUUGAGUAACUCAGAAGAGUGUAGAAACUACUCUUUUUUAUCGUAGAAUUCGGAAGGAAGAAGUGGUUGUAGCUUUGAAGAAGAUGAAGCAUAGAAAAGCAGUAGACCUAGACGAUAUACCAAUUGAAGUGUGGAAAGUUUUGGGAGAGACAGGUAUAACAUGGCUCACUGACCUUUUCAAUAGGAUUUUGAAAACGAAGAAGAUGCCAAAUGAGUGGCGAACGAGCACUUUGGUGCCUAUCUACAAGAAUAAGGGUGAUGUACAAAAUUGCAUGAACUAUAGGGGUAUUAAGCUAAUGAGUCAUACAAUGAAGCUCUGGGAGAGAGUCAUUGAGCAUAGAUUGAGGCAAGAGACACGGGUUUCGGACAACCAAUUCGGGUUCAUGCCAGGGCGCUCAACCAUGGAGGCAAUCUAUCUCUUACGAAGAUUGAUGGAAAGAUAUAGAGAUGGGAAAAAGGAUUUACACAUGGUCUUUAUAGAUUUGGAAAAAGCGUAUGAUAGGGUCCCAAGAGACAUUCUUUGGAGGAUUUUAGAGAAGAAAGGAGUACGAGUAGCAUAUAUCCAAGCUAUACAGGAUAUGUAUGAAGGAGCAAAGACUGCCGUAAGAACUCAUGAAGGACAAACCGAAAGCUUUCCCAUAACUGUAGGAUUACAUCAAGGCUCAUCCUUAAGUCCUUACCUUUUUGCGUUGGUAAUGGAUGAGUUAACAGGACAUAUUCAAGAUGAUAUUCCUUGGUGUAUGCUUUUCGCAGACGAUAUAGUGUUGAUAGAUGAAACUCAGGAAGGGGUAAAUGCAAAGCUUAACCUUUGGAGAGAAGUGUUGGAAUCUAAAGGUCUUCGCCUAAGCCGAUCAAAGACAGAAUAUAUGGAGUGCAAGUUCAGUGCAAAUGGAGGCCAAAACGAGUUAGGGGUGAGGAUCGGAGAUCAAGAAAUACCAAAGAGCGACCGUUUUCGUUACCUAGGAUCUAUCUUGCAAAAGAACGGAGAAUUAGAUGGAGAUCUCAACCAUAGAAUACAAGCUGGAUGGAUGAAGUGGAAGAGAGUGCAUCCGGCGUAUUGUGUGACCGCCGUAUGCCACUGAAGCUCAAGGGAAAAUUUUAUAGGAACGGCAAUAAGGCCGGCGAUGCUGUAUGGCACAGAAUGUUGGGCGGUGAAGCAUCAACACGUACACAAAAUGGGUGUAGCGGAGAUGAGGAUGCUUCGUUGGAUGUGUGGGCACACGAAGAAAGGAUAAGAUUAUGGAAUGAGGAUAUCCGGGGUAAAGUAGGAGUAGCCGAAAUUGAAGGAAAGAUGAGAGAAAAUCGGUUACGGUGGUUUGGACAUGUGCAAAGAAGGCCUACUGACGCUCCGAUUAGAAGAUGCGACUAUGGGACAGAGGUUCAGGGCCGAAGGGGUAGAGGAAGACCUAGGAAAACUUUGGAAGAGACCCUAAGAAAAGACUUAGAGUACUUGGAUCUAACGGAGGACAUGACACAGGACAGAACACAAUGGCGUUCUAAGAUUCAUAUAGCCGAUCCCACUCAGUGACUUGGAUUUUCCAAGUCUCCAACCGAGAAGUUUUCCUCACUCGGGAAAUUAAGGGAACACUACCUCAACCUACAUGCUCCACUCACAAAGCUUCAACAAAAGAAAAAUUCAAAGAACUUAGCGAAGAAGGCUUUUGGUGUAUUUAACACAAUACGUUGAAAUGAAGGAAAGCUUAUUUAUUGAUAUCCCCGAUAAGUUACAAAUAUGUACAUAUACUUGAGUCAAAAUAAACAAACAAGAGGGAGCCUUCACAAAGGUUGCUUAGGAGAAGUCUCAGCAGUCGGUAGAGCCCCAGAAAGAGAAGGCACCGGAGGGGGAUCAUUCGGAGCCUCAGUACUGGACAGAACCCUAGAAGGAGGAGGCAUCAGAGGUUGAUCAUUUGGAGCUUCAUUACGCGGUACAGCCCCAGAAGACGAAGGCAAUAAAUGCCUUUGGAACAAACCCACAAAUCUCUGAUGAUCAAGUAAAACCUGACCAUCAGAUUCCUUCAUCUGGUCAAGCUUCCUCUUCAUGUUUGUAGCAUAGUCAUGUGCGAGCCGGUGCAACUGUUUAUUCUCAUGCUUGAGCCCUCUAAUCUCCUGUUUGAGACUCAUCACUUCAGCCGCCAAUGAUUCAACUUGGCGGGUUCGAGCAAAUAGGCGUUGGGCCAUAUUAGACACAGAACCUGCACACUGAACACUGAAGAGCCAGAGAAUCCUUAACAGCCAACUCAUCAGACCGUUUGGAAAGUAGUCUGUUAUCUUUGGGAGUGAGAAGGUUCCUAGGCCACUACCGCAGCGGUCAUAUCAUUCUUCAUCACGGAAUCCCCAACGGUAAGAGGACCAGUAGGGGAGACGAAGGAUGGGCGCCAUAUGUUGUCUGAAGAAGGCGGGGCUGCCUCUUCAACAAGGUUCAAGUCAAAACGACGGUCGGAGGGGCCAGACAUUUUCAAAGGUGUUGAAGAGAGAAGAGGUCGGACAAAUCAAGAUCUUAGAAGUGCAAGAAUGGAGCUUCUACUGGUGGAUAUUCAAGUGUGCUUUGGAACUUAAUGUCAGCCCCUAUAAAAAAUCUGCACUCGACGAAGCUUCAGAAAUCGAAGAGGCGCCUGCUCAGAAAUCGAAGAGGCGUUUGCUUUCUCAAAAGCUGGGCUGCUCAGAGACCACGAGGGUUUGAUCUCAGAAAUCGAAGAGGCGUUUGCUUUCUCAAAAGCUGGGCUGCUCAAAGACCACGAAGGCCGAUCUCAGAAAUCGAAGAGGCUUGCUUUCUCAAAAGCUGGGCUGCUCAGAGACCACGAGGGCCGAUCUUAGAAAUCGAAGAGGCACCUACUUUUCCAGCCUUGUCAGCACCUGUCACACGCACACUCAGCUUUGCGGAAAUUAUGGGCAUUCUGUCGAAGAUUUCUGGUGAAGUAGAAAGCACAUGAAUCGUACUGUUCAAUCACCCACUUCCCACACGCAACAGUAGCUCAUGGGUACCACAGAUAACUUUGCCAAAGUUCUCUGACAAAGUUGAGACACGUGAAGCUUGCAGCUCCCACUACAUCGCUCUGACCAAGAAGGGUAAAAGAAUAGCAAAGAAACAACACUAACAAAGUUUAGACACAUAAAUUUUGAAGGUCUAGCUACCAUAUUAUUACCCACAAGGGUAAAGGAACAGUACCACUGCUGGAUAAUUGGAAAGUCCCGGUGUGUCAACCUCUGUGCUUCGUGGCAAGGUAGACUAGCAAACAUGCCCAACCUUUACUCACAUUCGAGAAAACACUCCCAACAAGAUUGCUUGCUCCAAAAUCGAAGAGGCACCCGCUCCUCCGAAUCUCGAGAGCCAGACUCCCAACAUGAUUACUUUCUCAAAAAUCGAAGAGACAUCCGCUCUCCGAAUCUCGAGAGCCAGACCUCCAGCAGGAUUGCUUUCUCAAAAAUCGAAAAGGCAUCGUUCUCCGAAUCUCAAGAGCUGGAUCCCUGACAGGAUUGCUUGUUCGAAAACCAAAGAGGCACCACUUUCCCAACUUCAAGAGCUGGAUCUCCUUGGAUAAAGCUUGUCUGUAAUCUUCACACACGCAACAUCAGCUUUUCCAGAUACCACAGACCCACUUUUUCAAAGUGCUCUGACAGAGUUAAAACUUGUGAAGCUGGCAGCUCCCACUACCGUGCUAUGACCAAGCAGGGUAAAGGAAUAGCAUUAUUACUUGAUGUUAGGGAGACUCCUAUAUAUGUCGACCUCCAUCCCCAACGGACAGGCAGACCUGCAAAAAUGCUCAACCCUUCCUCUUAUCUGAGAGGGCACUCCCAACGAAGCCUUUCGAAAUAUUCAGCUUUCUUUCCCCCCGAUAAUACCUCUGUAAACAAGCUAUACUAGAGCAAGAAUAUCUCAUAUCAUCAGGGUUAAAAGCAAGAGUAUCCCAUAUCAUGCUUUUUUCCCGUCUUUUCCUUUGGCCUUGUUCUUACCUGCAAGACAAGGAGAAAGAGAGCAAUCAGUCAGCACUUGGAAUCAAGCUUCCAGCCAGGAACUGACUGCCUGGAACCCCUUACCUGAUUACUUACCUGGCAUUGCUCUCGAGUACUCAUCUUCAACAUCUUAUGCUUCCAGGGAAGAUACCGCAAUCGCCUGAAGAACAGAUAGGGCAAGUGAGAAGGAUACAAGGAAGCAUGUGGAGACAAGCGUAACAGCACACGUGCCGAUACAUCCACUACUCUGUCAAAAGCAAAAGUAUCUCAUAUCAGCAGGGUCGAACGUACUCUAGAUUUGAUGGACUUGUUUUGACCCUCAAAUUCUUCAGUCGGCCUUAUACUCUGGAGGAAACCAGAAAACCCUCCAGCCCAGUUCAAGAAUAAGCCUGUGGAAAGUUACUUCUUCAAAAGCAAAAAGUAUCCCAUAUCAUCUCUUCUCAUUUUUCUUCUCUUUAUCCUUCAUGCUGCAUGCAAGAUAGGGAGAAUGUGAACAAUCAGCCGGAGCUCUGAUUGCUUACCUUGUCUGUCAUCUCUUUCAGCAGAUCCCCUAGCUCGGCGACUUAGGGGACUCCUACUACAUGGUUUGUAUCGCGCUUGACCAAGCCUGAAACUACAAGUAAGCUUCAAGUGACAAUUGAUACAUUACCUUGUGCAUCUCCACCAGUUACAGAUACCACCCCUGGAUGGAGGAAGAGUACUUCCAGAGAAGAUGCCACAUCUACCUAUGAGACAGAUAAGGAAAGUCAAGACGAUACCACACUCCGGUACUUAGAAGUUUCGUGGUUACGAGAUCAUUCUCCCACAAUAUUUCCUAAUGUCAUUUGUACUAAAUCAUUCACUUGUACUCACUAAAGGAGAGCUUGAACCUAUGUACUUGUGUAAACCCUUCACAAUUAAUGAGAACUCCUCUAUUCCGUGGACGUAGCCAAUCUGGGUGAACCACGUACAUCUUGUGUUUGCUUUCCUAUCUCUAUCCAUUUAUAUACUUAUCCACACUAAUGACCGGAGCAAUCUAGCGAAGAUCACAAAAAGUGACCGUUUUCGCUACCUAGGAUCUAUCCUUGCAAGAGAACGGAGAAUUAGAUGGAGAUCUCAACCAUAGAAUACAAGCUGGAUGGAUGAAGUGUAAGAGUGCAUCCGGCGUGUUGUGUGACCGUCGUAGGCCACUGAAGCUCAAGGGAAAAUUUUAUUUUAUAGGACGGCAAUAAGGCCAGCGAUGUUGUAUGGCACAGAAUGUUGGGCGGUGAAGCAUCAACACGUACACAAAAUGGGUGUAGCGGAGAUAAGGAUGCUUCGUGGGAUGUAUGGGCACACGAGAAAGGAUAAGAUUGGGAAUGAGGAUAUCCGAGGUAAAGUAGGAGUAGCCAAAAUUGAAGGAAAUAUGAGAGAAAAUCGGUUCCAGUGGUUUGGACAUGUGCAAAGAAGGCCUACUGACGCUCCGGUUCGAAAAUGUGACUACGGGACAGAGGUUCAGGGCCGAAGGGGUAGAGGAAGACCUAGGAAAACUUUGGAAGAGACCCUAAGAAAAGACUUGAGUACUUGGAUCUAACGGAGGACAUGACACAAAACCGAGCGCAAUGGCGUUCUAGGAUUCAUAUAGCCGACCCCACUUAGUGGGAAAAGGCUUUGUUGUUGUUGUUGUUGUUGUGGUCACUCUUAAAACCUUACCUAAGAGACCCAAAAACAAAAAUAACCGCCGAAAGAGCUAAACAUACAUAUAUAGAAAAACUUAAUUAACUGCAUGCUAAAAUGGAAGUGUAAAAUUGCCAAGAAAGAUAAGAAACUAUUUAAAUACGAAUUCUGGGCAUUACCGCCACAAAAGGCAUGAGCCGAACAGCUAUCAACAAGAACACACUUCCCAUUCAUCCAGAUAGCCCUUGUAUUUCACAUCCAUAUCUGCAUUUUCCAACAAUUCCCACUUAAACAGAAACACAAAAUUCAUCGAAAAAAUGCUAACUUCUUCGAAAUUUGAAUCCAACGUUUCGUCUUAUAACAAAUGCAAUAACAUAGAUUUGUAAUCAAUUCGAUGCCAUAAAGUUCAAGCUCAAAAUUUCAAAUCAGCUCCAAAUCAAAAGCAUUUACAGAUACAUACAUAUAUACAUAUGCGUGUGUGUGUUUAUCUACAUACCCAGGUUCAUGGCGUUGAGAGCUCGGCAGGCGACGGAGGGUGAUGACGGCGACGCCAAUUGGGUGGACGCUGCCCUUCGAAUUGGGUCGCUCCUCGCAAUAAGCUUCCCAUUACUUCCGUUUGAGAGUGACUGUCAGUGUAGAGAGAGGGAUUUUUUUUUUGUGCUUCUGGACCGGACUACACUUGAUGUUUCGGUUAUAUUACCGGGAAAAAGAACUGCCGCGGUGGCUACGCAGGGAAACUUGAAAUUUGAAAGAAGUAUGAAGUAUGGACUUGCCUUCAUUUAUUGAACUGAGAAAUCGAAAUCUGAAAGAGGCGUUUGACGAAGUGAUUGUGAUCUGACUCAAACAUGUGAUGAUGACGAUGCAUCACCACCUUGGUUGUGCCUCUGGAUCAAAAACAUACCAUCACCAUCAAAAUCGUGCAUAUUUUCCUUCAUAGGUUUGUCCCAUACUAGAUUAACCCCUAUUCCCUUAAUUAUUGCAUAAUAAGAAUUAUAGCAUGUCUCUGGCAUUCCAACGGCUAUAUCAACUUUAUCCCCGCUUUGCAAAUUGAACUUAUCGUUGGACAUUUGUCCCUGCCAAAGAAAACAUUUUUCAGGUAAACCAUCGUGCAUUUUUAUAACCCAAUCUUCCUUGCCUAUGCAGGUUUGCAACUCAGUACGCUUGGUAUUAUUUAUAUCAAUACUGCCACGAGGAUGACAAUAUUUAAAGCUCAUAGAAGGGCUUGAGGGACAAGUUAAGUGAUAAAAGCAUAACAGAGUCAACCCUUCAAAAUUACGACCAUCACUUGGGGGGUAUCAAAACUGACUUUAUCACCAUCGUUGACAAACUCGAACCAAUCAGGAACAUAAUUCGCAUCGAGAAAAAUGCCAGCAUAUCCGUAAGAAGUCCAUCCCUAUAUAUACAGUGCAAGUGUCAUAUACAUACAUACAUACAUACAUACAUACAUAUAUGUAAAUGUGCAUUGUGUGUGCAUGUGCGCAAUAGGAAGACAAUUAAAGAGAGAGAUACCUUUAGGACCUUCCUCCUAAAAUCAGCUGUGAGAUUGGUGCACUUUUGCAUUACAAUCCAUUUCAUGGAGUUUAAUGACUUAUCCAAGUCCGGAAUCUCUGUGAGUGCGUGUGAACCAGUUACAUUCAGUUCUCUCAUAUUUGACAUUUUCGAAAAAUUGGGCAUUUUUACCAAACAACAGCAACCAUAAGCAUCCAGAAAUUUCAAAUUUGUUGGUAAAUCAUAGAUUGUAUGAAGCUGGGAACAAUAACUUAACCACAUACCUUCAAGCUUUGAAAGACCAUUGAGGCUGGGUAGGGUGUGUAAGAUACUGCAGUGACUUAACUCCAGAGUUUUAAGAUUUGAAAGACCAUUGAGGCUGGGUAGGGUGUGUAAGUUACUGCUGUGACUUAAUUCCAGAGUUUCAAGAUUUGAAAGACCAUUGAGGCAGGGAAGGGUGUGUAAGUUACCACAGUGAUUUAACCACAUAGUUUUAAGAUUUGAAAGACCAUUGAGGCUGGGUAGGGUGUGUAAGUUACUGCAGUGACUUAACCACAGAGUUUUAAGAUUUGAAAGAUCAUUGAGGCUGGGUAGGAUGUGUAAGUUACUGCAGUGACUUAACCCUAGAGUUUUAAGAUUUGAAAGACCAUUGAGGCUGGGUAGGAUGUGUAAGUUACUGCAGUGACUUAACUCCAGGGUUUUAAGAUUUGAAAGACCAUUGAGGCUAGGUAGGGUGUGUAAGUUACUGCAGUGACUUAACCAUAGAGUUUUAAGAUUUGAAAGACAAUUAAGGCUGGGUAGGGUGUGUAAGUUACUGCAUUGACUUAACCCCAGAGUUUUAAGAUUUGAAAGACCAUUGAGGCUGGGUAGGGUGUGUAAGUUACUGCAGUGACUUAACUCCAUACCUUCAAGCUUUGAAAGACCAUUGAGGCUGGGUAGGGUGUGUAAGUUACUGCAGUGACUUAACUCCAGAGUUUCAAGAUUUGAAAGACCAUUAAGGCUGGGUAGGGUGUGUAAGUUACUGCAGUGACUUAACUCCAGGGUUUUAAGCUUUGAAAGACCAUUGAGGCUGGGUAAGGUGUGUAAGUUACUGCAGUGACUUAACCACAGAGUUUUAAGAUUUGAAAGACCAUUGAGGCUGGGUAGGGUGUGUAAGUUACUGCAUUGACUUAACCCCAGAAUUUUAAGAUUUGAAAGACCAUUGAGGCUGGGUAGGAUGUGUAAGUUACUGCAGUGACUUAACUCCAAAGUUUUAAGCUUUGAAAGACCAUUGAGGCUGGGUAGGGUGUGUAAGUUACUGCAGUGACUUAACUCCAGAGUUUUAAGCUUUGAAAGACCAUUGAGGCUGGGUAGGGAGUGUAAGUUACUGCAGCGACUUAACCCCAGAGUUUUAAGCUUUGAAAGACCAUUGAGGCUGGGUAGGGUGUGUAAGUUACUGCAAUGACUUAACCCCAGAGUUUUAAGAUUUGAAAGACCAUUGAGGCUGGGUAAGGUGUAUAAGUUACUGCAGUGAUUUAACUCCAGAGUUUUAAGUUGUGAAAGACCACUCAGGCCGGGUAGGGUAUGAAGGUUACAGCAGUUACUUAACUGCAAAUUUUCAAGUUUUGAAAGACCACAUAGGCUGGGUAGGGUAUGAAAAUAAUGUUUUGAGAGAUCUAAAUUUCCGUCUAACGAAUUGGGAAACUGCAAAGUAAACUUCGAUUCCACAGACGCUAGAGAUAAAUGAGUGAGAUUCUUCAAUCUUACUAUGGAACAGGGUACUUGUCUUAUGGCUGUGGAAGAUGCUAUAAGUACUCUCAAUGAUGUCAUCUUCCCUAAAUCCUCGGGCAGUUCACUGAAUUGCUGACAUCCAUUAAGAACAAGAGUCUGAACGGAUUUGGACUUGUAGAAAUCCCCAGGAAGAGAAAUAAGAUUCUGGCAGCCUGUGAGGUUCACCAAAGAAAGUUUUUUAAGAUGACAAAUGGAGGGGUGAAUCUCGGACAAACUGUUACACCAUUCCAAUAUCAACUCUUCAAGAUUUAGGAGAUUUGAAAAGUCUGGUGAUUUUUUUAAGUCAAGGCAAUAACUGAGAUUAAGGAUUUUCAAGUUUCCAAGCGACUGUUGCACAAAAUCAAAGGAAAAUUAAAAUUAAUAUCCAAAAACAAAUGGAAACAUAACAUCAUCAUGUGUAAUCGAUUGUACCUUGGAGCCCUCCCAAACUUGUACAAGUCUGCUAUACGCUAUCUCUAAAAUAACCAGUGCUCUUGGUUGAUCAAAGAAGUGAUCUGGUAUGGACUUUAAAGGGCAUCCAAACCAACGCAACCAUAUUAACUCUUUGGAAAGAUGUUUGUAUUCUCCAUUGAGCUGCACGUUGUAGAGCUGCAGCAGUCUCAGUUUCUUCAUAUUGGCAAAUGCUUCUGUACUGAAGCUUCGAAGCCUUUGCAGCCAAUGAUCUCCAGAAAAAUUAAGAGCAAGUCCUUUAACUUCUUCAGUUCCCUGUUAACAAAAGGUUAUAUUCAUGUGUAAGAAACGGAAUAUUUGCAUAUGUUUACAUGUAUGAAUACAUGCAAGUACUAUUGUUGGCUAAUUGAGAUGAUGUUACUUAAUGUAUAAUACACAUCCGUGAGUUAUAUGUGCUUUUCAUGUACGAUGCAUCAAUUCAGAAUUUUAUUGGGACUAUACUUACAAAUUUAUCUCUCAAUACAUCAAUGACCUCUUGCUGGUUCCACAACCUACUCCAUUCUCCAGGGUGACGAGGGGAUUUUUCAGAAAUGAUUAAUUUGGCCAUUUCUUGAAGCAAAUCAUGCAUAUUCAACUUCUUGUGUUCAAUAGUGAUAAGGCAUCGUUCACAGAGGACAUUGAUUCCUAUUGUUGCAAAAAACUUACAUCCAUCUAAUAUUUUUGCGACAUAGUCCUUAUCCCAUCCAAUAAAGAAACAAGAUAUGUCAAGGAAUAUAUCCUUUUGUGUAGGAUCUAGCCUUUCAAAGCUUACUCUUAGUGGUUUCAUUAUUCCUUCAUCAGGAAAUUUUUUCAAUUUCUCCAACUGACUUUUCUACUCUGUUGGUGUUCUUUCAAUCAUAAAAGAAGAACCUAAAACUGCAAGGGCUAGUGGCAAACCACCACAGUAAGAAACAACCUCUUUUGAGAGUUCAAGAUAUCCUUCAUUAGGCCAACUCUUUCCAAAGGCAUGCCAACUAAAGAGCUUCAGAGCUUCUUCUUCAUUCAUUUCCUUAAGUGAAUAUGUCUUGUCCACUUUCAUGUUCACUUGCUUUAGAAAACGUUCAUCUCGUGUCGUUAUGAUAAUUCUACUUCCUGGGCCAAACCAAUCACGAUUUCCAGCUAUUGCAUCUAGUUGUUCCACUUUGUCUACAUUGUCAAUAAUGACAAGCACGCUUCUACGUUGGAGAUGAUUUUUUAUCAGACUGAUACCUCUAUCAACACUGGUUAUCUUAGACUCGGUAUGUUUCAAGAUGUCAGAAACAAGUCUUCCUUGCAAAUCAACCAGAUCACAUUCACUAACGUUGGCAAGGAAACUUUUGAAUUGGAACUUAUGAUGAAGUUGGUUAUAAAUGGCUUUGGCAGCUGUUGUUUUACCCAAUCCACCAAUCCCCCAAAUUCCAACCAUGCGAACAACAUAUGAUCCACCAUUUGAAAGAUAAGUGAUGAUAUCUUGAAUGCGAGUAUAUAUUCCAACUGGGUGCUUGGCCAAAUGUAAAUUUUCUGCGCUCGGAAGCCAUUUUGGGAUAAUCUUGUCAACAAUUUCUCUAAUAAGCUUUGCUUCGCGCCUGAAAAAUUGAAUUGGUAAGCUUAGUAAGUAGGCUCAGUAGGAGCUAUUAGUACUAAUAUAAACAAUUUUCUUUCCUUCUUUCCUUCGUGUGUGUGUGUGUGUGUGUACAUAUAUGUACACAAACUAGCUACUAGCUAGUACGUGAUUUUGUGACCAACUUCAAUAAAAGAAACAAGUUCAUUCAUUGAUAUAUUAAAGUUUGGUGCAUCAAUUAAACUCCAAUUAUGGUUUAGAUUUUAGAGGAAAUUAGAGAAAUGGUCCUUGAACUAUGAUCAAAUUGUGGCCUUGGUUCUUAAAACUAAAAAUUCAAUAAAUCUCCUCCCUGAACUUAACAAAAUAUGAAGCAUUGGUCCCUAAAUGUUAACACCGUAUGAUUUUCUGUUAAUUUGAUUAUGUCGUCUUUGUGGGCUCCAUAUUAUUGUUUACUAGAUGGCACGUGGCUUGAAAAGUCAAAAUAAAAGAAAAUAAAUACAAACAUAGAGAAAGAAAGAGAGAGAAAAAAAAACUUUAAAUUAUAAAAGUUAACUCUCUCUCCCAUCCUCCCUUCCGCCUCACCUCCUCCAAACCCCAACCACACCAUUGUAGCACUUUCCCAACAGCCAAAACAAAAGAAAGUUUCUAAUCCAAUUUUGGAACACGUCUCCGUUUGCAAACGAAUUCACAAUGACAUCCAUUCACGCUGUCUCGACAGGUAAGAUUCAAGAAAUUUGUGGGAUGCGGGUUCGGGGUUCGGGUGAAGGCUGUGGUCCGUGGGCUACAGUUUGGAGUCGGCUGGAGAGUGGGAUUAGGGAUUGGGGGUUGGAAGUGGGAGGUUGACGGGGUGUGAAUCAAAGAUUGAAGGUGAAGGGGUGGCUGCGAGUGUUGGUGGGAUGAGGUAGGUGAAACUAACAUGUAAAGUUGUAAACCCUUUUAACUAAAAUUUAAAGGAAUUGGUUACGAAGGACUAACGCUCCAUAUUUUAUCAAGUUCAAGGGCAAAAUGUAAUGAAUUUUUAGUUUAGGAACCACAGCUACAAUUUUCCUCUAGAUUUUAUAUGAGAGAUUAAGGCGUAUUAAUUAAGCAUGAUAAUUAGAGUAAUACAACUUAAAUACUGAAAGCACAUGAAUGAUUACCUAUUAUCAGUGAUUUGAAGAUGGUAGCCAGACAAAUUUGCAGCUUUUGUAAGAACCUCUCCCCACUGCUUUACCUCUUCUUGUUUAGCUUCACGUUUCUUGUCAUCCUUUUCUUCACCGACGCCUUCUUCGUGCUUUUGAAAUUCUUCGGCUGACUUUGCAGCUUCUGUAAGAGCCUUUAUCCACUGCUCUACCCUUUCUCGUUUUUCUUCACGUUUCUUGUCAUCUUUUUCUUCACUGAUGUCAUUUUUGUGCUUCUGAAAUGCUUGGGCUAAAACUCCGUUCUGCUUCCUGACAUGUGAAGGAUCAAUGUGAUAGAAUAUUGGCAAAACAUGUCGCCCCAGUUUGUCUCUGCACUCCAUGAUCUUCACCAGCUCGUUAAGACACCAACUCGAAUCCGCAUACCUCUCUGAGAAGACAAUGAUAGAGGUCUUCGAUUCUUCGAUUGCCUGGAGCAGUUCUUUUGGUAUUUCUUCCCCUCUUUUGAGAUCGUCCUCAUCAAUAUAAGCCUGGUAUCCCCUGUCUGUUAAUGCCGCGUGGAGGUGGCCCGUGAAGCCAUUGCGUGUGUCUACACCGCUAAAGCUCAAGAACACGUCGUAAUUCCAAAGUUUUGACUUGGAGGAGGAUGAAGAGGAGGCUUCGUGGGUUGUCAUGGCGGUAUCCACCGUUAUGGCACUGCAGUGGUUCAGAUCACGACUGAAGAAUGGUAGUAGUUGUGUUCGUGCAUUCAAACGGAUGAUCCUGAAAUACCUAAACGCAAGUCAAGCUCCUUCAGUCAACAAGAACAAAGUUUAUAAUAUAAUAAUUUUGGCGUAUGGACUUGAGAAACGACAUAGUGUUGGCCGGAAGGUGCAGAAAAAGAGAGAGGAAAAAAGAAAAGAAAGGAACGAAAGGACAAAGACCAUCCAAAAGAUUCUUGGCUGUGAUUACAGCUAUUCAUAGGAGAAACAACGGACAUAUUUUCAUAGGAGAAACAACCUUCCCAUCUUCAUAUAUAAUGCAUUUCAACGGACAUAUUUUAAUAGGAGAAACAACUUUAGUUUGUACUAGAAAUUUUUACCCGCACGUUGAUGCGGCAUUUGAAAUUGUAUGAAAGAUUAUCUUUGAAAUAUAUAAUAGAUUGUGUGAUUGAAGAUUAAUACUAUUUACAUUGAAAACGUUGGAAAAAGUUUUACAUAUAAAAGAUUUUAUGAUACAAUCCACGUAUAAAAGAUGGUAAAUUUUGUUCUAUCUACAUGCAUUAUGUUAUGGAAUGAUAUAUAUAUAUAUAUAACUAAGUUCCAGAAUAUGUAAACUUCAUAACUUGGAAAUUUUUUGACAAAUUAAUCAGAUUCAACUGUGGGUUAGCAAGGUCGCCUAUAAAGUUUGAAGUCGUAGAAGCAUAAAGGACAAAUAACAAAUGAGUUUUGAGAAAUUAUUCCACAAAUGUCAUUCUGCAAAAUGUAUUAAAGACGAUUGGUAUAAGAUUAGCAAUCAUGAGUAGUGUAACAACAUCAACAAAAUAACCAUAAACCAUAACAUAAUUCAAAUUUUGUUUGCAAAAACAAAAGAAAAAGAAAAGAGACUUACAAUAAUUCAACCUUCAAUCUUGAAGUCCAGCUCAAAGAGCCAAACCUAAAUGCAAGCUUUCUGAAAUUUCCCAAACAAUACAGAUAAAACGGUAACACCCUAGUCAGAAAUGAACCAAGGUGCGAGCUUUCUAAGAAACCCAGAUGACAAAAUCAACAAAAUAGAAUGGAAAAAUGACUUACACUUUGAAGGCAUGCUCGAACCUUGAUCUAAAAUUGGUGGUGGGUCGAUUGUUGGUCACCAACUCUAAAUGAAGAAUUCAUCAGAACCUAGAAAUUUAAAACAAAGAAUUUUCCAAAAUCAACAUUUACUAAAAACCAGUUGCUUGGUUAUCAUGCAUGAUGGCUUGACAAAGACUGAAUUAAGGAAUGCAAACUUUACUUUCAUGAUUAUUUUUAAUGACAGCUAAAAGGUCAGAUCCAAAUGAAAAUAAAAGUUAGGACUUCACAAAACCAAUUAAAAAUCUAAUUCUAAAGUUAUAAGCACCCACAAAAUGAUUCCAGAUAAAGUUUUACACUCAAGGUCAAACCCAAAUGAAAUUAAAAGUUAGGACUUCACAAAACCAAUUGAAAAUCUGAUUCCAAAGUUCCAAACACCCACCAAAUGAUUCCAGAUAAAGUUUAAACUCAAAAACCCAAUAGAAACAAAAGCACUGGUAUAAAUUAACUGUAUCUAAUUGAAGAAACUAAAACAAAAGUAAAGCAAAGUAUAUACCUCAAAAUGUCAAGCAACUAAGUUCUUCCUCCGACGACCCAAAACUCUGAAAAUUCCACACAAAAAAAAAGGCAAAUCCAUUAGCAAUUCAUAGCUUUCAAAAUUAGCAAAAACUUGGGCAACAAUAAAGAUGUGUCUAGAACCAUCAAUCUUUCUCCUUAUGCAUUUGAAAAGAUAUGUUAUAAGCAGUUUAUGUAGUCAUUCUGAACAUGUUGCAUAUAAAUUCCUUUUCUACAGGGUUCAAAAAAAUAUGGCAGUUUAUGGAAUCUGUUGAAUGACAUAGUUGAAAGAUUUAAAAUUGAUACAUUCAAUUUUUAUGUGUAAAACUAUAACAUAUAGCUAAAGCUAUUGGGUCCAUAUCAGUCAUGUCGUAAUUGAAUGUUUAUCGAUGUAAAUAGAUGAUUUCAGUCAUGGGAUAACAUGUUUCUUGAUAGUAUACGCUGAAGUUUGGUCUAAGUUGGAUAUAAAUCGACCAAAAUCUUAAUAAGAGACUUUUUUAACUUUUAACCAAAAAAUGAGCACCACAAUACUACACUUAUAAGUUUUAUCAUGCACAAAAUACACAGCACUGAUUGCCACUUUUAGAGCAAGAACAAUACUUUACCAAAAGAAAACAACAAAACACCCAAAACCCAGAAACAUAAACACACUUAGGACUCAAACUCCUCAAAAACAUGAGAAAGAGAGAGAGUGUGUGAGGAGAAAGAAUAAAAAAAAAAAUUAUUUUUCACACAAACUCAAAAUUGCUUAUAAAAUUACAAAUGAAUGCAAAUCCAAAAUUGCCCUAAAUUAAAUCUGAUUAGUUAAAUGUUUGUUGCCCCAGAAAUUUCGUUACACCUCACAAAACUUGCUUUGAAGUUGAUAUUUUGGUCAAUCCAGGGGAAAAGGAGUUAUUGGUUUUGGAGCAGUUGUCAUGGAGAAUACCAUCUCCCUGUAGAAUGAUCUAAAAAAGGACUUACAGCUUAUGGUGGCCAUAAUAAUUUAGGAGGCCCUUCUCUCCAAAUUUUCUCAAUAACUUUCCUUUUCGUAGCUGGUAAGAUUGCAACUCCGAGAAUUGCUUUGAAGAGAUAUACACAAACAAAAUACCAAAACUAAGCUAUUGGAAGAAAUUUAGAAAACACAAGCACCAUUACAACUCAGAGUUAAAAGUCAACAGAAACCAAAUGGUACAAGUUGAAAAAAUAUAUGGUCAUGAAUCGAGAACUUCAUCAAACUAACAGCAAUAAAAUCUCAUAUAAUCCGUCAAAAACCAAAAAAGAGAUUCAAGACCUUGUAACGUCGAGGCCUCGUACAGUUGUAGUAAUAAUUUAUGGUUGAUGCACCUGUUGCUCAAUCAAAUCCUUCGUCUGGCUAAAAAAAUAAAAAUCUAUAAAUACAUUCACGUCCAAUUUAUGAGAAAUCAUGGGAAAGAAAAUGUGAAUAUGAAGAACUUAACAAAAAGAAAAAGAAAACUUCUUAUAGUGUGCUAAGAACAUCCUCCUACUCCUAGCAAAUUUUUUAUGGCAUUAUCCACUUCUCAAUUCAUAAUUCAACCAGUAACUCAAAGUCUAUAGUGUAUGAAAAAGUGAUAUCUUAGUUGAUCACGAUGAUAAUCAAAAAGGAAGAAACAACCAAACAAAAUUAUUAGGUCUGGGAUAUACCUUUAUCUGAAACACCACAAUCAUCAAAGUGAAACACAAACAAUCCAAAAAUUUGUGGAAAAUACCAAUAAAUGCUCAACUAAAAACGAAAGAAAAAGUAGAAUAAGUUUACCUGUUCCUCCCCUAAUUAAACUGCAAUACAAUUCACCACUGAUAUUCUCGUCAUCCUCUUCAGCCUGAAAAAUUUAGUAGAAAAUAAUGGUAAGAAUCUAGCAGUAUUUCCAUUGUUCAAAACCCAAAUUCCAGAAAUCAUGAAAAAUGGAAACUUUAUAUGGAAAUUGAACCCCCAAAAUCACAAAAAGGAAAAUUGAACAGAAAAUAAAUUUGCAAAUCCAAAAUCACAAAAACGAAAUUGAAACACCCACACUGAGAAAGCUGUAAAACUCACAAGGAAACGCUAGCUUUUCUGGGUAAAAAAAAUUGUUCGAAUCGAAUUGAAGAACCGAGGAAAAUUCUACAGGUUCAGUGGUUUUUCCAGCAAGAAAGCACCUUGUUUGUAAGUCGUGAGAGGUUGGAGAGCGAGAGAAGCCGAUUUGGGAACCAAAGAAAGCGAGGUUGGAGACCGAAAGAGGCUGCGAAUUGCGAGAGAGAAAAACGAAAAGGAAAGGAAAAGCGGAGAAGAAGUCACGAUUAUCGACGCGUGGGUAGGAUUCCACUGUGAGAGGAUUGCAUUCUUUUAAGAGUGUUUCCUUAUUACAAUUUUAUGCUACUAGAUCCAUCCUAUUGUUCCAUUUCUAAACUUUAUAUUAUAAUAUCACCCAUCGUAAAAAAUUAAAAUCCUAUUAAUCCACCCCAAUUAUUUCUAAAAUAACCUCAAAUAUCUAAAUCCAUUUUUAUUUCACCCCAAUUGCAUGAUCAGGCCUCGAUUUGAAGCUAGUUGACGUUGGCCCAAAUGCCAAAUUGUUUGAAUUUCCAAUAAACAUAUUAUAAUUAUAAAAGGAUGGUGAAGAUAUGAAUCAAAUUUGAAAGAGAGAACAUUACUUGGUGAAGGAGGUGAUAGGUGAUGUUGGUAUGGGUUAUGCAGUCACCAUUGGACAUGAGAGGCUUUCUCCUCAAAAUUCCUUCUACAUCUACAGCAUGCAAAUCGAAUGAUGAUAGGUUUAUCGAAGCCCUAAUACCAACUUUAUGACAAAUCUGAACGGACCAAUAAACAACCAUGGAACGAUCUUGAGACGCGACCACUGCGCGUGAGACUCAACCAGGAAUAACUAGACCAUCAGCCGCCGUCGUCAAUAUUGUAGAGGUAGAUGGUGGGUCCGAGAACUCGAUUUUCUUGGAGCAGUUUGAGAUUGACGAAGGGACCUGACGAGGGGUUGGGGUUGUUGGUGACCGAGAGUAUAUGGGUUUGACGAUGGUGGUGGUGGUGGUGGUGGUUUGCAAUCUCUCUCUUUCCUUUUCUUGGGGUUGGACAUUCGGGUGACAGCCGCCUUGGGAUCGGAUGUCAAUGGGGACGUGCUUGAGAGCCAUGAUGACGACGCGAGCGUGGGUGGGGAGAAUUUUCCAGGUCCUUUGAUGUAAUUUUACAAAAGGGUAAAAAUGGAAGUAAAAAAAUUAUAAACUAGUGGGGUGGGAAGAUAAGACAACGGGGUUGUUGUGGUCUAUUUUUAUCUGAUAAAGCAAUAGGGCCGGCGGCAGGGGGAGAGAGAAAAGAGAGAUGUGUGUUUGUAGAAUUGUAGGGGAAUGUGUGUUGUUAUCUCUCAUACAUUGUGCCUUUAUUUAUAGUAGUAAAAGGAGAGAAGAUAUUCCUUCUUCUCCAAGUAAUAUAAGUUGUAAUAGGAAAGAAUAACUAGAAUCAAAUCUAAUAUAGGAUUUACACAAUUUACAAGUUGUUAUCCCUCCUACAUUGUGCCUUCUUCUUCAUAAGAGUUUGAAAGAAGUAUGAAAUAUUGACUUGUUGAUGAUGAAGUUGAUAGUGAAAUGUAGUAACGGUUAAUUUAACAGAAUUUUUAACGGAUGUAUGAAAUUAAAAAAUAAUAUAAGUAAAUGUAUGAAAUUAAAAUGUUUUAAAGAAAUUGUAUGAAGUUGCAAUUGACCCCAAAUACGAGAGAUAAAACAUAAUUUACACAAAAAACAAAGAUCAGAUUUGUAAAAAUGCACCACAUAGUAGUUAAAACAUCCGGACGUAAAUGAAUGGUUUGAGAUACCAUCAUAGUAGCAUCUUUCAGUGUAAGUUUUUCUCAUAUCGGAUCACUUACCAGUAGAAAAGUGUAAUACCGUGUCGGGAAAGGAAGUCAAUGAUGAAAAGAGAGCAAUUUAGCUUUAAAAAUAAGGAAAACUAAUGAAAAGAGUUUGAAAACUUUGCGUUUAAUGAUAAGGACAAAAUAAAAGGAUAAAGUGAAUAGUACUAUGAUUGAUUUUUUAGUGUAAAAAUAUGGUUUUUCGUUAAAGUUUCCUUAAAAAUAUUGCGUCCUCCGUAUGAUGUUUGCAACAUGUGUCGCCAGAGUAUCAACUUGAAGCUCUCCACAUCUCCGUCGUCAAAUGUUUUGUAAGCAGCAUUGUUUAAGUUCUCUCUGUCAGGGAAACUGCAGAUGGGUUUGAUGAAGAAGAAUGGAAAAUAUAAUUUUUAGAAAAUGAGAAAGAAAAUUAUAAAACUUCAUUAAUGAAAUUUCUUUAUCAACAAAAAAAGAUGAAAAUAUAUCUUUGUCUUCUAUCACAACAAAAAAGUUAAGGACAGUAACGUAAUUUUACAAGAUAAAAUUUUACUUUUUUUUUAAAUCUCACAUAUAUGUAAGUUUAUCAUCUUUAAUUUAAAAAAUAUAAAAAAACCUCUCUUCCACGUUCUCUCUCACUCUCUUCCUCUCCUUCAAAUUUAACAACCAAAGUAAAAAAAUUCAUACGCUUUGUGUGUGGACAUAUACUAGUUGAAAUUUAAAAAAGGAGACUUAAAAAGAGAGAUUUAAUAUUUUCUAGGUUGUCUUGGGAGUUGGCAAUGACAGUAAGAGAGGAGAAUCUCGGGUUCCACUGGAAAGGAGGAAAUUUUUCAAAGCGAGAAGGUAGGGGUUUUUUCACUUGCUCUCUUGGUCUUUGGGCUUUUGGAUUGGAUUGGGACAAUUCCAAUUACCCCAUCCCAACUUACGACUUUUUAUCGGUCUAUAUUGGCUAAAGUGAACGUACUAAAAUAGAAAUUUGAGAACUUGAAUUAAGGUCUUGAAUUAGCGAAUGAAUGUCCAGUAAGAAUGUCAUGUAGUCGGACUUGUAAGGCUACCCUUAAUAAGUAGUCACGUUUGUCAAAACUGGUCUAUCUGAUUAUAAUUGUAACCAUAUUAUGUGUGACACAUGAUCAAACUUGAAGGGUUGUCCAAUAAGAAGUUGUCAUGUUGUCAAGCGUAGGGCCAAAGGUGAGCACUUUCCUACCAAAGUGUUUUCUUUUUCCCCUUUUCAAGGGAUUUGUGUCACCAUUAGAUAGGAGAUUCAAACACAAGACCUUGAAUUUAGAGGCAAACGCUUUAAAAAAGCUUCUCUGAUUCAUCUCCUCUGACUUUGACGGGUUCCACUUCGGAUUCUGCAUUGACAGGAAACCGAAGCCAAAGAUAAAGAUCCGUUCUGAUAUACAGAAAGUAAGAUGAUUAUCAACUGUAGGUCUAGUAGAGGCUGUAAUUGUUCUGUCACUUUAUAGUAAGGAAUCUUGAGCAUAAUUAACGAACCUGAUCCUUGUCCACCAAAACUGCCGUACACCUUCAGCAAAAUCAUUCCGCAAAUACAAUCUUAUAGCAAUGCGAUAUUCAGUUUCAUCACACCAGUUAGUAUUGGUCAAGUAAAGCACAUGUUACUUUCUGAAAAUUUGAAAUACUACAACGCAAAACCUAUCAAAAAGAUGCAACCAUGUGAUGCAAGAAACGAAAAGGUAGAAAGUCCAGACUCACUGUGGAUAAUUGAUUGUCAUUUUUCCCAAGCGCAGAUGCAAUUUUAGCGAAUUAAUUUUGUCCCAAAGAAAGUGAGAACGGAGCUCCCUUUCCAAGACAUUAAAGAGCUUCAUUAGCCCACUCACCACUGCAAUAGAAACAAUUUGAUACAAAAUACUUGACAGCAACCAUACAAGCCGCUCAAUAGACAAAUGACAUUGACAAACAUACCAGUAGCAUCUGAACCUGCUGCUGCUUUUUAAGUUCAUCAAUUGUCUCAAGAACCGACUUAUUUGCACCAAACGCUGAAGUUAUUUGAUGUAAAAGACUUGAGUUGCGCUUCAGAAUCUGGGUUGCUGGUGAAUUUCGCCGCAGUUGUUUCAAUGUCCCCAUGGGGAUCCUAAGAACCGUAUCAACAAUGGAGUAUCUUUUAUCUCAAGAACGCAUUGGACAAUGGAGCAUCAGAAAUUGCGUCUGAGGAUAGAAAAGGCAUACCUGCAGAUCCUCCUCCCGUACUCCUUGCCGCUACAUGUGAAAACCCAUCUGGCAUAGCAAGAACAGUCCUCUGAAAUGUAUCCAUACAAAGUUAGACGCACAAAAUUUGAAAAGCCAUUGCAAUGUAAUUGACAACAUUGACAAUCUCUGUCUGACAGGGCAAAAUACCUUUGUAAUGAUCCGGUAGUGACCGUGACCUGAUAGGUCAACACCAAAGACCAUUGUUAUGCGAUCAAUGAAGCUUAUAAAGGGCUUCUUGUACUCAGAGAUUUUGCAUAUUAGAGAAUACUCAGCAGUGGAUACCUGAACGCAGCACAAAUAUCAUAUCGUUAGCCUCUCAAUAUUAAGAAAACUACAAAUGGUAGCUUAGAAAAGAAAUGAAUCCUCUCCAACCAAAUACAAAUCAUAUUACCCCAAGUUCAAGCAAAAUCAAGACUAAACAAAUGAUUAGAUGUUGUAGGUUGCCCGAGAAUGUCAACCAUGAAAUUACAAAAGAAAAAAAUAACUGUAUGUAUUGAACAUUAAUAAAUACAUGCUGAAAGCACAAUCUCAGCCGCAAUUUAUGACAUUUAUACGAGAUUGAAUCGCUAAAGCAAUUGAAGAAAUUGCAGAGCUCAUAUAAGUGAUUUUCACUUUGAAUUUUUAGGCUUAUCAACAAAUACAUCAUUACGAUUCUAAUGCAUGAAUUUUGUUAAAAGGGGCUUGCUUGCUUGUAUUAAGGCUUAAUCAUCAAUGAAUUUGCAAGAAGCAAUCGAUUUGCUAGUUGUAAAUCUAUUCACUAAUUACCAAAAUUACAUCUAAACGGUAGUGAAGGAAGUCAUCUUAUAUUAUCUGGAUUUUAGAAAACUGUGUAAGGUUAUAAGUCUGUUAUUAUAUAUAGUUAAAAGGGACACAAUUAGACCUCAAUCAUAUUUGGUGGUUGGUUUUUGGCCAUGAUCUGCUUCACAUCACCCCCUGCAAACAAAAAUGAACACUAAGAGAAACAAUAAACAAAUGACAUGAAACAACACGAACAUCAAAGACCAACAAUCUAUCACGUAAGUACCUAAACAAGAAACAACUUUAGUUCAAAGCAAAGCGUAAUGUAGAAACCUUCGGCACAAGAGGUGUGUUUUUGUCCUUUUGAAUUUCGGCAACAACCAUUUUAAUGUCCUUUCCUGCAAUUACCAUGAUUGGUCACUCUCAAAACCUUACCUAAGAGACCCAAAAACAAAAAUAACCGCCGAAAAAUUUAUUUAACUACAUGCUAAAAUGGAAGUGUAAUAUUGCCAAGAAAGAUAAGAAACUAUUCAAAUACAGAUUCUGGGCUUACCGCACAAAAGGCACGAGCCUAGCGGCUACCAAAAAGAACACACUUCACAUUUGGGUGAGAUUCCCAUUCAUCCAGAUAGCUCUUGUAUUUCACAUCCAUAUCUGCAUUUUCCAACAAUUCCCACUUAAACAGAAAUACAAAAUUCUUUGAAAAAAAGCUAACUUCUUCGAAAUGCGAAUCCAACGUUUCGUCUUAUAACAAAUGCAAUAACAUAGAUUUGUAAUCAAUACGAUGCCAUAAAGUUCAAGCUCCAAAAUUCAAAUCAGCUCCAAAUCAAAAGCAUUUACAGAUAUAUACAUAUAUACAUGUGUGUGUGUGUGUGUGUGUGUGUUUAUCUACAUACCUAGGUUCAUGGCGUUGAGAGCUUGGGGGCCGACCGAGGGUGAUGACGGCGACGCCAUUUGGGUGGACGCUGCCCUUGACGAACGCGUCGGCGGAGGCCAUGAUCCCGAAGGGGCGGAGGAGGCGAGGGGAUUUGGAUGGUUGGAAAAGAGAAAGCUUCGAAUUUGGAUUGAGGAAGAAGAAAGCGGACGACGAUUUGCUCAGAAUUUAGGUCGCUCCUCCCAAUAAGCUUCCCAUUACUUCCGGUCGGGAGUGACUGCAUCAGUGUAGAGAGAUAAAGAUAUUUUUGGUGCUUCUGGGCCGGACUACCCUUGAUGUUUCGGUUAAAUAACCGGGAAAAACAACUGCCGCAGGGAAAUUUGAAAGAGGCGUUUGACGAACUGAUUGUGAUCUGACUCAAACAUGUGAUGAUGACGAUGCAUCACCACCUUGAUUGUGUCUCUGGAUGAAAAACCUACCAUCAAGAUCAAAAUCGUGCAUAUUUUCCUUCAUAGGUUUGUCCCAUACUAGAUUAACCCCUAUUCCCUUAGCUUUCGCAUAAUUAAAUGCAUUAGUUUUCGCAUAAUUAAAUGCACCGCCUUUCAUUGGUAUUUCAAAAGUUAUAUCAACUUUAUCCCCGCUUUGCAAAUUGAGCUUAUCGUUUGAUAUUUGACCUUGCCAAAGAUAACAGCUUUCAAAUACAAUAUCGCGCAUUUUUGUAACCCAAUCUUCCUUGCCUAUGCAAGUCUGUAACUCAGUACGCUUGGUAUUAUUUAUAUCAAUACUAGCACGAGGAUGACCAUCUUUACCUCUCAUAUAAGGUCUUGGCCGAUCAAGAUAAGAGCGGUAAAAGCAUAACAGAGUUAGCCCUUCAAAACUACGACCAUCACCCGGGGGAAUAUCAAAGCUAACUUCAUUACCAUCAUUGACAAACUCGAACCAAUCAGGAACAUAAUUCCCAUUGAGAAAAAUGCCACCAUAUCCGCAAGAAGUCCAUCCCUAUAUAUAUAUUGCAAGUGUCAUAACUAUAUACAUACAUGUACAUGUGUGUUGUGUGUGUGCAUGUGCGCAAUAGGAAGACAAUUAAAGAGAGAGAGAUACCUUUAGGACGUUCCUCCUUAAAUCAGCCGUGAGUUUGGUGCACUUACUCAUAUCAAUCCAUGUCAUGGAGUUUAAUGACUUAUCCAAGUCUGGAACCUCAGUGAGUUCGUGUGAAUCACAUACAUUCAGUUCCCUCAUAUUUGACAUUUUCGAAAAAUUGGGCAUUGUUACCAAACGAUAGCAACUAGAUGCAUCCAGAAAUUUCAAAUUUGUUGGUAAAUCAUAGAUUGUAUGAAGCUGGGAGCAAUAACUUAACCACAAACUUUCAAGUUUUGAAAGACCACUGAGGCUGGGUAGGGUAUGAAAAUAAUUGACUGAGAGAUCUAAAUUUCUUAAAGAGUCUAAGCCGUGUAACGAAUCGGGAAAUUGCAAAGGAAACUUCGAUCCCACAAAAUUAUUGAGAGAUAAAUGAGUGAGAUUCUUCAAUCUUACUGUGGAACGCGGUACUUGUCUUAUGGCUGUAGUAGAUGCUUUAAGUACUCUCAAUGAUAUCAUCUUCCCUAAACCCUCGGGCAAUUCACUGAAUUGCCAACAAAAAUCAAGAACAAGAGUCUGAACGGAUUUGGACCUGUAGAAAUCCCCAGGAAGAGAAAUAAGAUUCUUGCAGCGUGUGAGGUUCACCAAAGAAAGUUUUUUAAGAUGACCAAUGGAGGGGUGAAUAUCGGACAAACUCCUACACCUUUCCAAUAUCAACUCUUCAAGAUUUGGGAGAUUUGAAAAGUCUGGUGAUUUUUUUAAGUCAGAGCAACUUCCAAGAUUAAGGACCUUCAAGUUUUCAAGUGACUGUUGCACAAAAUCAAAGAAAAAUUAAAAUUAAUAUCCAAAAGGACUAUCUCAGAAAAAAAGAAGGAAAUCCAAAAAACAAAUACAAACAUAACAUCAUCAUGUGUAAUCGAUUGUACCUUGGAGCCCUCCCAAACUUGUACCAGGUCGCUAGAUGUUAUCUCUAAAAUAACUAGUCUUGGUUGAUCAAAGAAGUCAUCUGGUAUGGACUUUAAAGGGCAUCUUUCCCAACACAACCAUAUUAACUCCUUGGGGAGAUGUUUGUAUUCUCCAUUGAGCUGCACGUUGUAGAGCUUGAGCAGUCUCAGUUUCUUCAUAUUGGCAAAUGCUUCUGUACUGAACCCAGGCAUGUUAGACCUUGGAGGCCAAGGAGGAGGGAUACCUAGAGCAAGUCCUUCAACUUCUUCAGUUCCCUGUUAACAAAAGGUUAUAUUCAUGUGUAAGAAACGGAUUAUUUGCAUACGUUUACAUGUAUGAAUACAAGCAAGUACUAUUGUUGGCUAAUUGAGAUGAAUGUUAAUGUAUAAUACACAUCCGUGAGUUAUAUGUGCUUUUCAUGUACAAUGCAUUAAUUCAGAAUUUUAUUGGGAAUGUACUUACAGAUUUAUCUCUCAAUACUUUAAUGACCUCUUGCCGGUUCCACAACCUACUCCACUCUCCAGGCUGACGAGGGGAUUUUUCAGAAAUGAUUAAUUUGGCCAUUUCUCGAAGCAAAUCAUGCAUAUUCAACACGUUGUCUUCAACAGUUAUAAGGCAUCGUUCACGGAGGUCACUGAUUCCUAUUGUUGCAAAAAAGUUACAUCCAUCUAAUAUUUUUGCGACAUAGUCCUUAUCCCAUCCAAUAAAGAAACAAGAAAUGUCAAGGAAUAUAUCCUUUUGUGUAGGAUCUAGCCUUUCAAAGCUUACUCUUAGCGGUUUCAUUAUUCCUUUAUCAGGAAAUUUUUUCAAUUUCUCCAACUGACUUUUCCACUCUAUUGGGGUUCUUUCAAUCAUAGAAGAACCUAAAACUUCAAGGGCUAUUGGCAAACCACCACAGUAAGAAACAACCUCUUUUGAGAGUUCAAGAUAUCCUUCAUUAGGCCAACUCUUUCCAAAGGCAUGCCAACUAAAGAGCUUCAGAGCUUCUUCUUCAUUCAUUUCCUUAAGCGGAUAUGUCUUGUCCACUUUCAUGUUCACUUGCUUUAGUAAACAUUCAUCUCGUGUCGUUAUGAUAAUUCUACUUCCUGGACCAAACCAAUCACGAUUUCCAGCUAUGGCAUUUAGUUGUUCCACUUUGUCUACAUUGUCAAUAAUGACAAGUACGCUUCUACGUUGGAGAUGAUUUUUUAGCAAACUGAUACCUCCAUCAACACUGGUUAUCUUAGACUCAGUCUGUUUCAAGAUGUCAGAAACAAGCUUUCCUUGCAAAUCAACCAAAUCAUAUUCACUAACGUUGGCAAGGAAACUUUUGAAUUGGAACUUAUGAUGAAUUUGGUUAUAAAUGGCUUUGGCAGCUGUUGUUUUACCUAAUCCACCCAUCCCCCAAAUUCCAACCAUGACAACGUCAUUUGAUCCACCACCUGAAAGAUGAUUGAUAAUAUCUUGAACGCGAGAAUUGAUUCCAACCGGGUGCUUGGCCACAUUUAAUUCGUUUGCACCCGGAAGCCAUUCCGUAAUGAUCUUGCCAACAAUUUCUCUAAUAAGCUUUGCUUCGCGCCUAGAUGUUGAAUUUGUAAGCAUUAGCGGGACUCAAUGAACAGUAGGAGCUAUUAGUACAUAGACAAUUUUCUUUCCUUCAUACAUAUUCUAACUAGCUACUAGCUAGCAUGUGAUUUUUUUACCAACUUGAUAAAAGAAAGAAAUUCAUUCAUUAAUUAAACUCCAAUUACGGUUUAGGUUUUAUAUGAGAGGUUAAGGUGUAUUAAUUAAGCAUGUUAAUUAUAUGAGAGAUUAAGUCAUUCACUAAAAUGUGUCAAAUCUUUAAAAGCAGGUGAAUGAUUACCCAUUGUCAAUGAUUUGAAGAUGUUGGCCAGACAAAUUUGCAGCUUCUGUAAGAGCCUUUCUCCAUUGCUUUACCCUUUCUUGUUUAGCUUCACGUUCCUUGUCAUCUUUUUCUUCACGAAUGCCCUCUUCGUGCUUCUGAAAUGCUUGAGCUAAAUCUCCGUUCUGCUUCCUAACAUGUGAAGGAUCAACAUGAUAGAAUAUUGGCAAAACACGUCGCCCCAGUUUGUAUCUGCACUUCAUGAUCUUCACCAGCUCGUCAAGACACCAACUCGAGUUCGCAUAACUCUUUGAGAAGACAAUGAUAGAGAUCCUCGCCUCUUCAAUUGCCCGGAACAGUUCCUCUUUUAUUUCUUCCCCUCUUUCUAGAUCGUCCUCAUCGAUAUAAGCCUGGUAUCCCCUCUCUGUUAAUGCCGCAUGGAGGUGGCCCGUGAAGCCAUUGCGUGUGUCCACACCGCUGAAGCUCAAGAACACGUCGUAAUUCCAAAGUUUUGACUUGGAGGAGGAUGACGAGGAGGCUUCGUGGGUUGUCAUGGGGGUAUCCACCGUUAUGGCACUGCAGUGGUUCAGAUCACGACUGAAUUAAGGAAUGCACAACUUUACUUUUAUGAUUAUUUUCAAUGACAGCUAAAGGUCAGAUCCAAAUGAAAAUAAAAGUUAGGACUUCACAAAACCAAUAAAAAAAUAUAAUUCCCAAGUUACAAAUACCCACCAAAUGAUUCCAGAUAAAGUUUUAAACUCAAGGUCCGGCCCAAAUGAAAUUAAAAGUUAGGACUUCACAAAACCAAUUGAAACAGAAACCAAAUGGUAGAAGUUGAAAAAAAUAUAUGGUCAUGAAUCGAGAACUUCAUCAAACUAAUAGCAAUAAAAUCUCAUAUAAUAUGUCAAAAACCAAAAAAGAGAAAGAGGUAAUUUCAAGACCUUGUAACGCCGAGGCCUCGUACAGUUGUAGUAAUAAUAUAUGGUUGAUGCACCUGUUGCUCAAUCAAAUCCUUUGUCUGGCUAAAAAAAUAAAAUCUAUAAAUACAUUCACGUCCAAUUUAUGAGAAAUCAUGGGAAAGCAAAUGCACUGAGAACGGAAUCAUGAAUAUGUAGAACUUGCCAAAAAGAAAAAGAAAACUUUUUAUAGUGUGCCAAGAACAUCCUCCUACUCCUAGCAAUUUUUUAUGGCAUUAUCCACUUUUCAAUUCAUAAUUCAACCAGCAACUCAAAGUCUAUAGUGUAUGAAAAGGUGAUAUCUUAGUUGAUCACGAUGAUAAUUAAGUAGAUUAAAUGACGACCCAUAAAGCAUACAAAUUCAGAAAAGAAAAGGUACGAAACUGCCAUAAGAAAACGCAGAAUAUAUAAACCGGAAAUCAAAAGAAGAGAAGCGAAAAAGGAAGAAAAAAAAAACCAAACAAAAUUAUUAGGUUUGGGAUAUACCUUUAUCUGAAACGCCACAAUCAUCAAAGUCAAACAUAAACAAUCCAAAAAUUUGUGGAAAAUACCAGUAAAUGCUCAACUAAAAACGAAAGAAAAUGUAGAAUAAGUUUACCUGUUCUCCCCCUAAUUAAACUGGAAUAACAUUCACCACUAAUAUUCUCGUCGUCAUCCUCUUCAGCCUGAAAAAUUUAGUAGAAAUACUCAAUGAAGACGCUUAAUGUAGACAGUAAUAUUAGCAAUGGAGGAAUUGAAUUGAUAACCAAAACUGCAAGACCAAAUGACUAUUUAGGUUCAAAACAGAAACUCGUCUGCUAGAUGUCUCAUCUUUAGGCAGUGCCUUGUUCUUGUUUUUUUUUCUUUUUUUUUUGUUGUUGCAUGUCUUGUGAAGUUCAUGUAAAUCAACAAAAUUGAUACUUUUGACACAACCAACAAUGGAGAGGUAAAAAGUUAAAAACAUUAGGAAUGUCUUCAUUUUUGUAAUGGAUUUUGCAAGUCAGAAAUUCUGUUCGAGAAUUUGCAACCCAGAAAGUCCGCCAGAAAUUAUUAACAAUCACAGAUAAGCACCGAAUGAAGGCCAAUCUAAUAAGCCAAAAUAUGUAGGGCACUAAAGAAAUUACCCAGUAACAAUAAUAGAUAAGCACAUAUGAAACUAAAGAAAUUUUUCAUUACUAUCAACUCCCAAAAAAAAAAAAAAAAAAAACUGUGCAAUCCAAAAAAUGUUGAUACAUAGUUGGAGUAUCAAUGCCUGAAAUUGGUAUUUGAACCACGAAUAUGUUUGUUAGCUUAAAGGUUUGGGUUGAAGUUGUGAAAGGAAAUGUAAUUUCUUAAAAGAAGGAGAGAAUGCAAAGAUGAAUACAGAAUGGUUCAUGUGGCCACCUUGUUAAGGCACAGAAAAAGACAUCAAAUUUUAUACUUGUUGCAUCCAAGGUAUGCAACAGCCUCCCACAGAAAUUACAGAAAUCAAAUCAAGAAAAAAGAUAAUUACACAAUAAUUACACCUUCACUAAGAAAAUAAAUUAUAAAAACGAAGACCGUGAGAAUAAUUACCUUACCUUUGUACGGUGAUUGGCUGCCAAAAAAAAAAAUAAUGUCAUAUACAUUAAGCCUGCCAAUUACUAAAAACAAAACAUUUUGCCAUGAGGAGAAGUAAGAACAUACCGAAACUUGUUUGCAAAUAGAUGAGAAAAACUUAUUCCUGAAACAGAUGGAAAAUUUAUUAGGAAAGAUAAAUCAGCCCACAUGUGUGUAAUCUAUAUACAAAAAACCACUCUCUUCAAUAGCCAAAUCGUUUCACAAAUCCAAAAACACAUAAUUAUAUCUUGAACAAUGCCAAUUAAUGAUUUCCCAUUUACUUAAGCCAACAACAAAGCCAAUGAACUGAUGAAAGAGCAAAACAGAGAAACAAAAAACCUCAAUUAAGUAAUUAAAUGGAGUAUUACUUGAUAGAGCUGGAAAAUUACCCAGUUCCUCAGAGAGAGGAUCAAGAGUGACUGAUGAGAGUGCAGAGAAAAGAAUGAUUGAGAAAUUCAAGUUCUGAGCUCGAAGUUGGGGCUUCCACUUUCCAACUGGGGAAGAAAUAACAGAGAAAACACAGAGAGCCAAUCCACCAAAUAUUAAUCAAAUGGGUUUCUUCUAAUUCAAAAUUUGGACCACCCAAAUUCCAAUGAAGCAAUAACCAUUCAAAAUCCAACAGAUUGAAGCCCUCACAGACUACUAAUUAUCAAUACCCAGCAAUAAAAAAUUUGAAAACAGUAAUAAUGAAGGAAAAAGAAAUUAAAGCUGCAAGCCAUUCUCUAAAUCUCAGGCACCAAUCCAAAUCACCAGUAAUUUGCACAUAAUGAUAAGAAUCUAGCAGUAUUUCCAUUGUUUAAAAACCCAAAUUCAAGAAAUCAUGAAAAAUGGAAACUUUAUUUGGAAAUUGAAGCUUUACCUGCAGAUCAGCAGCAGCAAACGGAAUCCAACGGCAUGUACCUCAAAAGUGAGAGAGAGAGAGUUGAGAGAUGAGUGAGAGAAUCGAUAAACAAAACCCCCCAAAAUCACAAAAGGAAAAUUGAACAGAAAACAAAUUUGCAAAUCCAAAAUCACAAGAACGAAAUUGAAACACCCACACUGAGAAAGCUGCAAUACUCACCAGGAAGCUAGCUUUUCUGGGUAAAAAAAUUGUUCGAAUCGAAUUGAAGAACCGAGGAAAAUUCUACUGGUUCAGUGGUUUUUCCAGCAAGAAAGCACCUUGUUUGUAAUUCGUGAGAGGUUGGACAGCGAGAGAGAAAAACGUAAAGGAAAGGAAAAGCGGAGAAGAAGUCACGAUUAUCGACGCGUGGGUUGCAUUCCACUGUGCCAAGUUCGAAAAUGAACGGGGAAUGGGGAGCUUGGCCGAGGGAGACAGAAUUCGAGAAGCAGCGUUCUGAUUAAUUUUUUUUUUUUUUUUUUUAUGAGAGAGGGAAAGCGGAAUGAAGAGAAUCGAGAAGAGGAUGAACCAUUUCAAUUUUUAAGCGAUGAUCGACGCGUGGGACUUGAGGGCAAAUUUGCCAUUUUGCUGUGAACCCAUGAAGCAUCAGAAUACACAAAAGUCAAGACUUGGCUUGGUUUAUAUAAUUAAUCAAUAAUAUUCCUAACAAGAGCUAGGUCCAUAUAUUAUACGAACAAUACUUAGCUGCUGAAUUCCUACUUUCAACCAAUCAAAUUUUGACACGUGUCCAAAUAAUGAAAUUAUAAAUACAAAUUGAACACGUGUCCAAAUAUGAUUGGGUGAAAAUAGGAAUGGCUGUUGAAUUUUCAGCCGCCAAGUAUUGUUCUUAUACAAGGUUCUAAAUCUAAUAGAUGUUGUGGCUAGACGAGGCUUAUUGACUAGACGGAUUUAAGUAAAUUUAUUCUAUAUUAUAAAUAAAUGUUUUUUUAUACUUAAAAUGACACAUAAUUGUAUUGAGAUAUAUAAAUUGUAAAAUAAAAUAACAUAUAUAUUAUAAAGUAUUGGAACAUGAGAGAAAAGACCUAAAUGUGAAACGACAACUAUAAACAAUUAUUCAAGAUGAACGAUAAAUGAUUCAACCAUUUACAAGAUUCAAAACAUGAGAUCACGAUCUACUGAAUGAUUGCAUUAACUAUUAAGCGGUGCCCUAAUAUAAUACAUCCAAAUGGGGGUGGACCACAUAAUACACCCAAUGGAUCGUUUUUAAGCUACUCCACUGCUAAAACUAUUGCAAAAUGCGUUAGGAUUAUACUUCUAUUAGCUGCGCCUUUCCUUACUAGGCAAAUGGGGGUGGACCACAUAAUAAUGUUAAAACUGCUAUGUCUAUUGGGUUUCUCUGUUUAUUUCAUGUACUAGUUUAUGUUCCUUUUAUUGUAUAAAUAACUUGUACUUGGGAUGUUGCAGAACAAGUUUGAUUUGAAUGAAAUUACUACUAUUGAGUUAGCUGUCAAGCUUCUCUUUAUUCCAAGCUUGCAUUUUGUUCUACCUUUUCCAAUUCUCUACAUCCCUAAGAGGACUGUAUCAGAUGUUAUACACAUUGGAGUUUGAGCAGAAUUCUUUUUGUUAUCUUGUCUCACAUUGCUAGAAUUGAAAAGUUCAUAAUAUAAUAACAUUCGCGUAUGAACUUGAGAAACAACAUACUACUGGUUGGCCUGGAAGGUGCAGUGAAAGAGAGGAAAGGAAGAAAGAAACAAACACGAAAGGACAAGGACUAUCCAAUAGAUUAUAAACAAUGACUUAUUGGGGAUGAUUACGGCUAUUAAAUCAUCAAUAAUGCAUUAUUUUAGUUUGGAAUUUGGAAGCAUUUGAGAAGUAAAAUGACAACAACUACAUAAUAAACAAAGGUGAUUAGAAAAAAGACCCAAAUGUGAAAGAAUAAUUAAAAACAAUUACUCAAGAUUAGUGAUAAAUGAUUCAACCAUUUACAAGAUAUGAACUUAGAACAACAAUCUAUUAGAUUGUUGUAUUAAUGAUUAAGUGAUGCUCUAAGAUAAUAGAUCCAAAUGGGGACGGACCAUAUAAUACACCCAAAUGGAUGCAAUCAUGCCAUAUAUAAACAAUGUUUUGAAAGGACAAGGUAGCUAAAGCUGCCUUUUUAUAUAUGUAAGCAACAACCCUAAAUCUUACUGGAACUAAUUAACUAAUGUAUUUAUUAGACAGUUGGAUUCCUUAGCAAGUGGUUAACUAGUUUUGUUUAGUUUAGUAGUCAGGUCGUAAUUAAUUAGUCAAAUGAAAAUGCAUAUAACACACCCAAAUGGAUGCCAUAUAUGCAUACUAUUUUUGUUUAGUUUAGUAGUCAGGUCGUAAUUAAUUAGUCAAAUGAACCUGCAUAUAACACGCCCAAAUGGAUGCCAUAUAUGCAUAUAUAAACAAUGUUCUCAAAGGAUGAAAUGACUUUCUUGCCGGUAUGGGGGAAGAGGAAAGAAACUAGCACGAAACUGCAGACCCUAUCGAUCCAUUAUAAUAAAUUUCAAUGGUCCAAUUUGUAAGUUAAUUGUGCAACAUAAAAACUUAUUUACAGUUAUCAACUUAACCACGUACCUGUGAAAGACAUUAUCUCAGAAAACUAGGAUUAAGAACCAAAGUUCUCCUGGAACUCUACACAACUUAAGGCUCGCUCAAUGGGGCUUGAGUUUUUUGUAAACUUGCGUAUUUUUGGAAACGCAUCAAAUAGUAGUUAAAACAUCCGGCCGUAAAUAAAGGGUUUGAGAUACCACCAUAGUGAUAUCCCUCAGAUGUGAGUUUCUCACGUAUCAAAUCACUUAUUGUAAGAAUAUUAGUAGUGAAAGUUAAAUACCCGUGUUGGGAAAGGAAGUCGAUGAUGACAAGAGAGAAAUUUGGCUUGAAAAAUGUAUGAUACUUGCAACAUGCGUCACCGGAGUAUCAACUUGAAGCUUUCCAUCUCUCCGUCGUUAAAUGUUUCGUAAGCAGCGUUGUUGAAGUUCUCUAUGUCAAGGGGAAACUGAAGAUGGUUUUAAAUGAAGAAGAAUGGAAAAUAUAAUUUAGAAAAUGAGAAAGAAAAUUAUAAUUGAAACUAAAAAAAUAAGAAAUAAAAAGAGAGAUUUACUAUUUUCUAUGAGGUCUUGGAGUUGGCCGUGACAGUAAGAGAGGAUAAGCGAAUGAAUUGGGCCAAUUACUUGCUCUCUUGGACUUUGGGCUUUUGGAUUGGAUUGGGCCAAUUACUUACUUGGGCCCCAUCCCAACUUAUGACUUUUUGUCGGUCGGUAUUGACUGAGGUGAACGUGCUAAACUAGAAAUUUGAGAUUUUGAAUUAGCAAAUGAAUGUUAAGUAAGAGCGUCAUGAUCAGACUUGUAAGACUGUCUUUGUUGCGUUUUGUCAAAACCGGUCCAUCUAAUUACAAAUUGUAACCAUAUUAGUUGAGUAUAUAUAUGCUACAUCACAUUAGUGAAUAUUCAGUACGGGUGACACAUGGUCAGACUUGUAGGUUGUUCAUUAAGAAGUUACCACGUUCUCAAGAGUGGAGCUAGAGGGGAGCACUUCCCUACCAAAGUGUUUUCCUUCUCCCCUUUACAAGGGAUUUGUGUCACUAUUAGAUAGGAGAUUCGAAUACAAGACCUUGAAUUGAGAGGUCACACUUUUACAAAGCUUCUACGAGCACCUUCUUGUUUACCAAACUCAUUGAGACUAAAGGAGGUCUUAACGCCAUUUUGGCUAAUACUAUUCUAUAUAUUUACGAAUGGUUUUAAGUUUGGGUUUAAUUGGAUAAUCAGAGAGUAGUGCAUCAAACUAUGGAUAUUCAGAAACCGAAAGCAUAAUUCAUAUUCCUCCAACAAGUCCACGCAAAUAACCACAAUCAGAAUGUUAGUUCAUAACUGGCCAUAUAGAACGCAGUACAAAAGCACUAAAAGCGUCCAAGUGAAAGUGCUUUCUCCUCAUGCAGUUUCAUUUAACUUAGUUUCACAUGCCAGUCCGUCACACACUCAACUCCUCAACGUUCGGGUUCAAAGCAUUCUUUAUCCUUUCUGUACGAGAGACAAUAAAUUUAAAGUUCUUGUGAUGAAAUCAUGUAAAACAUUCAGAAAUCUUGAUUUAAUCCUUUCUCAAGAUCAUAGGUUGUGUCAUCUCAACUUAUAUCUUAGGUCUUAUGAGUGCUCGUAAUACACUAAUACGGCACUUGUUUUCUGGCCAGGACAGAAACAAAAUCAUGUAGGAAAUUGUCAUGACAAUAAAGGUCGUACCCAGUGCACAAGGCUCCCGCUUUAAGCAUGACAAUAAAGGAAAUUGUCAUGUAGGAAAUUGUCAUGACAAUGUAAGUGUAAAAUGAGACCGGAAAAACACUAAACAGGAUGACUAUGCUCUCUUAGCGUAAACCUUAACAACAAAGACUAUACCGUAUCUGUCACCAAGGGCGGAGCCACCAUAGGCCUAGGGGGGCGGAUGCCCCCACUGAGAUUUUUCUGAUGCUGGCAUGAUGACCUUCAGAUGCUUGAGAUUCGGCAAUGGUGGAGAGCAGAUCUUUCUAAAUUUCUUUGGAAAGAAGAGAUCCUAAACCAAGCACACAAACAAAAAUUUGAGAACAGCAAAUACAAAAAUUCGACAGUGAUCAAACCCAUCAAGCAUGCAUAUAUAGAUACAUGUUAUAUUUAUAUACCAUAGCAUCAUGAACUUUUAGUGUAAUUUUUCUGAAGCAGUCAAAACUUUCAAGAUAAUCUCGUGCUGCUCAAAUUGAUAUGGUUCUACAGCAGCAAAGCCCACACUGCGAUUUUUCUGGUUCUACUCUCCGAUCUGGUUCUGUAGAAGCAGAGCUGGGUCUUAUUUUAUUUUUUUUCAAAACCAAGCCAAAACGACAUCGUUUUGGUCCUGGUAAAAAAAAAUUUAAAAAAUGUAAACGAAACGGUGUCGUUUCGUAUAUGUUUGAAAAAAUAUGUUCGAGGAUGCCCCCAUUCACCCAAAUGUCUGGCUUCGUCCCUGUCUGUCACAGUGAUAUGCGACCAUAAGCCCAACUCCAAGGAUCAGCUUUCCAAGAACUUUGAAGGCUACAAAUCAAAAGUUACAUGCAGUGAUGACAUAAUCAUGAAAAAAUACAAUCAUAAAUUAAAGGAAAACAUACCGACUUCUAGUUCUGGCAAUUCACUAUUGGCCCAUAUAUUUGAACCACAAUAUGAUGGAUACCCAAUACAGAUCACAAAUAAAAUCUGAGCAGACACAAAGUAUUAUGUUUUGUUUACGCAAAAUCUGUAAGUUCUCAAGUAGGAUAAAUAAAGAUAAACAUAUCCCAGCAUAAAGACGACUUGUCCUGGCUAAUUCUAAGAAAGCUUGUAUCAAAUGUAUGAUAGUUAUUCAUAACUAACACAAACAACAGUUUGGCCAAACAUUACUGGUCUGAGCCAUAUACUGUGUGACCUCAGACAAAACAGAUCCCACAUGUACUCAGAUUAUGAUUGAUGUCCCAAUAGACUUUUAGGCGGUGCUCUGAUAUAAUACAUCCAAAUUGGGGUGGACCAUAUAAUACACCCCAAUGGAUCGUUUUAAGCUCCUACACUGCUAAAGCUAUUGCAAAAUGCGCAUUAGGAUUAUAUUUCUAUUAGAAGCGCCUUUCCUUACUAGGCAAAUGAACCAUAUAAUACACCAAGAUGGAUGUUAUACACGUUAGCGUUUGGGCAGAAUUUUUUUGGUUAUCUCAUUGUCUCACAUUACUAGAAUUGAAAAGUUUAUAAUAUAAUAACGUUCGAAUAUGAACUUGAGAAACGACAUACUGCCGGUUGGCCGUAAAGGUGCAGUGAAAGAGCGAAAAGGAAGAAAGAAACAAACAUGCAUGAAAGGACAAAGACUAUCCAAUAGAUUAUAAACAAUGACUUCUUGGGAUGAUUACAGCUAUUCAACCAUCAAUAAUGCACUAUUUUAGUUUGGAAUUUGGAAGCAUUUGAGAAGUAACAUGACAUCAAUCACAUAAUAAACAAAAGUGAUUACAAAAAAACCCAAAUGUGAAGGAAUAAUUAAAAAAAAUUAUUCAAGAUAAGCGAUAAAUGAUUCAACUAUUUAUAAGAUAUGAACUUAGAACAACAAUCUAUUGGAUCGUUGUAUUAACUAUUAAGUGGUGCUCUAAUAUAAUAUAUCCAAAUGGAGACGAACCAUAUAAUACACCCAAAUGGACCAUUUUUAGGCUCCACUGCUAAAAACUAAUGCAAAACGGGCAUUAGGAUUAAACUAUAAGAACUAGGAUUGCAGGGAAGACAAAACACGCAGGAAAGCUAUAAGACUACACAAGGUUUUCACUGUGAUUGCAUACCCUCAACGUUGUAGGGAGCAACCUUUUUAUAAUCACUUUUCAGAUUACAUCAGGGUUUCAAAAACCCUAUUAACAAGCUUACAUUUUGAAAUUCAAAUACUAUAACUAAUUCUGACAAAACAAAUAUUUAAAAAUUCAAAUGAUUUUAACAGAAGCUCUACUUGAUAAGUGUUGUUGACUGAGUAAACCAACUGAAGAGUUUCUGUUUGAACAGGAAACUUGACUCCGUCUAACAUAAACUUGUAUUAGCUAGCUUUCCUAGUCAAAUGAACCAUAUGAUACACCCAAAUGGAUGCCAUCAUGCCAUAUAUAACCAAUGUUUUGAAAGGACAAGGUACCUUAACACUGUCUUUUUAUAUAAUGUAAGCAACAACCAUAAAUCUUACACAAAUCCUGGUAAGUCUACCACAAGUGUCAAUCCUUAUCUCCUUAUCAUUCCACAUCACCAAGUGUUUGCUCUCGUAUAGAACUUACAAAAAUCUCAUUUAGUUUCAUCUAACUUAUUUUUCACAACGGUGAAUAUAUUUCAAUGGCUUGGUUUUCACAUGCCAGUCAGUCACAUGCUCAACUCCUCAAAGUUCGGGCUCAAUGGCUCGAAGAGAGCUUCCACUUCACUCUGAUUCACCUCCCUCUUACUUUGACGGGUUCCACUUCGGAUUCUGCAUUGACAAAAAACAGAAGCAAAAGAUUGUUGAGAGUUGUCCCACGUUGGUGAGGGACAAGGCUUGCUAUGUACUUAUAUGAAUUUGGGCUACUUUCAAUAUUGUCAAUUGGUUUUAUGGUGGAACCUCAAUUUCAUCAUGGUAUCAGAGCCAAGUUGUUGACGUGUGAAGCCCAAUGGCCACACGCACUUCACGUCACCUAGCUGUUGUCCACGUGUAGGCUUGAAAAUCCGUCACACGUGCGGGGACGUGUUGAGAGUUAUCCUACAUUGGUGAGGGACAAAGUUUAGCUAUGUGCUUAUAUGAUAUUGGGCAACUUCCCAUAUUACCAAUUGAUUUUAUGAUGAACCUCAAUUUCAUCAAAGAUAACGACCUGUUCUCAUACAAGGAAAGUAAGAUGAUUAUAUAACUGUAGGUCUAGUACAGGCUGUAAUGGUUUAUGUUGCAGCAACUCCGUCAGCAAGUGAUUUUCAAGUAAGGAAUCUUGAGCAUAAUUAACGAACCUGAUCCUUGUCCACCAAAACUGCCCGCACACCUUCAGCAAAAUCAUUCCGCAAAGACGAUCUUCUAGCAACGCGAUAUUCAGUUUUCAUCACACCAGUUAGCUGGUAUGGAUCAAGUAAAGCACAUGUUACUCACUCAGAAAAUGUGAAAUACUACAACACAAAAUCUAUCAAAAGGAUGCAACCUUGAAGAGCUUCAUUUGCCCACUCCACCACUACAACAGAAACAAUUUGAUAGAAAAUACUUGACAGCCACGUACAAGCCUCUCAAUAGAAGAGUAAGACAGAUUUCAUUUCAUCAUCGAUAAACAAAUGGCAUUGACAAACUUACCAGUAGCAUCUGAACUCUGCUGCUGCUUUUUAAGUUCAUCAAUUGUCACAAGAACCGACUUAUUUGCACCAAAUGCUGAAGUUAUUUGAGGUAAAAGACUCCUGAGCUGCGCUUCGAAUCUGGGUUGCUGCUGAAUUUUGCCACAGUUGUAAUUGACAACAUUGACAAUUGUCUCUCUCGCAAUAGUACCUUCGUAAUGAUCCGCUACUGACCUUGGCCCGAUAGGCCAAUACCAAAGGCCAUUGUUAUGGCCACGAAGCUUAUACGUGGCUGUCAAGCCCGACACGUGAAUAGCAUACUCUACUACUGUGUUACAUUGUGAGAAUUUUAUCCAAAAUUAAUUGACAAUAAGUGAAUAAGUUGAAAGAUUAUGUAUGACUUUAAUUAUGCAAAGAGUGAAGAGGCAAUUUUCACCAAACCCCAGUAAAAAAUUUGGGCCUCACAAAUCACUAAACCCAAUAUGCUUUUCUCUUAUGCCUUUCGUUCAUGGUUUGAUAUUCUGGCGUCCGAGGACCCUGACAUGACAAGUUCCAACCUUUUUGUUCAAUUUCUUGACGAAACAAUCACAUUUACCCUUACGGCACGGCACGGUUCCGGGCAUAGAAUAUGGGUUGGGUUCCGCCACAGAUCCAACACUAAUUAGCACUGUAGAGAAGGAAGUAAAGACAACUAUUGAUUUCUUACAACGUAGCGAGUCUCUUGACAUGACUCCUGCUGUUUUGUUCUUAUUUCACGUCCUGUUUCUCGAGCUUGGUGUUUCCGGCAGGGCCGGUCUAAAGAUUUUUGAGGCCCGGAGCGACGUAAAAAAAUAUGCCCUCACUUAUAUAAGAAAAUUAUUUGUUUUCACAUGUAAGACAUCGAUAAAAUUAUACUUACAAAAACACUUAAAACUUAAUAAUUUAGAAACAAGGAAAAACUAAUUUAUUUUGUAUCGUGAGAAUGAUCCAAAAAAACUCUGGGUUUACAAGUAGAUAGAUAUGGGUUUACAAGUUGCGGAUUGCUUUGCUAACUAUGAUGUUGAUCUGGCUGGGGUUCAUUGGUGAGAUUCUUGAUUUCCUUGUGCUACUUUGACAUAUCACCAUAAGUUGUCUUUUUUGCCUUGUUAUAGUUUCGUGUGGGGUUUUUUUUCUUCUUCUAAUGCUGAUUGGGUUCUUUUCUUCCAACUCCUGCCCACUCAUUAUUGUCUGAACCACACCUAGUAUUACCCUCAUAUCCACUAAAACUUCAAGCUUUACCAAUUUGUCACAAGCGAAGAUGGUAGCUCCCAACACCAAUGAGGUUCCAAACAAUUACGAUCGAAAACGCGAAGUGAAAGCUUUUGAUGAGACAAGGGAAGGCGUUAAGGGUCUUGUUGAUGCCGGGGUAGCCGAGGUUCCUAGAAUUUUUCAUCAACCACCACAAUUGGACGAUCAGUACUCCAUCAACAAUACAAGCACUGACUCAGAAGCCACCCAGUUUAGCAUUCCGCUAAUAGACCUUGAAGACCAUGGUAAUCCAACUAAGCGCAAUGAGAUUGUUGCAAAGUUGGAGAGGCAUCAGAGACUUGGGGCUUCUUUCAAAUAGUGAAUCAUGGGAUACCUGUAGGUGUUCUGGAGGCGAUAAAGGAUGGGGUACGUGGGUUUUAUGAGCAGGACACUCGAGUCAAGAAAGAGUUUUUACACUCGUGAUCACUCUAAACCUUUGUUUUACAAUAGCAACUUUGAUCUUUAUAGUUCACUGGCAACGAAUUGGAGGGAUACUUUUAAGUGUUACAUGGCUCCAUAUCCUCCUAAGCCAGAAGACUUGCCAGAAGUAUGCAGGUAUUUGACAACCCAAUUCUCUGGUUUAAUUGGUGACAGUAACCUGGUGCAGAUUCCUUCCUUGAUGGAUUAGAUCAUUAAACUCCAUACUUUUGACAAGUUUAAUGUGCUUUCCUGGUUUUCAACUUGCAGAGACGUACUGAUCGAGUAUUCAAAGCGAGUAAUGGAGUUGGGGAAAUUGUUGUUUGAGUUGUUGUCGGAGGCCCUUGGGCUAAAGCCAAGCCACUUGAAUAGCAUAGAUUGUAGUAAGGGGCUACAGGUUUUAGGCCAUUACUAUCCUGCUUGUCCACAGCCAGAGUUAACUUUGGGCACAAGCAAGCACGCUGAUGAUUCCUUCCUUACGGUCCUUUCUGCAAGAUCAUAUUGGUGGUCUGCAAGUUGUUGAUCGUCAAAAUAAGUGGAUUGAUGUACCCCCUGUGCCUGGGGCUUUAGUGGUGAACAUUGGAGAUCUUUUACAAGUAAGCACACGUAUACAAUUGCCCUUUUUUUUUCUCCCUAAAAACUACUAUUAAAUUAAGAGAAUAGUAUCGUAAACUAAGCUAGUUUGUUAAUGACUAAUACUCGAGACAAGCUUUGGUCGCAUGUUAGCGUUCUCUUAGAAUAUGUCUUAGAAUUCUUCGAUUAUCAUAAUUAGGUCUUUUAUGUUCAAUUCUUUUUGGGAUUUUCAGCUCAUAUCAAAUGAUAGAUUCAAAAGCGUAGAACACAGGGUAUUGGCGAACCGUGAAGGUCCAAGGAUAUCCAUUGCCAGCUUCUUAGCACAGGUUUGCUACCAUUUACAAAUCUCUAUGGACCUAUUAAGGAGUUGGUAUCAGAAGACAACCCUCCAAAGUACAGGGAGACUACUGUGAGGGACUACGACACCCAUUUCUAUGACAAAGGCCUAGAUGGAACCUCUGCCUUAUCUCAUUUUAAGAUCCCAACUUAGACAUGGAGGAGCACAGAAGCAGAGACCGCAACGAACAAAUCCUGUCUACUAAAUAAUUUGGCAUGAAAAUAUAUAUUGGUUUGUUUAAUCUGAAAGCACUUUCGCACCACAAAAUUCUGGAUAUGCAUAUUAUUUUGUUUUCUGUUUGCAUAUGGUCUAAUAUACUUGUAGAAAGGGUUGGGUUUCUACCCUUGCGUCUCAGGUACGAAACUUCCCCUCCUAUAAAUUAUUGUAAUAGCUUCGAACUCUCUAUCUUCCGCAAAAAAAAAAAAAAAAAAGGGGGGUUUUCUAACACUUCUAUUCAUCAUGUUUACAGUUUUUGUGGCAUGCGCUUAACGAAUUCAACUGUGGUUGUGGUUGCGGUUGCGGUUGCAUAUCAAUACUAUUAUACCAUAAGUGUGGGCUUGUUUGAGAAUGUUUUUGUUUGUAAGAAGCGGUUUUACACAGUAGUUAAAAUAUAUAUAUGUAGAAAGAAAACAUACAAGUUGGUUGACAAAAGGGGAAGAAAAAUUGAGAGAUACAGAGAAUAAGAAAAGAAGAAAAUCGAUGCAAAUUUUAAUAUAUAUGUAGUAGAUCCAGGUAUCCAAAGGAUUCGGGGCUAAUGUACCUGCAUUGAUGAAAAAACAAAGAUGAGAUUUUUUGAAACGCAUCACAUAGUAGUUAAAAUACCUGGCGGUAAAUGAACGGUUUGAGAUAACGCCAUAGUGGCAUCCCUCAGGUGUGAGUUUCUCUCGUAUCGGAUCACUUAUUGUAAGAAUAUCAAUAGUGAAAGUUAAAUACCCGUGUCGGGAAAGGAAGUCGAUGAUGACAACUGACAAGAGAGAAAUUUGGCUUGAAAAAUGUAUGAUGUUUGCAACAUGCGUCAUGAAAACUUAAGUGUCAUGAAAACUUAAGUGUAAAAUGCGACCGGAAAAACACUAAACAGGAUAGCUAUGCUCUCUUAGUGUAAACCUUAACAACAAAGACCAUACCGUAUCUGUCACAGUGAUAUGCGACCAUAAGCCCAACUCCAAGGAACACCUUUCCAAGAGCUUUGAAGGCUACAGAUCAAAAGUUACAUGCAGUGAUGACAUAAUCAUGAAAAAAUACAAUCAUAAAUUAAAGGAAAACAUACUGACUUCUAGUUCUGGCAAUUCACUAUCGGGCCAUAUAUUUGAACCACAGUAUGAUGGAUACCUACAAUACAUAUCAUAUCACAAAUAAAAUCUGAGCAGACACAAAGUAUUAUGUUCUGUUUACGCAAAAUCUGUAAGUUCUCAAAUAGGAUAAAUAAAGAUAAACAUAUCCCAGCAUAAAGACGAUUUGUCCUGGUUAAUUCUAGGAAACCUUUAUCAAAUGUAUGAUAGUUAUUCAUAACUAACACAAACAACUGUUUGGCCAGACAUUACUGGUAUGAGCCAUAUACUGUGUGACCUCAGACAAAAUAGAUCCCACAUGUACUCAGAUUAUGAUUGAUGUCCCUAUUGACUUUUACCUUUGAAUUAGAGAUUCAUCUGUUGUAGGGCUAUCCAAUAUUGGAUUUGCAUAAAACGAGCCUUUUAACGUAUCUGCAAAACCAGAACACAAACGGAAAAUGAAUGAUCCUAAGUUCUUAGAGUUUCCAAAGAAACAAAAUUUAAAACAAAGAACAUAAAGUGAUACCAGGCUUUCCAGAUUCCAGCUUCUCUUUUUCCAUGACUCCAUCCAAAAUUGUACCUAAACAUGGAUGGCAGGUAAAAAGAAGAUAAGCAAUAAAACUUUGUAAAGAUUCCCAAGAAAAGCAAUAAAACUACGUAAAUUAUUAGUUAAUAAUGUCAAGACCAUAGUCUCUGAAAAUCCAAGAGUUGAGAUGCGGCAGGGAUUUUUGGAAUUUUUCUCUAUUGUAAGUAAAACAUAGAUUGAUGUUUGUGUUUACACGAAAAUUAUGCCAACGGCUUAAGAGAAAUCAAAGUAUAACAAUGGGACUAAAAUGACUUACCUACUAUGAGGAUCUUCAAGUUCCUUCUUCACCUCUUCGGGCAGAUUGGCUAAUCUAAUAAACAAAAAGAAAACUCCCAUGAGCAGUGCUAUAACAAACUAUCUUCCUAAAUUCAUUAUGAAUUGCAGUUAAAACUUAAAAUGAACAUGAAAAUCCUACGUAGAAGGGAUAUACCUAGGUGACAAGCCUAGAAGAUUCCCGCGCAAGGAAGAAUAUCCCGGAACCUGCAAUUGAAAACUCAAAGAAACAAUUACAAAGAUGCUAGAAAGAAAAUACGUAUCAGUUUACAACAAAACGCUAGCUCUCACAAGAAUCGAUUAGGUAUGAAGCAUCAAAACAACAGCAUGAGACAUCAUAAUUUAUGAGCUAUGAAUGGAAUAAUGGAGCAAAAUAUCGUUGCCCAAACAGCACAAUCUACAAUCUACAUGACGGAGAAAGUACCCCGACAUUACAUAUGCAAGUUCAUGUGGUUUAUGUGGUUUAUCUUUUUAACCGAUUCGUUAACAAAUUCUUUCUGCACAUAUAGUUUUAACUUACCAAAACUGGUAAUGGAAGAGAUAAUCAGUAAUUAACAACGGUAAUCGCAUAACGAAAUCAUACUUGAGUGAUUGAUAGGAUUCCCAACCCAUUUGGUCCAAAUCCUUCUUCAAUCUUCACUGACAAAUCUUUGUCCCUGUCCUGUAUCAAUCCAAAAUCAAAAAACGAUAAUUAGAAAAAUCGAAUUCUCGACAUGAUCGACGAGUUAAAACAUAGCAAUUAAACAAAACUAUGAAUAAAACAAUUAGAUUCUGUUUGGUUGCUGAGAAUGAAGAGAAUAACAACCACAAAGUCAACUGAAAUAAAAUUUUGCUCUAACUUCAACGAAUUCUCUUGAGUUUCUGAGCACCCAAACAGAAAAAAAAAAAUUAUAGGCAAUCAAACCAAACUCUCAUGCUCAAUUUUCUCGGCAACCACAAAAAGAACUUAGAGGAGGGGGAGAGAGAGAGUUACUUGGAGCUCGGAGUAGGAUAUGGUGACUGGUGUGACGGUGGGGACGACGGGGUCGGAGGACGGAGGCAUAGUUCGACAAUAAAUUUGGCGGGAAAGACGGCGGUUGGAGUGUGACGAUGGGGAAGAAUCCGUGGGAACGAAGAGGAAUUUUGGUGCGGAAGGAGGGUCUUUAUAUCGGAGGGAGGGAGGGAGGGAGAGAGGUUGAGAGCGAAAGGCGUGAUUGUCAAUUUCAAAUUUUUUUUUUUUAGGAAUAAAGAAAGAAAGAGAGGUUGAGUAUCAAUUCCCUUUCCCUCCAAACCAAAGAAUACAUUCACGAUCAUGAUGUGUGUGGCAAAAAUUAAAGGUGGAGACAAAUAAAUUAAAGAGAAUUUUCACGAAAAGUUCAUGGUACGAUUUAUUUUAAUGAAAAAUUAUAUUUUUAUACUAAAAAGUCAAUUUUGAUACUAUUUACUUUACAUUUUAUUUUUGUCAUUAUCGUUAAAACUAAAAACAAUUGAAGCAUUUUUUUACUAUUUUUCCUUAUAUUAAAUAGGUAUAAGUAUUAGUUAAAUUUAAAAUUAAUUGUGUACUAUUAAAAAUUUGUUUGAAAAUGUUUUUAAAAUGACUGAAAGCAUUUUUGAUUAAAAUGUUUUUUAAAUCAAUCCUUAGUAAAACCAAGUGGAUUCUAAAAAGUCAUUUGGAUUACUUUCUACAAAAACCACAUAUCUUGAGCACUUGAAGCACUUUUGGAAUCCAAAAUUAAUUUAACAAAGGUGUGUCUAGUCUUUUUAAUUUUUGAACAAACAAUAUUAUUUAUUUUAAGGGAGGAGAUGAGCUUAACCUCACAAUGGACUAUCAUAUUAAUAAUGUUGUUCAAAUCCACCUUUAUCCAAAAUCAAAUCUAAAACAUCUUACUCACAACUGAAGAGGAAUACCUUUACAUCGUAAUACUAAGCGACAUGUUUUUUUAUUUUUAAGAGACGUGUUUAUUCAUUUUUAAAAGACUUAAAAACCAGCACUAAUUUGUAUUAAAUUCUAAAACCUUUGAAUUGGGAUGUAAUAUGCAUUGGGUCUUUAAUAAUAUUUAAGUUGUUUUCGGCAAAAAAUAAGGGAUUCAAUUGGGAAAAAUAACAAAAUAUGAAAUAAGGAUAUUCUAAUUAAGGUUUUUAUUAAUUAUUUAAGGCGGAUGGUUCAUGUGAAGAUUAUGAAACGCUUUAAUUCUCUAAUGUGCGAUUCCAUUUCGAUCCAAAGUUAAACAGUGACAAAUACAAUUAAGGUUGUUAAUUUUUUUUGGUAAAAACAAUUAAGGUUGUUAUUAAUAUCAAUUCAUGUAUAUUUCCGCAUGUGCCACAUUAUUAAGUUAGGCAGUGAAAAAUAUAUAUCGGAUGUUAUGAGAACAUGUGUGGCUGUCAAGCCCUACACGUGAAUAACAUGCUCUCUACUGCUUUAUUACACCGUGAAGAUUUUAUCCAAAAUUAAUUGACGAUGAGCGAAUAAACUGAAAGAUUAUGCGCAACUUUGAUUAUGCAACGAGUGAAGAGGCAAUUUACACCAACCUCCAGUCAAGAAUUUGGGCUCACAAUCACUAGCCAAUAUGCUUUUUUCUCACAUUUACCCUGACACGGCAAGUUCAUAGUUCAAUAUUCUGGUUCUGGUGUCCUAUGACCCUGACACGGCAAGUUCCACUUUUUGUUCAUUUUCUUGACGAAACCAUCACAUUUACCCUUACGGCACGGCACGGUUCCGGGCAUGGAGUAUGGAUUGGGUUCCGUUGCAGUCCCGACACUACAUAGCACUGUAGAGAAGGAAAUACAAAGACAACUUUGGAUUUCUUACAACGUAUUGAGUCUCUCGUCAUGGCUCUUGCUGUGUUGUUCUUAUUUCACGUCCUGUUUCUCGAGUUUGGUGUUUCCGGUUGCAAAUUUUGGUUCGGCAGUGUAGUGCUCAGGAGAGGGGACUGUCUCACGUUGUUCCAAGCAGACAGAGGCGGUUGACAACGAUUGCGACAAUGUGUUUUUCUACUGGGAGAACAUACAGCAGUCAACAGUUAUCUUUUCACAACCGUCUUCAGUAUUUGGAGGCACCUCAAGAAAUUAUCAAGGACAAACGAAUGUAGAAAAGAAGAAAUAUCAAAGUUAGUUGACAAAAGGGGACGAAAAAUUGUGAGAUACAGAUAAGAAGAUAAGACGAUACUCGAUGCAAAUUUUAACGAGCGAUACAGAGAAGAAACAGCUGCAUUUGGAGACAGCUGCUUUAGUUGCCUUGUUUGUAACAUUAGCUUUCUGCAAUUCCGGGGAAGAAACAGGAGUAAAAAAAACAGAGUCAGGCAGUACCAAAAAAGAAAAAUAUACAAUUAGGAACAAUCGUCACUUCUCAAACUUUGUAGUAGAUCCAGGUUUCCGAAGGACUCGGGGCUAAUGUACCUGCAUUAACAAGAAACAAAGAUCAGAUUUGUGGAAGGGAGUCGCAUAGUAGUUAAAAUACUUGGCCGUGCAUGAAUGGUUUGAGAUACCAUCAUAGAGGCAUCCUCCAGGUGUGAGUUUCUCUCGUAUCUGAUCACUUAUUGUAAGAAUAUCAGUAGUGAAAGUGAAAUACCCGUGUCGGGAAAGGAAGUCAAUGAUGACAAAAGAGCAAUUUGGUUUGAAAUAUUGUGUCCUCGGUAUGAUGCUUGCAACAUGCAUCACCGAAUCCACUUGAAGCUCUCCACCUCUCCAUCUGUUAAAUGUUUCAUAAGCAGCAUUGUUAAAGUUCUCUUUAUUUGGGGGGAUAUUGCAGAUGGUUUUGAAUGAAGAAAGGCAAAAAUUCAUGCUGAAGGCAUAGUUUACAACUAGUAUUUGUAAAAGCUAAGCUCUAAAGUGAGCCUUGAUUCUUUGGCACAAAUAGCUAAAGUUUUGAGAUGGGACAAAAUGGGUCCACAUACAGCGCAUCCGAUGGUGUUGAAAUCCUUUUCCCAGUAAGUCAAAGAUAAGCACCAAGAAAGACAUGACAGUGUUAAACUUAAAACAAAUACAGAACUAAGAAUUGAUGCAUGAAUCAAACAGAGAAAUGGUACAGGCCAUUCUCUUUAUAUUCUUAUAAUCUAAACAUUUCUCCUUAUCAACACUGGAAAAACAGCUUGCUUCAGUCAUAGGAAAUAAAUUGCGCCUAGAGUAUAGAAAAGACAUACCUACAGAUCCUCCUCCUGGACUCUUUGCCGCUAUACGUGAAAACCCAACAUCUGGGAACAACCAAAUUACAUUCUCUGGCAUGGCAAGAACAGUCCUCUGAAAUGUAUCCAUACAAAGUUAAGACACAAAAAACUCAAAAAGGCAAUGUAAUUCACAACAUUGACAAUCUCUGUCUGACAAGGCAAUAAUACCUCUGUAAUGAUCCGGUAGCGACCGUGACCUGAUAGGCCAACACCAAAGCCCAUUGUUAUGCCAUCCAUGAAGAUAGGGCUUCUUGUACUCAGAGAUUUUGCAUAUUAGAGAAUACUCAGCAGUGAAUACCUGAAAAACAUGCAGCACAAGUAUCAUACCGGUAGCCUCUCAAUCUUAAGAAAUGGUAGCUUAGAAAAGAUAUGAAUCCUAUCCAACCACUACAAAUCAUAUUACCCAAGUUCAAGCAAAAUCACGACUAAACAAAUGAUCAGAUGUUGUAGGUUGCCCGAGAAUGUCAAACAUGAAAUUACAAGAAAAAAAACAAUCGUAUGUAUUGAACAUUAAUAAAUACUUGCUGAAAGCACAAUCUUAGCUGCCAUUUAUGACAUUUAUACGAGAUUGAAUAGCCAAAGCAAUUAAAGAAGUAGCAGAACUCAUAUAAGUGAUUUUCACUUUGAACUUUUAGGCUUAUCAGCAAAUACAUCAUUACGAUUCUAACGCAUGAAUUUUGUUAAAAGGGGCUUGCUUGCUUGUAUUAAGGCUUAAUCAUCAAUGAUUUUGCAAGGGUCAAUCGUCUUGAUAGUUGUAAUCUAUGCACUAUGAAAAUUACCAAAAUUACAUCUUAUAUGGUAGAGAAGGAAGUCAUCUUAUAUUAUCUGGAUUUUAGAAAACGGUGUAAGGUUAUAAGUCUGUUAUUCUAUAUAGUUUAAAGGACACAAUUAGACAACAAUCAUAUUUGGUGGUUGGUUUUUGGCCGUGAUCUGCUUCACAUCACCGCCCGCAGGUAAUCUAAAUCUGGGUUAUUACUUAUCAAUGAAUCAAAGUGCCAACUUAUCGGACACCAUCUAUCUCUAUAUGGCAAAAAAAAUAACACAAAAAGGAACAAUGAAGUGAAACAAUAAACAACAUGACAUGAAACAGCACGAACAUCAAAGACCAACAAUCUAUCACAUAAGCACCUAAACAAGAAACAACUUUAGUUCAAAGCAAAGCGUAAUGUAGAAACCUUCGGCACAAGAGGCGUGUUUUUGUCCUUUUGAAUUUCGGCAACAACAACUUUAAUAUCCUUACCUGCACUUACCAUGAUUGCUCACUCUCAAAACCUUACCUAAGAGACCCCAAAACCAAAAUAACUGCCAAAAGAGCUGAACAUACAUAUCUAGAAAAAACUUAUUCAACUACAUGCUAAAAUGGAAGUGUAAAAUUGCCAGGAAAGAUAAGAAACUAUUCAAAUACGAGUUCUGGGCGUUACCGCCACAAAAGGCACGAGCCGAGCGGCUAUCAACAAGAACACACUUCACAUUUGGGUGAGAUUCCCAUUCAUCCAGAUAGCUCUUGUAUUUCACAUCCAAAUCUGCAUUUUCCAACAAUUCCCACUUAAACAGAAACACAAAAUUCUUCCAAAAAAAGCUAACUUCUUCGAAAUUUGAAUCCAACGUUUCGUCUUAUAACAAAUGCAAUAACAUAGAUUUGUAAUCAAUACGAUGCCAUAAAGUUCAAGCUCAAAAAUUCAAAUCAUCUCCAAAUCAAAUGCAAUUACAGAUAUAUACAUAUAUACAUAUACGUUUGUGUGUUUAUCUACAUACCUAGGUUUAUGGCGUUGAGAGCUCGGGGGGUGACCGAGGGUGAUGACGGCGACGCCAAAGGUGCGGAGAAGGCGAGGGGAUUUGGAGGGUUUUGUAAAGAGGGGAUUUGCUCAGAAUUUGGGUCGCUCGUCCCUCUUAUGGGAGUGACUCAAAAAUCGAAAAAGUUGAAAUUUAUUGAUUGUGAUCUGACUCAAACAUGUGAUGAUGACGAUGCAUCACCACCUUGGUUGUGCCUCUGGAUCAAAAACCUACCAUCACCAUCAAAAUCGUGCACAUUUUCCUUCAUAGGCUUGUCCCAUACUAGAUUAACCCCUGUUCCCUUAAUUGUCACAUUAUCAGAUGUACUGUUUCAAAAGUUAUAUCAACUUUAUCCCCGCUUUGCAAAUUGAGCUUAUCGUUCGAUAUUUGUCCCUGCCAAAGAAAACAUUUUCCAGAUACAUUGUGCAUUUUUAUAACCCAAUCUUCCUUGCCUAUGCAGGUCUGCAACUCAGUACGCUUGGUAUUAUUUAUAUCAAUACUGGCACGAGGAUGACCAUCUUUGCAUGUGAAAUAAGGUUUGCUAUGAAUUGAAUAUUUAGGAAUAAAGCAGUAAAAGCACAACAGAGUCAACCCUUCCAAAUUACGACCAUCACUCGGGAGAAUAUCAAAACUGACUUUAUUACCAUCGUUGACAAACUCGAACCAAUCAGGAACAUAAUUCCCUUUGAAAAAAAUGCCACCAUAUCCGCAAGAAGUCCAUCCCUAUAUAUACAGUGCGAGUGUCAUAUAUAUAUAUACACACACAAACACAAUGUACAUGUGUGUGUGUGCAUGUGCGCAAUAGGAAGACAAUUAAAGAGAGAGAUACCUUUAGGACUUUCCUCAUAAAAUCAGCGGUGAGUUCGGCGCAAUCCGUCAUAUCAAUCCAUGUCAUGGAGUUUAAUGACUUAUCCAAGUCUGGAAUCUCAGUGAGUGCGCGUGAAUCACGUACAUUCAGUUCCCUCAUAUUGGACAUUUUCGAAAAAAUUGGGCAUUGUUAACAAACGAUGGCAACAAGACGCAUACAGAAAUUUCAAAUUUGUGUUGGUAAACCAUAGAUUGUAUGAAGGUUAAGGCAGUAAUCUAACCGCAAACUUUCAAGCUUUGAAAGAUCACUGAGGCUGGGUAGGGUAUGAAAAUCAUUAGAUGAGAGAUCUAAAUCUUGUAAAGAAAUUAGACUCCCAAAACCCUUUGAUAAUGGAUCAUCGCUUAACCUCUGGAAUAAGAGAUCUAAAUUUCUUAAAGAGUCAAAGCCCUGUAACAAAUCGCGAAUUUGCAAUGCAAAUUUGGCUCUUCUGGAAGGAAGACCCCCAAUUAGAGAUAAAUGAGUGAGAUUCUUCAAUCUUACUGUGGAACGCGGUACUUGUAUUAUGGCUGUCUCAGAUGCUUUAAGUACUCUCAAUGAUAUUAUAUUCCCUAAAUCCUCGGACAGUUCACUGAAUUGCCCACAAAAAUCAAGAACAAGAGUCUGAACGGAUUUGGACCUGUAGAAAUCCCCAGGAAGAGAAAUAAGAUUCUUGCAGCCUGUGAGGUUCACCAAAGAAAGUUUUUUAAGAUGACCAAUGGAGGGGUGAAUCUCGGACAAACUCUCACACCAUUCCAAUAUCAACUCUUCAAGACUUGGGAGAUUUGAUAAGUCUGGUGAUUUUUUUAAGUCAAGGCAAACACUGAGAUUAAGGAUUUUCAAGUUUUCAAGCAACUGUUGCACAAAAUCCAAGAAAAAUUAAAAUUAAUAUCCAAAAGGAAUAUCUCAUAAAAUAAAUAAAUAAAUAUAGAGAGAAGGAAAUAUAAAAACAAAUAGAAACAUAACAUCAUCAUGUGUAAUCGAUAGUACCUUGGAGCCCUCCCAAACUUGUACCAGUCUGCUGUGCGUUAUCUCUAAAAUAACUAGUGCUCUUGGUUGAUCAAAGAAGUCAUCUGGUAUGGACUUUAAAGGGCAUCCUUCCCAACACAACCAUAUUAACUCUUUGGGGAGAUGUUUGUAUUCUCCAUUGAGCUGCACGUUCUUGAGCAUGAGCAGUCUCAGUUUCUUCAUAUUAGCAAAUGCUUCUGUACUGAUACAACUAGACUUUAAAGGGAAUUCUCCAUGGAGCUGCACUUUAAUGCGCUGGAACAGUAUCAGUUGCCACGUAUCGGCAAAUGCUUCUGUACUGAUACUUGGAGACAGAAGAUCAGGGAAACCUACAACAAGUCCUUCAACUUCUUUGGUUCCCUGUUAACAACACAUUAUACUGGGUAAGAAAAGGAUUAUGUGCAUCUAUUUUACGUGAUUUUGCUAAUUGAGCUUCUUAAUGCAAAUACAUAUAUUUACACAUGAAUGUUUUUAAUGUAUAAUAGGCAUACGUGGGUUACAUAUAUGUUUUUCUUGUACGAUGCAUUAAUACAAUUUUUUUUUGGGAAUCUACUUACAGAUUUAUUUGUUAGUACAUCAUAGACAUCUCCAGGGAUCCACAACCUGCUCCAUUCUCCAGGGGGACGACGGGAAUUUCCAGAUAUGAUUACUUUGGCCAUUUCUCGAAGCAAAUCAUGCAUAUUCAACUUGUUGUCUUCAACAGUUAUAAGGCAUCGUUCACGGAGAUCACAAAUUCCUGCUGUUGCAUAAAAUUUACACCCAUCUAAUAUUUUUGCGACAUGGUCCUUAUCCCAUCCAAUAAAGAAACAAGAUAUGUCAAGGAAUAUAUCCUUCUGUGUAGGAUCUAGCCUUUCAAAGCUUACUCUUAGCGCUUUCAUUAUUCCCUCAUCAGGAAUUUUUUUCAAUUUCUCCAACUGACUUUUCCACUCUGUUGGGGUUCUUUCAAUCAUAGAAGAACCUAAAACUUCAAGGGCUAGUGGCAAACCACCACAGUAAGAAACAACCUCUUUUGAGAGUUCAAGAUAUCCUUCAUUAGGCCAACUAUUUCCAAAGGCAUGCCAACUAAAGAGCUUCAGAGCUUCUUCUUCAAUCAUUUCCUUAAGCGGAUAUGUCUUGUCCACUGUCAUGUUCACUUGCUUUAGUAAACGUUCAUCUCGUGUCGUUAUGAUAAUUCUACUUCCUGGGCCAAACCAAUCACGAUUUCCAGCUAUUGCAUUUAGUUGUUCCACUUUGUCUACAUUGUCAAUAAUGACAAGUACGCUUCUACGUUGGAGAUGAUUUUUUAUCAGACUCAUACCUCGAUCAACACUGGUUAUCUUAGACUCAGUCUGUUUCAAGAUGUCAGAAACAAGUUUUCCUUGCAAAUCAACCAGAUCAUAUUCACUAACGUUGGCAAGGAAACUUUUGAAUUGGAACUUAUGAUGAAUUUGGUUAUAAAUGGCUUUGGCAGCUGUUGUUUUACCCAAUCCACCCAUCCCCCAAAUUCCAACCAUGACAACGUCAUUUGAUCCACCACUUGAAAGAUGAUUGAUAAUAUCUUGAAUGCGAGAAUUGAUUCCAACCGGGUGCUUGGCCACAUUUAAUUCGUUUGCGCUUGGAAGCCAUUCCGGAAUGAUCUUGCCAACAAUUUCUCUAAUAAGCUUUGCUUCGGGCCUGAAAAUUGAAUUCGUAAGCAUUAGCAGGACUCAAUGAACAGUAGGAGCUAUCAGUACAUAGACAAUUUUCUUUCCUUCAUAUAUAUUCUAACUAGCUACUAGCUGGUAUGUGAUUUUUUGACCAACUUGAUAAAAGAAAGAAGUUCAUUCAUUAAUUAAACUCCAAUUACGGUUUAGGUUUUAUAUGAGUGGUUAAGGUGUAUUAAUUAAGCAUGUUAAUUAAUGUUUAAUUAGCUUCUGUAAAAUGUUAAUUAUAUGAGAGACUAAGUCAUUCACUAAAAUGUUUCAAAUCUUGAAAAACAGGUGAAUGAUUACGCAUUGUCAGUGAUUUGGAGAUGUUGGCCAGACAAAUUUGCUGCUUCUGUAAGAGCCUUUCUCCAUUGCUUUACCCUUUCUUGUUUAGUUUCACGUUCCUUGUCAUCUUUUUCUUCACGGAUGCCCUCUUCGUGCUUCUGAAAUGCUUGAGCUAAAUCUCCGUUCUGCUUCCUAACAUGUGUAGGAUCAACAUGAUAGAAUAUUGGCAAAACACGUCGCCCCAGUUUGUAUCUGCACUCCAUGAUCUUCACCAGCUCAUCAAGACACCAACGAGAGUCCGCAUAACUCUUUGAGAAGACAAUGAUAGAGAUCCUCGCCUCUUCGAUUGCCCGGAACAGUUCCUCUUUUAUUUCUUCCCCUCUUUCUAGAUUGUCCUCAUCAAUAUAAGCCUGGUAUCCCCUGUCUGUUAAUGCCGCGUGGAGGUGGCCCGUGAAACCAUUGCGUGUGUCUACACCACUGAAGCUCAAGAACACGUCGUAAUUCCAAAGUGUUGACUUGGAGGAGGAUGAAGAGGAGGCUUCGUGGGUUGUCAUGGCGGUAUCCACCGUUAUGGCACUGCGGUGGUUUAGAUAACGACUAAAAAAUGGCAGUAGUUGUGUUCAUGCUGUCGAACAGAUGAUCCUGAAAUACCUAAACCCAAGUCAAGCUCCUUCAGUCAACAAGAACAAAGUUUAUAAUAUAAUAAUGUUGGUGUAUGGACUUGAGAAACGACAUAAUGUUGGCCAGAAGGUGCAAAGAAAGAGAGGAAAAGAGGAAAGAAAGGAACGAAAGGACAAAGACUAUCCAAAAGAUUAUUGGCUGUGAUUACAGCUAUUCAUAGGAGAAACAACCUGCCCGUCUUCAUAUAUAAUACAUUUCAACAGACAUAUGUUAAUAGGAGAAACAACUUUAGUUUGUACUAGAAAUUUUUACCCGGGCGUUGCUACAGGAUUUGAAAUUGUAUGAAAGAUUAUCUUUGAAAUAUAUAAUAGAUUGUGUGAUUGAAGAUUAAUACUAUUUACAUUGAAAACGUUGGAAAAAGUUUUACAUACAAAAGAUUUUACGAUACAAUCCAUAUAGUCUCCUAUAAAGUUCUGAAGUCGUGGAAGCAUAAAGGACAAAUAACAAAUGAGUUUUGAGAAAUUAUUCCACAAAUGCCAUUCUGCAUAAUGUAUUAAAGAAGAUUGGUAUAAGAUUAGCAAUCAUGAGUAGUGUAACAACAUCAACAAAAUAACCAUAAACCAUAGUUGAACAUAAUUCAAAUUUUGUUUGCAAAAACAAAAGAAAAAGAAAACAGACUUACAAUAAUUCAGUCUUCAAUCCUGAAGUCCUACUCAAAGAGCCAAACUUGAAUGCAAGCUUUCUGAAAUUUUCCAAGCAACACAAAAAAAAAGGUAACAUCCUAGUCAGAAAUGAACCGAGGUGCGAGCUUUCUAAGAAACCCAGAUGACAAAAUCAACAAAAUAGAAAGGAAAAAUGACUUGCACUUUUUAAGGCAUGUCCAAUCUUGAUCUAAAAUUGGUGGUGGGUCGAUUGUUGGUCACCAAAUCUAAAUAAAGAAUUCAUCAGAACCUAGAAAUUUAAACAAAGAAUUUUCCAAAAUCAACAUUUACUAAAAACCAGUUACUUGGUUAUCAAGCAUGAUGGCUUGCCAAAGACUGAAUUAAGGAAUGCACAACUUUACUUUUAUGAUUAUUUUCAACGACAGCUAAAAGGUCAGAUCCAAAUGAAAAUAAAAGUUAGGACUUCACAAAACCAAUUAAAAAUCCAAUUCCAAAGUUACAAACACCCACCAAAUGAUUCCAGAUAAAGUUUUAUACUCAAGGUCAGACCCAAAUGAAAUUAAAAGUUAGGACUUCGCAAAACCAAUUGAAAAUCUGAUUCCAAAGUUCCAAACACCCACCAAAUGAUUCCGGAUGAAGUUUAAACUAAAAAACCCAAUAGAAACAAAAGCAUUGGUGUGAAUUAACUGUAUCUAAUUGAAGAAACUAAAACAAAAGUAAAGCAAAGUAUAUACCUCAAAAUGUCAAGCAACUAAGUUCUUCCUCCGACGACCCAAAACUCUGAAAAUUCCACACAAAAAAAAGGUAAAUCCAUUAGCAAUUCAUAGCCUUCAAAAUUAGCAAAAACUUGGGCAACAAUAAAGAUGCAUUGAUAAAUAUCACUCUUUCUCCUUAUGUAUUUGAAAAGAUAUUUUAUAAGCAGUUUAUGUAGUCAUUCUAAUCAUGUUGCAUAUAAAUUCCUUUUCUACGGAGUUCAAAAAUAUAUGGCAGUUUACGGCAUCUGUUGAAUAACAUGGUUGAAAGAUUUAAAAUUGAUACAUUCAAUUUUUAUGUGUAAAACUAUAACAUAUAGCUAAAGCUAUUGGGUCUAUACAUCCAUAUCAAUCAUGUCGUAAUUGUAUGCUUAUCAAUGUAAAUAGAUGAUUUCAGUCAUGUGAUAACAUGUUUCUUGAUAGUAUAUGCUGAAGUUUGGUCUCAGUUGGAUAAAAAUCAACCAAAAUCUUAGCAAUAGACUCUUUUAACUUUUUUUUUUUUUUGGCGAACAAAGGUGGGGGGGAUGCAACACGAGGACUUCCCAGGAGGUCACCCAUCCUAGUACUACUCUCGCCCAAACUCGCUUAACUUCGGAGUUCUGAUGGGAUCCGGUGCAUGUGAGUUGGUAUGAUCGCAUCCAAAAAAUGAGCACCACAAUACUACACUUAUAAGUUUUAUGCACAAAAUACACAGCACUGACUGGCAAAACAAUAAAACACUCAAAACCCAAAAACAGAAACACAAUUAGGACUCAAAACUCCUCAAAAACAUGAGAGAGAGAGAGAGAGAGAGAGAGUGUGUGUGUGUGAGAGAGAGGAGAGAGAAUAAAAAACAAUAUUAUUUUUCACACAAACUCAAAAUUGCUUAUAAAAUUACAAAUCAAAACAAAUGAAGGCAAAUCCAAAAUUGCCCUAAAUUAAAUCUGAUUAGUUAAAUGUUUGUUGCCCUACAAAUGUCAUUACACACGACAAAACUUGCUUUGAAGUUGAUAUUUUGGUCAAUCCAGGGGAAAAGGAGAGAUUGGUUUUGGAGCAGUUGUCAUGGAGAAUACCAUCUCCCUGUUGAAUGAUCUAAAAAAGGACUUACAGCUUCUGUGGCCAUAAUAAUUUAGGAGGCCCAUCUCUACAGAUUUUCUCAAUAACUUUCCUUUUCGUAGCUGGUAAGAUUGCAACUCCAAGAAUUGCUCUGAAGAGAUAUAUACAAAAAAAAAUCAAACUAAAACUAAGCUAUUGGAAGAAAUUUAGAAAACACAAACACCACUACAACUCAGAGCUAAAGUCAACAGAAAGCAAAUAGUAGAAGUUGAAAAAAUAUAAGGUCGUGAAUUGAGAACUUCAUCAAACUAACAGCAAUAAAAUGUCAUAUAAUCUGUCAAAAACCAAAAAAGAGAGAGAGGUAAUUUCAAGACCUUGUAACGCUGAGGCCUCGUACAGUUGUAGUAAAAAUAUAUGGUUGAUGCACCUGUUGCUCAAUCAAAUCCUUUCUGGCUGAAAAAAUAAAAAUCUAUAAAGACAUUCACGUCCAAUUUAUGAGAAAUCAUGGGAAAGCAAAUGCACUGAUAACAGAAUCAUGAAUAUGAAGAACUUGCCAAAAAGAAAAAGAAACUUUUUAUAGUGUGCCAAAGAACAUCCUCCUACUCCUAGCAAUUUUUUUUAUGGCAUUAUCCACUUCUCAAUUCAUAAUUCAACCAGUAACUCAAACUCUAUAGUGUAUAAAAAUGUGAUAUCUUAGUUGAUCGCGAUGAUAAUUAAGCAGAUUAAAUGACGACCCAUAAAGCAUACAAAAAUUAAGAAAAGAAAAGGUUCGAAACUGCCAUAAGAAAACGCAGAAUAUAUAAACGGGAAAUCAAAAGAAGAGAACCAAACAAAAUUAUUAGGUCUGGGAUCAUCAAAGUCAAACACAAACAAUCCAAAAAUUUGUGGAAAAUACCAAUAAAUGCUCAACUAAAAACGAAAGAAAACGUAGAAUAAGUUUACCUGUUCUUCCCCUAAUUAAACUGAAAUACAAUUCACCACUAAUAUUCUCGUCAUCCUCUUCAGCCUGAAAAAUUUAGUAGAACAUAAUGAUAAGAAUCUAGCAGUAUUUCCAUUGUUUAAACCCCAAAUUCCAGAAAUCAUGAAAAAUGGAAACUUUAUAUGGAAACUGAAGCUUUACCUGCAGAUCAGCAGCAGCAAACGGAAUCCAACGGCAUGUACCUCAAAAAUGAGAGAGAGAGCUGAGAGAUGAGUGAGAGAAUCGAUAAACAAACCCCCCCCCCCCAAAAUCACGAAAGGAAAUUUGAACGGAAAACAAAUUUGAAAAUCCAAAAUCACAAAAACGAAAUUGAAACACCCACACUGAGAAAGCUGUAUAACUCACCAGGAAACGCUAGCCUUUCUGGGUAAAAAAAUUAUUCGGAUCGAAUUGAAGAACGGAGGAAAGUUCUACUGGUUCAGUGGUUAUUCCAGUGUGUCAAGACUUGGCUUGGUUUAUAUAAUUAAUCAAUAAUAUUCCAUACCAAGAGCUAGGUCCAUAUAUUAUACAAUGUUCUAAGGGUUUAACGGAUAGGCGAGGCCUAGUGUCUAAGCAAAUUUAAGUAAAUUUAUUAUAUAUUAUAUAAACUUAAAAUGAUAAAUAAUUGUAUUAGGAUAUAUAAAUUACAAAAUAAAAUAAUAUAUAUUAUAAAGUAUUAAAACAUAGGAGAAAAGACCCAAAUAUGAAUGGGAGAAAAGACCCAAAUAUGAAAAGACAACUAUAAACAAUUAUUCAAGAUGGACGGUAAAUGAUUCAGUCAUUUACAAUAUUCAAAACGUAGGAUCACAAUCUACUGGAUGAUUGUCUUAACUAUUAGGCCAUGCUCUAAAUAUAAUACAUCCAAAUGGGGGUGGACCGCAUAAUACACCCCAAUGGACCGUUUUAAGCUACUCCACUGCUAAAACUAUUGCAAAAUGCGCAUUAGGAUUAUACUUCUAUUAGCUGCGCCCUUCCUCACUAGGCAAAUGAACCAUAUAAUAGUUUCCAAAAAAAAAAAAAAAAAAAAGAACCUUAUAGUACACCAAGAUGGAUGUUAUACACGUUGGAGUUUGAGCAGAAUUCUUUUUGUUAUUUCAUUGUCUCACAUUGCUAGAAUUGAAAAGUUUAUAAUAUAACAAUGUUCACGUAUGAACUUGAGAAACGACAUACUACCGGUUGGGCGGGAAAGUGUGAAGUGAAAGAGAGGAAAGGAAGAAAGAAACGAACACGAAAGGACAAGGACUAUCCAAUAGAUUAUAAACAAUGAUUUAUUGGGGUGAUUACAGUUAUUCAAUUAUCAAUAAUGCAUUAUUUUAGUUUGGAAUUUGGAAGCAUUUGAGAAGUAACAUGACAACAACCACGUAAUAAACAAAAGUGAUUGGAAAAAAGACCGAAAUGUGAAAUAAUAAUUAAAAACAACUAUUCAAGAUUAGUGAUAAAUGAUUCAACCAUUUACAAGAUAUGAAUUUAGAACAACAAUCUAUUAGAUCGUUGUAUUAAUUAUUAAGUGGUGCUCUAAUAUAAUAGAUCCAAAUGGGGACGGACCGUAUAAUACACCCAAAUGAACAACAAUCUAUUAGUUUUUAGGCUCCACUGCUAAAAACUAAAGCAAAAUAGGCAUUAGGAUUAAACUUGUAUUAUCUAUCUUUCCUUACUAGUCAAAUGAACCAUACAAUACACCCAAAUGGAUGCCAUCAUGCCAUAUAUAAACAAUGUUUUGAAAUGACAAGGUAGCUAACGCCGUCAUUUUAUAUUUGUAAGCAACAACCCUAAAUCUUAUUGGAGCUAAUUAACUAAUGUAUUUAUUAGACAGUUGCAUUCCUUAGCAAGUGGUUAACUAUUUUUGUUUAGUUUAGUAGUCAGGUCGUAAUUAAUUAGUCAAAUGAACCAUAUAAUACACCCAAAUGGAUACCAUAUAUGCAUAUAUAAACAAUGUUUUCAAAGGAUGAAAUGACUUUCUUGCCGGUAUGGGGGAAGAGGAAAGAAACUAGUGUUGUGUUUGACUCAUAUAUUUGUGUGUAAUUAUGAGUCAUGUGUUGACAACAAUUGAAGACCAUGUGAAUGCUACAAGGAAAUGGCAGCAACCUUGACUUUGUGUGCAUGCUUUCGGAGUAGUGGCCAAAUGUGGCCAAAUCUACCUUCGGCUAAUAGUGGAAGAUAGUGGAAGACAAUGAUGAUGUUUGCUUGAGAUUCUUUUCUUUGGCCUUUUUCUGUUUCCCAUUUGAAUGCCACGUGAGUGGCUAUGGGGUUUGAUUAAAAGGCAAAGCAGGGAGCAUGAUACAUCAUGAUUGUGUUUGUGAAAAAAGGGAAAGUUGAUUCCUUUUUGCUUUUGCUAUUUAUUUGCUAAGAACCGAAGAGAGCUAGAGUAAAGUGAGAAGCAUACAAGGGGAAGAGCAUUCGGCUCUCCCAUGGGAAAGGUUGAAUAUGAGUUGAGAGAAAAUCAAGAGAGCUAGAGUGAAAAGUAUUCUAGUGAAAGAACUCUUGGGGUAGAGUGAGGUUCUUGGGAAAAUUCUAUGAGUGGAUGUACAAGGGAUUUGGGAUUGGGUUAUGUCGAUUUAACUCAUGUGUACUUGUACUGUUAUUCUCAUAGUGAAGAGCAAUAUCUCUCCGGGGAUGUAGGCAGGUUUUUGCCGAACCUCGUAAAUUUCUCGGUGUCUUUAUUUUUUGUAUUUUAUUCUGUUCAACUGAGUGUGAUUAUGGUGAGGUUGUAAUUUGAAUAUCGAUUCCGCACUAACGAACGGGCCAAGGCACAACAACUAGCACAAAAUUGCAGACCCUAUCGAUCCAUUAUAAUAAAUUUCAAUGGUCCAAGUUGUAAGUUAAUUGUGCAAGAUAAAAACUUAUUUACAAUUAUCAACUUAACCACGUACCUAUGGAAGACAUCGUCUUGGAAAACUAGGAUUAAGAACUGAAGUUCUCCUGCAACUCUACACAACUGAAAGCAAGGCUUGCUCAAUGGGGCUUGAGUUUUCUAUAAACUUGCGUAUUUAGUGGAGAGAGCAGGGACCUCAUUUUUAUACAUGGAAUUCAAUAAGGAUCCCUCCCAUUAAGUGAUCCUUAUCAAAGAGUAGCAUUAUCACCGUAAAACACUUAUGCAUUAUAUCAGUUAAAAGAGUUUUAGUUUUAUUGGGAAUGUAUCUGAGUUGAAACUGUAAAGAUAUACAACUCCUGAUAAGUCUACCACAAGUGUCAAUCCUUAUCUCCUUAUCAUUCCACAUGUCUUUAAUCAAAUCACCAAGUGUUUGCUCUCAUAUAGAACUUACACAAGUCUCAUGUAAUUUCAUCUAACUUAUUUUCUACAACAGUAAAUAUAUUUUAAUGGCUCCGGUUUUCACAUGCCAGUCAGUCACACGCUCAACUCCUCAACGUUCGGGCUUAGUGGCUCGAAGAGAGCUUCCACUUCACUCUGAUUCACAUCCCUCUUACUUUGACGGGUUCCACUUCGGAUUCUGCAUUGACAAAAAACAGAAGCAAAAGAUAACGAUCUGUUCUGAUACAAGGAAAGUAAGAUGAUUGUAUAACUGUAGGUCUAGUAGAGGCUGUAAUGGUUUAUGUUGCAGCAACUCCGUCAGCAAGUGAUUUUAUAGUAAGGAAUCUUGAGCAUGAUUAACGAACCUGAUCCUUGUCCACCAAAACUGCCUGCACACCUUCAGCAAAAUCAUUCCGCAAAGACGAUCUUAUAGCACCGCGAUAUUCAGUUUUCAUCACACCAGUUAGCUGGUAUGGAUCAAGUAAAGCACAUGUUACUCGCUCAGAAAAAGUGAAAUACUACAACACAAAAUCUAUCAAAAGGAUGCAACCAUGCGAUGAAUGAAACGAAAAGGUAGAAAGUAAGACUCACUGGAUAAUUGAUUGUCAUUUUUCGCAAGCGCAGAUGCAACUUUGGAGAAGUAAUUUUGCGUCAAAUAAAGUGAAAGGGGAGCACCAUUUCCAAGACCUUGAAGAGGUUCUUUAGCCCACUCCACCGCUGCAACAGAAACAAUUUGAUAGAAAAUACUUGACAGCCACGUACAAGCCUCUCAAUAGAAGAGUAAGACAGAUUUCAUUUCAUCAUAGAUAAAUAAAUGGCAUUGACAAACUUACCAGUAGCAUCUGAACUCUGCUGCUGCUUUUUAAGUUCAUCAAUUGUCACAAGAACCGACUUAUUUGCACCAAAUGCUGAAGUUAUUUGAGGUAAAAGACUCCUGAGCUGCGCUUCGAAUCUGGGUUGCUGCUGAAUUUCGCCACAGUUGUAAUUGACAACAUUGACAAUUGCCUCUCUGACAAGGCAAUAGUACCUUCGUAAUGAUCCCGGUACCAACUGUGGCCCGAUAGGCCAAUACCGAAGGCCAUUGUUAUGCCCAUGAAGCUUAUACGUGGCCGUCAAGCCCGACAAGUGAAUAGCAUACUCUAGUGCUGUAGUACAUUGUGAGGAUUUUAUCCAAAAUUAAUUGACAAUGAGUGAAUAAGCUGAAAGAUUAUGUACUGACUUUAAUUAUGCAAAGACUGGAGACAAUUUUCACCAACCUCCAAUCAAGAAUUUGGACCUCACAAAUCACUACCCAAUAUGCUUUUCUCUCGUGCCCUUCAUUCAUGGAUCGAUAUUCUGGUGUCCUAGGACCCUGACAUGACAAGUUCCAACUUUUGUUCAAUUUCUCGACGGAACAAUCACAUUUACCCUUACGGAACGGCACGGCUCCGGGCAUAGAAUAUGGGUUGGGUUCCGUUACAGCUCCAUCACUAAUUAGCACUGUAGAGAAGGAAAUAAAAAGACAAGUUUGGAUUUCUUACAACGUUUGCGAUGAUGUGUUUUCUACGGGGAGAACAUACAGGAGUCAGCAGUUAUCUUUUCGCAACCGUCUUUGAUUAUGAAGGAAAGGAAAGAAAAGAAAAAAAACGAAUGUAGAAAGAAAACAUACAAGUUGGUUGACAAAAGGGGAAGAAAAAUUGAGAGAUACAGAGAAUAAGAAAGAAGAAAAUCGAUGCAAAUUUUAAUAUAAAUGUAGUAGAUCCAGGUAUCCAAAGGAUUCGGGGCUAAUGUACCUGCAUUGAUAAAAAACAAAUAUCAGAUUUUUGGAAACGCAUCACAUAGUAGUUAAAACACCCGGCCGUGAAUGAAAGGUCUGAGUUACCGCCAUUUUGGCUAAUACUAUUCUGUAUAUUUACGAAUGGUUUUAAGUUUGGGUUUAAUUGGAUAAUCGGAGAGUAGUGCAUCAAACUAUGGAUAUUCAGAAACCGAAAGCAUAAUUCAUAUUCCUCUAACAAGUCCACGCAAAUGACCACAAUCAGAAUGUUAGUUCAUAGCUGGCCAUAUAGAACGCAAUACAAAAGCACUAAAAGCAUCCAAGUGAAAGUGCUUUCUCCUCAUGUAGUUUCAUUUAACUUAGUUUCACAUGCCAGUCCGUCACACACUCAACUCCUCAACGUUCGGGCUCAAAGCAUUCUUUAUCCUUUCUGUACGAGAGACAAUAAAUUUAUAGUUCUUGUGAUGAAAUCAUGCAAAACAUUCAGAAAUCUUGAUUUAACCCUUUCUCAAGAUCAUAGGUUGUGUCAUCUCAACUUAUAUCUUAGGUCUUAUGAGUGCUCGUAAUACACUAAUAUGACACUUGUUUUCUGGCCAGGACAGAAACAAAAUCAUGCAGGAAAUUGUCACGACAACUUAAGUGUAAAAUGCGACCGGAAAAGCACUAAACAGGAUAGUUAUGCUCUCACAGUGUAAACCUUAACAACAAAGACUAUACCGUAUCUGUCACAGUGAUAUGCGACCAUAAGCCCAACUCCAAGGAUCAGCUUCCAAGAGCUUUGAAGGCUACAGAUCAAAAGUUACAUGCAGUGAUGACAUAAUCAUGAAAAAAUACAAUCAUAAAUUAAAGGAAAACAUACUGACUUCUAGUUCUGGCAAUUCACUAUUGGGCCAUAUAUUUGAACCACAGUAUGAUGGAUACCUACAAUACAGAUCACAAAUAAAAUCUGAGCAGACACAAAGUAUUAUGUUCUGUUUACGCAAAAUCUGUAAGUUCUCAAAUAGGAUAAAUAAAGAUAAACAUAUCCCAGCAUAAAGACGAUUUGUCCUGGUUAAUUCUAAGAAACCUUGUAUCAAAUGUAUGAUAGUUAUUCAUAACUAACACAAACAACUGUUUGGCCAAACAUUACUGGUAUGAGCCAUAUACUGUGUGACCUGAGACAAAACAGAUCCCACAUGUACUCGGAUUAUGAUUGAUGUCCCUAUUGACUUUUACCUUUGAAUUAGAGAUUCAUCUGUUGUAGGGCUAUCCAAUAUUGGAUUUGCAUAAAACGAGCCUUUUAACGUAUCUGCAAAACCAGAACACAAACGGAAAAUGAAUGAUCCUAAGUUCUUAGAGUUUCCAAAGAGACAAAAUUUAAAACAAAGAACAUAAAGUGAUACCCGGCUUUCCAAAUUCCAGCUUCUCUUUUCCAUGACUCCAUCCAAAAUUGUACCUAAACAUGGAUGGCAGGUAAAAAGAAGAUAAGCAAUAAAACUUUGUAAAGAUUCCCAAGAAAAGCAAUAAAACUACGUAAAUAUUAGUUAAUAAUGUCAAGACCAUAGUCUGUGACAAAUCCAAGAGUUGAGAUGAGACUAUCUUUCUGGCAGGAAUUUUUGGAAAUUUUCUCUAUUGUAAGGAGAUAGAUUGAUGUUUGUGUUUACACGAAAAUUAUGCCAACGGCUUAAGAGAAAUCAAAGUAUAACAAUGGGACUAAAAUGACUUACCUACUAUGAGGAUCUUCCAGUUCCUUCUUCACCUCUUCAGGCAGAUUGGCUAAUCUAAUAAACGAAAAGAAAACUCCCAUGAGCAGUGCUAUAACAAACUAUCUUCCUAAAUUCAUUAUGAGUUGCAGUUAAAACUUAAAAUGAACAUGAAAAUCCUAUGUAGAAGGGAUAUACCUAGGUUAAAAGCGUAGAAGAUUCCUGCGCAAGGAAGAAUAUCCCGGAACCUGCAAUUGGAAACUCAAUGAAACAAUUACAAAGAUGCUAGAAAGAAAAUACUUAUCAGUUUACAACAGAAUGCUAGCUCUCACAAGAAUCGAUUAGGUAUGAAGCAUCAAAACAAUAACAUGAGACAUCAUAAUUUAUGAGCUAUGAAUGGAAUAAUGGAGCAAAAUAUCGUAGCCCAAACAGCACAAUCUACGAUCUACAUGACGGAGAAAGUACCCCGGCAUUACAUAUGCAAGUUCAUGGGUUCACAUGUAAGCAUGUGGUUUAUCUUUUUAACCGAUUCGUUAACAAAUUCUUUCUGCACGUAUAGUUUCAACCCGAAACCUAAAAUUCCAUAGUCAAACAAAUAUGCAUAAUAGCAGAAUUAAGUAAAAAAACAACAUAUCACCAUACUGAUACUGAUGUGAUUCAGAAUUAAGCAUUUUAACUUACCAAAACUGGUAAUGGAAGAGAUAAUCAGUAAUUAACUAGGGUAAUCGCAUAACAAAAUCAUACUUGAGUGAUUGAUAGGAUUCCCAACCCAUUGGGUCCAAAUCCUUCUUCAAUCUUCACUGACAAGUCUUUGUCCUUGUCUUGUAUCAAUCAAUCCAAAAUAAAAAAACGAUAAUUAGAAAAAUCGAAUUCUCGACAUGAUUGACUGAGUUAAAACAUAGCAAUUAAACAAAACUAUGAAUAAAACAAUUAGAUUCUGUUUGGUUGCUGAGAAAAUGAAGAGAAUAACAACCAAAAAGUCAACUGAAAUAGAAUUUUGCUCUAAUUUCAACGAAUUCUCUUGAGUUUCUGAGCACCCAAACAGAAAAAAAAUUAAAGCCAAUCAAACCAAACUCUCAUGCUCAAUUUUCUCGCAACCACAAACAGAACUUAGAGGGAGAGACAGAGUUACUUGGAGCUCGGAGUAGGAUAUGGUGACUGGUGUGACGGUGGGGACGGCGAGGUCGGAGGACGGAGGCAUAGUUCGACAAGAAAUUUGGCGGGAAAGACGGCGGUUGGACUGUGACGGUGGGGAAGAAUCCGUGGGAACGAAGAGGAAUUUUGGUGCGGAAGGACGGCUUUUAUAUAGAAGGGAGGGAGAGAGGUUGAGAGCGAAAGGCGUGAUUGUCAAUUUCAAAUAUUUUUGAAGGAAUAAAGAAAGAAGGGAGGUUGAGCAUCAAUUCCCUUUCCCUCCGAACCAAAGAAUACACGCAACUUUAACGAAAAGUUUUCGGUACGGUUCAUUUUUACACUAAAAUGUCAAUCUUGAUACUAUUCACUUUACUCUUUAUUUUGUUCUUAUCGUUAAAACUCAAAGUUUUCAAGCCAUUUUCAUUAGUUUCCUUAAGAAUAUAUGCACGAUCACGAUGUGUGGCAAAACUUGAAGGUGGAGACGAAUAUAUUAAAUACAUAUAACUAUUACUGUAUUAGUUCAAUUUAAAAUUAAUUACAUACUUUAAGGAUUUGUUUGAAAGUAUUUUUCAAAUAAUUAAAAGUGUUUUUGAUUAACAUGUUUUUUAAAUCAAUCUUUAGUAUAACUAAGUGGAUCUUAAAAAAGAACUUGAGGUGCUUUCUACAAAAAAAUACAUGUCUGGAGCACUUGAAGUGUUUUUGGAACCCAAAAUCAAUUUAAUAAAAGUGGGUUUAAUCUUUUUUUUUUUUUUUUUUGAACAAACGAUAUCAUCUAUCUUUAAGGUGAGAAAAUAGGCUUAACCUCACAAUGGCCUAGCACAUAAAUAAUGUGAUUCAAAUUCGCUUUUGGUGAGAAUCGAAUCUAAGACUUCUCACUUACAAAUAAGGAGGAAUACCCUAAAUCAUAGUACUAAGUAAUGUGUUUAGUUAUUUUUAAAAGACUUCAAAACAAGCCCUAAUUUGUAUCAAAUUCAAAAAAUUUGAAUUGGGCGGAUGUAAUAUGUAUUGGGUAUUUCCUCAUUCAAUAAUAUUUACGUUGUUUUCGGCAAAAAAGAAAGAAUUCAAUUGGAAAAAAAUAAAAAAAUGGGAAAUAAGGAUAUUCUAGUUAAGGUUUUUAUUAAUUGUUUUAGGUGGAUGGUUCAUAUGAAGAUUAUGAAAACGCUUUAAUUCUCUAAUGUGAGGUUCCGUCUCGAUCCAAAGUUAAUCAGUGAAAAAUAUAAUUAAGAUUGUUAUUAAUUAUCAAUUCAUGUAUAUUUCCCCAUGUAUUACGUUACUAAGUUAGACAAUGAAAAAUACAUAUAAGGCGUUAUGAGAAUAUGCGUGGCUGUCAAGUCUGACACGCAAAUAGCAUGCUCAACUUGAAUUACUCUCUAAGGAUUUUAUCCAAAAUCGACGAUGAGUGAACAAGUUGAAAGAUUAUGCACGACUUUCAUUAUGUAACAAGUGAAGAGGCAAUUUUCGCCAACCCUGACACGACAAGUUCCACUUUUUGUACAUUUUCUUGACGAAACAAUCACAUUUACCCUUACGAUUCCGGGCAUAGAGUAUGUGUUGGGUUCCGUUACAGUUCCGACGCUACUUAGCACUGUAGAGAAGGAAAUAAAAAGACAACUUUGGAUUUCUUACAACGUAUUGAGUCUCUCUUCAUGGCUCUUGCUGUGUUGUUCUUAUCUCACGUCCUGUUUCUCGAGCUUGGUGUUUCCGGUUGCAAAUUUUGGUUCGCCGGUGUAGUGCUCAGGGGAGGGGACUGUCUCACAUUGUUCCAAGCAGACAGAGGCGGUUGACAACGAUUGCGAUAAUGUGUUUUUCUACUGGGAGAACAUACAGCAGUCAGCAGUUACCUUUUCACAACCGUCUUCAGUAUUUGGAGGCACCUCAAGAAAUUAUCAAGGACAAACGAAUGUAGAAAAGAAGAAAUAUCGAAGUUGAUUGACAAAGGGGGCCGAAAAGUUGAGAGAUACAGAGAAGAGGAAGAUAAGAAGAAACUCGAUGCAAAUUUUAAGCUAGAUUAGUUAUUUUUCAUUAACGAGCGAUACAGAGAAGAAGAAACAGCUGCAUUUGGAGAUAGCCGCUUUAGUUGCCUAGUUUGUAACAUUAGCUUUAUGUAAAUCCGGGGAAGAAACAGGAGUAAAAAAAACACAAUCAGGCAGUACCAAAGAAGAAAAAUGUACAGUUACGAACAAUCACCACUUCUCAAACUUUGUAGUAGAUCCAGGUAUCCGAAAGACUCGGGGCUAAUGUACCUGCAUUAACAAAAAACAAAGAUCAGAUUUGUGUAAGGGAGUCGCAUAGUAGUUAAAAUACUCGGCCAUGCGCGAAUGGUUUGAGAUACCACCAUAGAGGCAUCCUCCAGGUGUGAGUUUCUUUCGUAUCGGAUCACUUAUUGUAAGAAUAUCAGUAGUGAAAGUGAAAUACCAGCGUCGGUAUUGAAAAAUUGUGUCCUCCGUAUGAUGCUUGCAACAUGCAUCACCGAAUCAACUUGAAGCUCUCCACCUCUCCAUCUGUUAAAUGUUUCAUAAGCAGCAUUGUUAAAGUUCUCUCUGGUUGGGGCGAUAUUGCAGAUAGUUUUGAAUGAAGAAAGGCAAAAAUUCAUGCUGAAGGCAUAGUUUACAACUAGUAUUUGUAAAAGCUAAGCUCUAAAGGUCUCACCUUGAUUCUUUGGCACAAAUAGCUAAGUUUUGAGAUGGGACAAAAUGGGUCCCAAGACCCACAUACAGUGCAUCCGAUGGUGUUGAAAUCCUUUUCCCAGUAAGUCAAAGAUAAGCACCAAGAAAGACAUGACAGUGUUAAAACAAAUACAGAACUAAGAAUUGAUGCAUGAAGCAAACAGAGUAAUGGUACAGGCCAUUCUCUUUAUAUUCUUAUAAUCUAAACAGUUUCUCCUUAUCAACGUUGGAAAAACAGCUUGCUUCAGUCAUAGGAGGGAAAUUGCGCCCGAGUAUAGAAAAUACAUACCUACAGAUCCUCCUCCUGGACUCUUUGCCGCUAUACGUGAAAACCCAACAUCUGGGAACAAACAAAUUACAUUCUCUGGCAUUAGCAAGAACAGUCCUCUGAAAUGUAUCCAUACAAAGUUAAGACACAAAAAAUUCAAAAAGGCAAUGUAAUUCACAACAUUGACAAUCUCUGUCUGACAAGGCAAUAAUACCUCUGUAAUGAUCCAGUAGCGACCGUGACCUGAUAGGCCAACACCAAAGCCCAUUCUUAUGCCAUCCAUGAAGCUUAUAUAGGGCUUCUUGUACUCUGAGAUUUUGCAUAUUAGAGAAUACUCAGCAGUGAAUACCUGAAAAACGUGCAGCACAAGUAUCAUACCGGUAGCCUCUCAAUCUUAAGAAAUGGUAGCUUAGAAAAGAUAUGAAUCCUAUCCAACCAAUACAAAUCAUAUUACCCAAGUUCAAGCAAAAUCAAGACUAAACAAAUGAUCAGAUGUUGUAGGUUGCCCGAGAAUGUCAAACAUGAAAUUACAAAAGAAAAAAAAUAAUCGUAUGUAUUGAACAUUAAUAAAUACAUGCUGAAAGCACAAUCUUAGCCGCAAUUUAUGACAUUUAUACGAGAUCGAAUAGAAAAAGCAAUUAAAGAAGUAGCAGAACUCACAUAAGUGAUUUUCACUUUGAACUUUUAGGCUUAUCAACAAAUACAUCAUUACGAUUCUAAUGCAUGAAUUUUGUUAAAGGGGGCUUGCUUGCUUAUAUUAAGGCUUAAUCAUCAAUGAUUUUGCAAGGGUCAAUCAUCUUGCUAGUUGUAAAUCUAUUCACUAUGAAAAUGACCAAAAUACAUCUUAUAUGGUAGUGAAGGAAGUCAUCUUAUAUUAUCUGGAUUUUAGAAAACGGUGUAAGGUUAUAAGUCUGUUAUUCUAUAUAGUUAAAAGGACACAAUUAGACCUCAAUCAUAUUCGGUGGUUGGUUUUUGGCCGUGAUCUGCUUCACAUCACCGCCUGCAGGUAAACUAAAUCUGGGUUAUUACUUAUCAAUGAAUCAACGUGCCAACUUAAUGGACACCAUCUAUCUCUAUAUGGCAAAAAAACAACACAAAAAUGAACAAUGAAGUGAAACAAUAAACAACAUGAUGUGAAACAGCACGAACAUCAAAGACUAACAAUAUAUCACAUAAGCACCUAAACAAGAAACAACUUUGGUUCAAAGCAAAGCGUAAUGUAGAAACCUUCGGCAGAACAGGGGUGUUUUUGUCCUUUUGAAACAACCACUUUAAUAUCCUUUCCUGCAUUUACCAUGAUUGGUCACUCUUAAAACCUUACCUAAGAGACCCAAAAACAAAAAUAACCGCCGAAAGAGCUAAACAUACAUAUCUAGAAAAACUUAUUUAACUGAAUGCUAAAAUGGAAGUGUAAAAUUGCCAAGAAAGAUAAGAAACUAAUCAGAUACGAAUUCUGGGCGUUACCGCCACAAAAGGCACGAGCGGAGCGGCUAUCAACAAGAACACACUUCACAUUUGGGUCAGAUUCCCAUUCAUCCAGAUAGCUCUUGUAUUCCACAUCCAUAUCUGCAUUUUCCAACAAUUCCCACUUAAACAGAAUCACAAAUUUCUUAAAAAAAAAGAAGCUAGCUUCUUCGAAAUUUGAAUCCAACGUUUCGCCUUAUAAAAUGGAAGUGUAAAAACCUACUAUCACAAUCAAAUGCUUAUUUAACUGCAUGCUAAAAUGGAAGUGUAAAAUUGCCAAGAAACACACUUCACAUUUGGGUCAGAUUCCCAUUCAUCCAGAUAGCACUUAAACAGAAACACAAAAUUCUUAAAAAAAAAAGAAGCUAGCUUCUUCGAAAUUUGAAUCCAACAUUUCGUCUUAUAACAAAUGCAAGAACAUAGAUUUGUACUCAAUAAGAUGCCAUAAAGUUCAAGCUCAAAAUUUCAAAUCAGCUCCAAAUCAAAAGCAUUUACAGAUACAUACAUAUAUACAUAUACGUGUGUGUGUGUUUAUCUACAUACCUAGGUUCAUGGCGUUGAGAGCUCGGGGGGCGACCGAGGGUGAUGUCGGCGACGCCAUUUGGGUGGACGCUGCCCUUGACGAACGCCUCGGCGGAGGCCAUGAUCCCGAAUGUGCGGAGAAGGCGAGGGGAUUUGGAGGGUUUGUAAAGAGAGAGCUUCAAAUUUGGAAUGAGGAAGAAGAAAGCGGACGACUAUUUGCUCAGAAUUUGGGUCGCUCGUCAAUAAGCUUCCCAUUACUUCCGUUUGAGAGUAACUGUCAGUGUCGAGAGAGACAGAUAUUUUUGGUGCUUCUGGACCGGACUACCCUUGAUGUUUCGGUCAAAUUACCGGGAAAAGGAACCGCCGCAGUGGCUAUGGAGGGAAAGUUGGAAUUUGAAAGCAGUAAGUAUGGACUUGCCUUCAUUUAUUGAACUGAGAAAUCGAAAACUGAAAGAGGCGUUUGACGAACUGAGAAAUCGAAAACAUGUGAUGAUGACUAUGCAUCACCACCUUGGUUGUGCCUCUGGAUCAAAAACCAACCAUCACGAUCAAAAUCGUGGAUAUUUUCCUUCAUAGGUUUGUCCCAUACUAGAUUAACCCCUGUUCCUUGAAUUGUCGCAUAAUAAUUUUUAUAGUCCAUCUCUGGCAUUUCAAAAGUUAUAUCAACUUUAUCCCCGCUUUGCAAAUUGAGCUUAUCAUUCGAUAUUUGUCCCUGCCAAAGAAAACAUUCUUUAUAUACAACAUCGCGCAUUUUUAUAACCCAAUCUUCCUUGCCAAUGCAGGUCCGCAACUCAUUACGCUUGGUAUUAUUUAUAUCAAUACUGGCAUGAGGAUGAGCAACUUUACAUCUGAUAUGAGAGCUUGACUGAUGAAGAUCUGAGGAGUAAAAGCAUAACAGAGUCAGCCCUUCAAAAUUACGACCAUCACUCGGGGGGAUAUCAAAACUGACUUUAUCACCAUUGUUGACAAACUCGAACCAAUCAGGAACAUAAUUCCCAUUGAGAAAAAUGCCACCAUAUCCACAAGAAGUCCAUCCCUAUACAUACAGUGCAAAUGUCAUAUAUAUACAUGUGCGUUGUGUGUGUGCAUGUGCGCAAUAGGAAGGCAAUUAAAGAGAGAUACCUUUAGGACGUUCCUCCUAAAAUCAGCUGUGAGUUUGGGGCAAUCCCUCAUGUCAAUCCAUGUCAAGGAGUAUAAUGACUUAUCCAAGUCUGGAACCUCAGUGAGUGCGUAUGAAUUACAUACAAUCAGUUCUCUCAUAUUCGACAUUUUCGAAAAAUUGGGCAUUGUUACCAAAUGAAGGCAAUUAGGCGCACCCAGAAAUUUUAAAUUCGUUGGCAAAUCAUAAAUUGUACGAAGCUCCAAGCAAUCAUGUAACCAGAGACUUUCAAGCUUUGAAAGAUCACUUAGGCUGGGUAGGGUAUGAAGGUGAUGGAAGUUCCUUAACCGCAAACUUUCAAGCUUUGAAAGACCACUGAGGCUGGGUAGGGUAUGAAGGUGAUGGCAGUUACUUAACUGCAAACUUUCAAGCUUUGAAAGACCACUGAGGCUGGGUAGGGUAUGAAGGUGAUGGCAGUCACUUAACUGCAAACAUUCAAGCUUUGAAAGACCACUGAGGCUGGGUAGGGUAUGAAGGUGAUAGCAGUUACUUAACUGCAAACUUUCAAGCUUUGAAAGACCACUAAGGCUGGGUAGGGUAGGAAGGUGAUGGCAGUUACUUAACUGCAAACUUUUAAGCUUUGAAAGAUCACUGAGGCUGGGUAGGGUACGAAGGUGAUAGCAGUUACUUAACUGCAAACUUUUAAGCUUUGAAAGACCACUGAGGCUGGAUAGGGUAUGAAGGUGAUGGCAGUCACUUAACUGCAAACUUUCAAGCUUUGAAAGACCACUGAGGCUGGGUAGGGUACGAAGGUGAUAGCAUUUACUUAAUUGCAAACUUUCAAGCUUUGAAAUACCACUGAGGCUAGGUAGGGUACGAAGGUGAUGGCAGUCACUUAACUGCAAACUUUCAAGCUUUGAAAGAUCACUGAGGCUGGGUAGGGUACGAAGGUGAUGGCAGUCACUUAACUGCAAACUUUCAAGCUUUGAAAGACCACUGAGGCUGGGUAGGAUAUGAAGGUGAUAACAUUUACUUAACUGCAAACUUUCAAGCUUUGAAAGACCACUGAGGCUGGGUAGGGUUUCAAGGUGAUGGCAGUCACUUAACUGCAAACUUUCAAGCUUUGAAAGACCACUGAGGCUGGGUAGGGUAUGAAGGAGAUAGCAUUUACUUAACUGCAAACUUUCAAGCUUUGAAAGACCACUGAGGCUGGGUAGGGUAUGAAGGUGAUGGCAGUCACUUAACUGCAAAUUUUCAAGCUUUGAAAGACCACUGAGGCUGGGUAGGGUAUGAAGGUGAUAGCAUUGACUUAACUGCAAACUUUCAAGCUUUGAAAGACCACUGAGGCUGGGUAGGGUAUCAAGGUGAUGGCAGUCACUUAACUGCAAACUUUCAAGCUUUGAAAGACCACUGAGGCUGGGUAGGGUAUGAAGGAGAUAGCAUUUACUUAACUGCAAACUUUCAAGCUUUGAAAGACCACUGAGGCUAGGUAGGGUAUGAAGGUGAUGGCAGUCACUUAACUGCAAACUUUCAAGCUUUGAAAGACCAUUGAGGCUGGCUAGGGUAUGAAGGUGAUAGCAUUUACUUAACUGCAAACUUUUGAGCUUUGAAAGACCACUGAGGCUGGGUAGGGUAUGAAGGUGAUGGCAGUCACUUAACUGCAAACUUUCAAGCUUUGAAAGACCACUGAGGCUGGGUAGGGUAUGAAGGUGAUGGCAGUCACUUAACUGCAAACUUUCAAGCUUUGAAAGACCACUGAGGCUGGGUAGGGUAUGAAGGUGAUAACAUUGACUUAACUGCAAACUUUCAAGCUUUGAAAGACCACUGAGGCUGGGUAGGGUAUGAAGGUGAUGGCAGUCACUUAACUGCAAACUUUCAAGCUUUGAAAGACCACUGAGGCUGGGUAGUGUAUGAAGGUGAUAGCAUUUACUUAACUGCAAACUUUCGAGCUUUGAAAGACCACUGAGGCUGGGUAGGGUAUGAAGGUGAUGGCAGUCACUUAACUGCAAACUUUCAAGCUUUGAAAGACCAUUGAGGCUGGGUAGGGUAUGAAGGUGAUAGCAUUUACUUAACUGCAAACUUUCGAGCUUUGAAAGACCACUAAGGCUGGGUAGGGUAUGAAGGUGAUGGCAGUUACUUAACUGCAAACUUUCAAGCUUUGAAAGACCACUGAGGCUGGGUAGGGUAUGAAGGUGAUGGCAGUCACUUAACCGCAAACUUUCAAGCUUUGAAAGACCACUAAGGCUGGGUAGGGUAUCAAAAUCAUUGUUUGAGAGAUCUAAAUUUCUUAAAGAGUCUAAGCCGUGUAACGAAUCAGGAAAUCGCAAGGGAAACUCUGAUCCCACACCUGCUAGAGAUAAAUGAGUGAGAUUCAUCAACCUUACUGUGGAACGUGGUACUUGUCUUAUGGCUGUGAAAGAUGCUUUAAGUACUCUCAAUGAUAGCAUCUUCCCUAUAUCCUCGGGCAGUUCACUGAAUUGGCAACAUUCAUCAAGAACAAGAGUCUGAACGGAUUUUGACUUGUAGAAAUCUCCAGGAAGAGAAAUAAGAUUCUUGCAGCCUGUGAGGUUCACCAAAGAAAGUUUUUUAAGAUGACCAAUGGAGGGGUGAAUCUCGGACAAACUCACACACCAUUCCAACAUCAACUCUUCAAGAUUUGGGAGAUUUGAAAAGUCUGGUGAUUUUUUUAAGUCAAGGCAACUUCUGAGAUCAAGGAAUUUCAAGUUUUCAAGCGACUGUUGCACAAAAUCAAAGGAAAAUUAAAAUUAAUAUCCAAAAGGAAUAUCUCAUUAAAAAAAGAGAAGGAAAUCCAAAAGCAAAUAGAAUCAUAACAUCAUCAUGUGUAAUCGACUGUACCUUGGAACCCUCCCAAACUUGUACAAGUUUGCCAGACGUUAUCUCUAAACUAACUAGUCUUGGUUGAUCAAAGAAGUCAUCUGGUAUGGACUUUAAAGGGCAUCCAGACCAACUCAACCAUAUUAACUCUUUGGAAAGAUGUUUGUAUUCUCCAUUGAGCUGCACUUUGCAGAGCUGGAGCAGUCUCAGUUUCUUCAUAUUGGCAAAUCCUUCUGUACUGAAACAACUAAACUUAGAAGAAUGCUUCUGUACUGAAUCUGGAGCAAGUUCAACUUCUUCAGUUUCCUGUUAACAAAAGGUUAUAUUCAUGAGUAAGAAACGGAUUAUUUGCAAAUGCUUCUGUACUGAAAGAACUAGACUUGUUAGAGCUUUGUACCCGAGGAGGAGGGCCAUAUAGAGCAAGUCCUUCAACUUCUUCAGUUCCCUGUUAAGAAAAGGUGAUAUUCAUGUGUAAGAAACGAAUUAUUUGCAUACGUUUACAUGUAUGAAUACAUGCAAGUACUAUUGUUCGCUAAUUGAGAUGAAUGUUACUUAAUGUGUAAUACACAUCCGUGAGUUAUAUGUGCUUUUCAUGUACGAUGCAUUAAAUUCAAAAUUUUAUUAGGAAUGUACUUACAGAGUUAUCUCCUAAUACUUUAGUGACCUCUUGAUGGUUCCACAACCUACUCCAUUUUCCAGGGUGACGAGGGAAUUUUUCAGAAAUGAUUAAUUUGGCCAUUUCUCGAAGCAAAUCAUGCAUAUUCAACCUGUUAUGUUCAACAGUUACAAGGCAUCGUUCACGAAGGUCACUGAUUCCUACUGUUGCAAAAAACUCACAUCCAUCUAAUAUUUUUGCGACACGGUCCUUAUCCCAUCCAAUAAAGAAACAAGAUAUGUCAAGGAAUAUAUCCUUCUGUGUAGGAUCUAGCCUUUCAAAGCUUACUCUUAGCGGUUUCAUUAUUCCUUCCUCGGGAAAUUUUUUCAAUUUCUCCAACUGAUUUUUCCACUCCGUUGGGGUUCUUUCAAUCAUAGAACCACCUAAAACUUCAAGGGCUAGUGGCAAACCACCACAGUAAGAAACAACCUCCUUUGAGAGUUCAAGAUAUCCUUCAUUAGGCCAACUAUUUCCAAAGGCAUGCCAACUAAAGAGCUUCAGAGCUUCUUCGUCAUUCAUUUCCUUAAGUGGAUAUGUCUUGUCCACUUUCAUGUUCACUUGCUUUAGUAAACGUUCAUCUUGUGUCGUUAUGAUAAUUCUACUUCCUGGGCCAAACCAAUCACGAUUUCCAGCUAUUGCAUUUAGUUGUUCCACUCUGUCUACAUUGUCAAUAAUGACAAGUACACUUCUACGAUGGAGAUGAUUUUUUAUCGGACUGAUACCUUCAUCAACACUGGUUAUCUCAGGCUUGGUCUGUUUCAAGAUGUCAGAAACAAGUUUUUUUUACGAAACAACCAGAUCUUUUUCACUAACGUUGUCAAGGAAACUUUUGAAUUGGAACUCAUGAUGAAUUUUGUUAUAAAUGGCUUUGGCAGCUGUUGUUUUACCCAAUCCACCCAUCCCCCAAAUUCCAACCAUGCAAACAACAUCUGAUCCAGCAUUUGAAAGAUAAGUGAUGAUAUCUUGAAUGCGAGUAUAUAUUCCAACUGGGUGCUUGGCCAUUUGUAAUUCUUCUGCGAUCGGAAGCCAUUUCGGGAUAAUCUUGUCAACAAUUUCUCUAAUAAGCUUUGCUUCGCGCCUGAAAAUUAAAUUUGUGAGCAUUAGUGGGACUCGAUGAACACUAGGAGCUAUCAGUAUAUAGACAAUUUUCUUUCCCCCAUGGCCCCAUAUAUAUUCUAACUAGCUACUAGCUAGUAUAUGAUUUUUUGACCAACCUGAUAAAAGAAAGAACUUAAUUAAACUCCAAUUACGGUUUAGGAUUUAUAUGAGAGGUUAAGAUGUAUUAAUUUAAUUAAGCAUGUUAGCCAAUGUUUAAUUAGCUUCUGUAAAAUGUUAAUUAAGCAUGUUAAUUAUAUGAGAGAUUAAGUCAUUCACUAAAAUGUUUCAAAUCUUGAAAAGCAGGUGAAUGAUUACCCUUUGUCAGUGAUUUGAAGAUGUUGGCCAGACAAAUUUGCAGCUUCUGUAAGAGCCUUUCUCCACUGCUUUACCCUUUCUUGUCUAGUUUCACGUUCCUUGUCAUCUUUUUCUUCACGGAUGCCCUCUUCGUGCUUCUGAAAUGCUUGAGCUAAAUCUUCAUUCUGCUUCCUAACAUGUGAAGGAUCAACAUGAUAGAAUAUUGGUAAAACAUGUCGCCCCGGUUUGUAUCUGCACUCCAUGAUCUUCACCAGCUCAUCAAGACACCAACUCGAGUCCGCAUAACUCUUUGAGAAGACAAUGAUAGAGAUCCUCGCCUCUUUGAUUGCCCGGAACAGUUCCUCUUUUAUUUCUUCCCCUCUUUCUAGAUCAUCCUCAUCGAUAUAAGCCUGGUAUCCCCUGUCUGUUAAUGCCGCGUGGAGGUGGCCCGUGAAACCAUUGCGUGUGUCUACACCGCUGAAGCUCAAGAACACGUCGUAAUUCCAAAGUUUUGACUUGGAGGAGGAUGAAGAGGAGGCUUCGUGGGUUAUCAUGGCGAUAUCCACCGUUAUGGCACUGCAGUGGUUCAGAUCACGACUGCAAAAAUGGCAGUAGUUGUGUUCGUGCUGUCGAACAGAUGAUCCUGAAUUACCUAAACCCAAGUCAAGCUCCUUCAGUCAUCAAGAACAAAGUUUAAAAUAUAAUAAUGUUGGCAUAUGGACUUGAGAAACGACAUAAUGUUGCCGGAAGGUGCAGAGAAAGAGAGAGGAAAAGAGGAACGAAAGGACAAAGACUAUCCAAAAGAUUCUUGGCUGUGAUUACAGCUAUUCAUAUGAGAAACAACAGACAUAUUUUCAUAGGAGAAACAACCUGCCCAUCUUCAUAUAUAAUACAUUUCAAUGGACAUUUUAAUAGGAGAAACAACUUUAGUUUGUACUAGAAAUUUUUACCCGCGCGUUGCUGCGGUAUUUGAAAUUGUAUGAAAGAUUAUCUUUGAAAUAUAUAAUAGAUUGAGUGAUUGAAGAUUAAUACUAUUUACAUUGAAAAUGUUGGAAAAGUUUUACAUACAAAAGAUUUUACGAUACAAUCCACAUACAAAAGAUGGGAAAUUUUUUUCUAUCUAUAUGCAUUAUGUUAUGGAAUGAUAUAUAUAUAUAUAUAUAUAUAUAUAUAUAUAUAUAUAUAUAUAUAUAUAUAACUAAGUGCCAGAAUACGUAACUUCAUAACUUGGAAAUCUUUAGACAAAUUAAUCAGAUUCAACUGUGGGAUAGCAGCGUCGCCUAUAACGUUGUGAAGUCGUGGAAACAUAAAGGACAAAUAACAAAUGAGUUUUGAGAAAUUAUUCCACAAAUGUCAUUCUGCAAAAUGUAUUAAGAUUAGCAAUCAUGAGUAGUGUAACAACAUCAACAAAAUAACUAUAAACCAUAGUGGAACAUAAUUCAAAUUUCGGUUGCAAAAACAAAAGAAAAAGAAAACAGACUUACAAUAAUUCAGUCUCCAAUCCUGAAGUCCUACUCAAAGAGCAAAACUUGAAUGCAAGCUUUAAUCUUCCAAACAAUACAGAUAACAAGGUAACACUCUAGUAAAAAAUGAACCGAGGUGCGAGCUUUCUAAGAAACCCAGAUGACAAAAUCAACAAAAUAGAAUGGAAAAAUGACUUACAUUUUUAAGGCAUGCCCGAAUCUUGAUCUAAAAUUGGUGGUGGGUCGAUUGUUGGUCACCAACUCUAAAUGAAGAAUUCAUCAGAACCUAGAAAUUUAAACAAAGAAUUUUCCAAAAUCAACAACAACAACAACAACAACAAAGCCUUUUCCCACUAAGUGGGGUCGGCUAUAUGAAUCCUAGAACGCCAUUGCGCUCAUUUGUGUCAUGUCCUCCGUUAGAUCCAAGUACUCAAGUCUUUUCUUAGGGUCUCUUCCAAAGUUUUCCUAGGUCUUCCUCUACUCCUUCGGCCCCGAACCUCUGUCCCGUAGUCACAUUUUCGAACCGGAGCGUCAGUAGGCCUUCUUUGCACAUGUCCAAACCACCGGGACCGAUUUUCUCUCAUAUUUCCUUCAAUUUUGGCUACUCCUACUUUACCUCGGAUAUCCUAAUUCUCAAUCUUAUCCUUUCUCGUGUGCCCAUACAUCCCACGAAGCAUCCUCAUCUCCGCUACACCCAUUUUGUGUACGUUGAUGCUUCACCGCCCAACAUUCUGUGCCAUACAACAUCGCUGGCCUUAUUGCCGUCCUAUAAAAUUUUCCCUUGAGCUUCAGUGGCCUACGACGGUCACACAACACGCCGGAUGCACUCUUACACUUCAUCCAUCCAGCUUGUAUUCUAUGGUUGAGAUCUCCAUCUAAUUCUCCGUUCUCUUGCAAGAUAGAUCCUAGGUAGCGAAAACGGUCAUUUUUUUGUGAUCUUCGCUAGAUUGCUCCGGUCAUUAGUGUGGAUAAGUAUAUAAAAUGGAUAGAGAUAGGAAAGCAAACACAAGAUGUACGUGGUUCACCCAGAUUGGCUACGUCCACGGAAUAGAGGAGUUCUCAUUAAUUGUGAAGGGUUUACACAAGUACAUAGGUUCAAGCUCUCCUUUAGUGAGUACAAGUGAAUGAUUUAGUACAAAUGACAUUAGGAAAAAUUGUGGGAGAAUGAUCUCGUAGCCACGAAACUUCUAAGUACCGGAGUGUGGUAUCGUCUUGACUUGCCUUAUCUGUCUCAUAGGUAGAUGUGGCAUCUUCUCUGGAAGUACUCUUCCUCCAUCCAGGGGUGGUAUCUGUAACUGGUGGAGAUGCACAAGGUAAUGUAUCAAUUUCACUUGAAGCUUACUUGUAGUUUCAUGCUUGGUCAAGCGAGAUACAAACCAUGUAGUAGGAGUCCCCCAAGUCGCCGAGCUGGGGGAUCUGCUGAAAGAGGUGACAGACAAGGUAAGCAAUCAGAGCUCCGGCUGAUUGUUCACAUUCUCCCUAUCUUGCAGGCAGCAUGAAGGAUAAAGAGAAGAAAAAUGAGGAGAGAUGAUAUGGGAUACUUUUGCUUUUGAAGAAGUAACUUUCCACAGGCUUAUUCUUGAACUGGGCUGGAGGGUUUUCUGGUUUCCUCCAGAGUAUAAGGCCGACUGAAGAAUUUGAGGGUCAAAACAAGUCCAUCAAAUCUAGAGUACGUUCGACCCUGCUGAUAUGGGAUACUUUUGCUUUUGACAGAGUAGUGGAUGUAUCGGCACGUGUGCUGUUACGCUUGUCUCCACAUGCUUCCUUGUAUCCUUCUCACUUGCCCUAUCUGUUCCUCAGGCAGAUGCGGUAUCUUCCCUGGAAGCAUAAGAUGUUGAAGAUGAGUACUCGAGAGCAAUGCCAGGUAAGUAAUCAGGUAAGGGGUUCCAGGCAGUCAGUUCCUGGCUGGAAGCUUGAUUCCAAGUGCUGACUGAUUGCUCUCUUUCUCCUUGUCUUGCAGGUAAGAACAAGGCCAAAGGAAAAGACAGGGAAAAAGCAUGAUAUGGGAUACUCUUGCUUUUAACCCUGAUGAUAUGAGAUAUUCUUGCUCUAGUAUAGCUUGUUUACAGAGGUAUUAUCGGGGGGAAAAAAAGCUAAAUAUUUCGAAAGGCUUUGUUGGGAGUGCCCUCUCAGAUAAGAGAAAGGGUUGAGCAUUUUUGCAGGUCUGCCUGUCCGUUAGGGAUGGAAGGUCGACAUAUAUAGGAGUCUCCCUAACAUCAAGUAAUAAUGCUAUUCCUUUACCCUGCUUGGUUAUAGCACGGUAGUGGGAGCUGCCAGCUUCACAUGUUUUAACUCUGUCAGAGCACUUUGAAAAAGUGGUCUGUGGUAUCUGGAAAGCUGAUGUUGCGUGUGAAGAUUACAGACAAGCUGUCGGGGGUCUGGCUCUCGAGAUUCGGAGAACGAUGCCUCUUCGAUUUUUGAGAAAGCAAUCCUGCUGGGGGUCUGGCUCUCGAGAUUCGGAGAGCGGUGUCUCUUCGAUUUUUGAGAAAGUAAUCAUGUUGGGAGUCUGGCUCUCGAGAUUCGGAGGGCGGUGCCUCUUCGAUUUUGGAGCAAGCAAUCUUGUUGGGAGUGUUUUCUCGAAUGUGAGUAAAGGUUGGGCAUGUUUGCUAGUCUACCUUGCCACGAAGCACAGAGGUUGACACACAGGGACUUUCCAAUUAUCCAGCAGUGGUACUGUUCCUUUACCCUCUCUUCGAUUUUUGAGAAAGUAAUCAUGUUGGGAGUCUGGCUCUCGAGAUUCGGAGGGCGGUGCCUCUUCGAUUUUGGAGCAAGCAAUCUUGUUAGGAGUGUUUUUUUCUCGAAUGUGAGUAAAGGUUGGGCAUGUUUGCUAGUCUACCUUGCCACGAAGCACAGAGGUUGACACACCGGGACUUUCCAAUUAUCCAGCAGUGGUACUGUUCCUUUACCCUUGUGGGUAAUAAUAUGGUAGCUAGACCUUCAAAAUUUAUGUGUCUAAACUUUGUUAGUGUUGUUUCUUUGCAAUUCUUUUACCCUUCUUGGUCAGAGCGAUGUAGUGGGAGCUGCAAGCUUCACGUGUCUCAACUUUGUCAGAGAACUUUGGCAAAGUUAUCUGUGGUACCCAUGAGCUACUGUUGCGUGUGGGAAGUGGGUGAUUGAACAGUACGAUUCAUGUGCUUUCUACUUCGCCAGAAAUCUUCGACAGAAUGCCCAUAAUUUCCGCAAAGCUGAGUGUGCGUGUGACAGGUGCUGACAAGGCUGGAAAAGUAGGUGCCUCUUCGAUUUCUGAAAUCGGCCCUCGUGGUCUCUGAGCAGCCCAGCUUUUGAGAAAGCAAGCCUCUUCGAUUUUCUGAGAUCGGCCUUUGUGGUCUUUGAGCAGCCCAGCUUUUUGAGAAUCUCUGAGCAGCCCAGCUUUUGAGAAAGCAAACGCCUCUUCGAUUUCUGAGCAGGCGCCUCUUCGAUUUCUGAAGCUUCGUCGAGUGCAGAUUUUUAUAGGGGCUGACAUUAAGUUCCAAAGCACACUUGAAUAUCCACCAGUAGAAGCUCCAUUCUUGCACUUCUAAGAUCUUGAUUUGUCCGACCUCUUCUCUCUUCAACACCUUUGAAAAUGUCUGGCCCCUCCGACCGUCGUUUUGACUUGAACCUUGUUGAAGAGGCAGCCCCGCCUUCUCCAGACAACAUAUGGCGCCCAUCCUUCGUCUCCCCUACUGGUCCUCUUACCGUUGGGGAUUCCGUGAUGAAGAAUGAUAUGACCGCUGCGGUAGUGGCCAGGAACCUUCUCACUCCCAAAGAUAACAGACUAUUUUCCAAACGGUCUGAUGAGUUGUCUGUUAAGGAUUCUCUGGCUCUCAGUGUUCAGUGUGCAGGUUCUGUGUCUAAUAUGGCCCAACGCCUAUUUGCUCGAACCCGCCAAGUUGAAUCAUUGGCGGCUGAAGUGAUGAGUCUCAAACAGGAGAUUAGAGGGCUCAAGCAUGAGAAUAAACAGUUGCACCGGCUCGCACAUGACUAUGCUACAAACAUGAAGAGGAAGCUUGACCAGAUGAAGGAAUCUGAUGGUCAGGUUUUACUUGAUCAUCAGAGAUUUGUGGGUUUGUUCCAAAGGCAUUUAUUGCCUUCGUCUUCUGGGGCUGUACCGCGUAAUGAAGCUCCAAAUGAUCAAUCCUCUGAUGCCUCCUCCUUCUAGGGUUUUGUCCAAUACUGAGGCUCCGAAUGAUCCCCCUCCGGUGCCUUCUCUUUCUGGGGCUCUACCGACUGCUGAGACUUCUCCUAAGCAACCUUUGUGAAGGCUCCCUCUUGUUUGUUUAUUUUGACUCAAGUAUAUGUACAUAUUUGUAACUUAUCGGGGAUAUCAAUAAAUAAGUUUUUCCUUCAUUUCAACGUAUUGUGUUAAAUACACCAAAGCCUUCUUCGCUAAGUUCUUUGAAUUUUCUUUUGUUGAAGCUUGUAUGUUGAAGCUUUGUGAGUGGAGCAUAUAGGUUGAGGUAGUGUUCCCUUAAUUUCCCGAGUGAGGAAAACUUCUCGGUUGGAGACUUGGAAAAUCCAAGUCACUGAGUGGGAUCGGCUAUAUGAAUCUUAGAACGCCAUUGUGUUCUGUCCUGUGUCAUGUCCUCCGUUAGAUCCAAGUACUCUAAGUCUUUUCUUAGGGUCUCUUCCAAAGUUUUCCUAGGUCUUCCUCUGCCCCUUCGGCCCUGAACCUCUGUCCCAUAGUCGCAUCUUCUAAUCGGAGCGUCAGUAGGCCUUCUUUGCACAUGUCCAAACCACCGUAACCGAUUUUCUCUCAUAUUUCCUUCAAUUUCGUCUACUCCUACUUUACCCCGGAUAUCCUCAUUCCUAAUCUUAUCCUUUCUCGUGUGCCCACACAUCCAACGAAGCAUCCUCAUCUCCGCUACACCCAUUUUGUGUACGUGUUGAUGCUUCACCGCCCAACAUUCUGUGCCAUACAGCAUCGCCGGCCUUAUUGCCGUCCUAUAAAAUUUUCCCUUGAGCUUCAGUGGCAUACGGCGGUCACACAACACGCCGGAUGCACUCUUCCACUUCAUCCAUCCAGCUUGUAUUCUAUGGUUGAGAUCUCCAUCUAAUUCUCCGUUCUUUUGCAAGAUAGAUCCUAGGUAACGAAAACGGUCGCUCUUUGGUAUUUCUUGAUCUCCGAUCCUCACCCCUAACUCGUUUUGGCCUCCAUUUGCACUGAACUUGCACUCCAUAUAUUCUGUCUUUGAUCGGCUUAGGCGAAGACCUUUAGAUUCCAACACUUCUCUCCAAAGGUUAAGCUUUGCAUUUACCCCUUCCUGAGUUUCAUCUAUCAACACUAUAUCGUCUCUGCGAAAAGCAUACACCAAGGAAUAUCACCUUGAAUAUGUCCUGUUAACUCAUCCAUUACCAACGCAAAAAGGUAAGGACUUAAGGAUGAGCCUUGAUGUAAUCCUACAGUUAUGGGAAAGCUUUCGGUUUGUCCUUCAUGAGUUCUUACGGCAGUCUUUGCUCCUUCAUACAUAUCCUGUAUAGCUUGGAUAUAUGCUACUCGUACUCCUUUCUUCUCUAAAAUCCUCCAAAGAAUGUCUCUUGGGACCCUAUCAUACGCUUUUUCCAAAUCUAUAAAGACCAUGUGUAAAUCCUUUUUCCCAUCUCUAUAUCUUUCCAUCAAUCUUCGUAAGAGAUAGAUUGCCUCCAUGGUUGAGCGCCCUGGCAUGAACCCGAAUUGGUUGUCCGAAACCCGUGUCUCUUGCCUCAAUCUAUGCUCAAUGACUCUCUCCCAGAGCUUCAUUGUAUGACUCAUUAGCUUAAUUCCCCUAUAGUUCAUGCAAUUUUGUACAUCGCCCUUAUUCUUGUAGAUAGGCACCAAAGUGCUCAUUCGCCACUCAUUCGGCAUCUUCUUCGUUUUCAAAAUCCUAUUGAAAAGGUCAGUGAGCCAUGUUAUACCUGUCUCUCCCAAAAUUUUCCACACUUCGAUUGGUAUCGUCUGGGCCUACUGCUUUUCUAUGCUUCAUCUUCUUCAAAGCUACACCCACUUCUUCCUUCCGGAUUCUACGAUAAAAAGAGUAGUUUCUACACUCUUCUGAGUUACUCAACUCCCCUAAAGAAGCACUCCUUUCAUGUCCUUCAUUGAAAAGAUUAUGAAAAUAACCUUUUCAUCUGUCUUUAACCGCGUUCUCUGUAGCAAGAACCUUUCCAUCCUCAUCCUUGAUGCACCUCACUUGGUUUAGGUCCUAAAAUCAACAUUUACUAAAAACCAUUUACUUGGUUAUCAUGCAAGAUGGCUUGCCAAAGAUUGAAUUAAGGAAUGCACAACUUUACUUUUAUGAUUAUUUUCAAUGACAGCUAAAAGGUCAGAUCCAAAUGAAAAUAAAACUUUGGACUUCACAAAACCAAUUAAAAAUCUAAUUCCAAAGUUACAAACACCCACCAAAUGAUUCCAGAUAAAGUUUUAAACUCAAGGUCAGACCCAAAUGAAAUUAAAAGUUAGGACUUCACAAAACCAAUUGAAAAUCUGAUUCCAAAGUUCCAAACACCCACCAAAUGAUUCCGGAUAAAGUUUAAACUCAAAACACCAACAGAAACAAAAGCAUUGGUGUGAAUUAACUGUAUCUAAUUGAAGAAACUAAAACAAAAGUAAGCAAAGUACAUACCUCAAAAUGUCAAGCAACUAAGUUCUUCCUCCGACGACCCAAAACUCUGAAAAUUCCACACAAAAAAAAAGGUAAAUCCAUUAGCAAUUCAUAGCUUUCCAAAUUAGCAAAAACUUGGGCAACAAUAAAGAUGCGUUGAGAACCAUCACUCUUUCUCCUUAUGUAUUUGAAAAGAUAUUUUAUAAGCAGUUUAUGUAGUCAUUCUGAUCAUGUUGCAUAUAAAUUCCUUUUCUACAGAGUUCAAAAAUAUAUGGCAGUUUAUGGCAUCUGUUGAAUAACAUGGUUGAAAGAUUUAAAAUUGAUACAUUCAAUUUUCAUGUGUAAAACUAUAACAUAUAGCUAAAGCUAUUGGGUCUAUAUAUCCAUAUCAAUCAAGUCGUAAUUGAAUGUUUAUCGAUGUAAAAAGAUGAUUUCAGUCAUGUGAUAACAUGCUUCUUGAUAGUAUAGCUGAAGUUUGGUCUAAGUUGGAUACAAAUCGACCAAAAUCUAUAAGAGACUCUUUUAACUUUUAACCAAAAAAUAAGCACCACAAUACUACACUUAUAAGUUUUAUCAUGCACAAAAUACACAGCACUGAUUGCCACUUUUAGAGUAAGAACAAUACUUUACCAGAAGAAAACAACAAAACACUCAAAACCCAGAAACUAGAAACACACUUGGGAUUCAAACUCCUCAAAAACAUGAGAAAGAGAGAGAGUGUGUGUGAGGAAAGAGAAUAAAAAACAAUAUUAUUUUUCACACAAACUCAAAAUUGCUUAUAAAAUUAGAAAUCGAAACAAAUUAAUGCAAAUCCAAAAUUGACCUAAAUUAAAUCUGAUUAGUUAAAUGUUUGUUGCCCUACAAAUGUCAUUACACGUUGAUAUUUUGGUCAAUCCUGGGGAAAAGGAGUUAUUGGUGUUGGAGCAGUUGUCAUGGAGAAUACCAUCUCCCUGUUGAAUGAUCUAAAACAGGACUUACUGCUUUAGCUGGCCAUAAUAAUUUAGGAGGCCCUUCUCUCCAGAUUUUCUCAAUAACUUUCCUUUUCGUAGCUGGUAAGAUUGCAACUCUAAGAAUUGCUCCGAAGAUAUAUAUACAAACAAAAUCAACCUAAAACUAAGCUAUUGGAAGAAAUUUGGAAAACACAAACACCACUACACCUCAGAGUUAAAGUCAACAGAAACCAAAUGGU
This 107761-nucleotide long non-coding RNA is filed under the name Malus domestica (apple). RNAcentral's name for it is "long non-coding RNA (MDOM_LNC001356)". Lineage: Eukaryota; Viridiplantae; Streptophyta; Magnoliopsida; Rosales; Rosaceae. The record is from RNAcentral.